Molecule: long non-coding RNA, 89157 nt
Filed under: Brassica napus (rape)
Lineage: Eukaryota; Viridiplantae; Streptophyta; Magnoliopsida; Brassicales; Brassicaceae
Description: long non-coding RNA (BNAP_LNC025132)
Source: RNAcentral
GUUUUCCUAAUUUCUAAAUCACAAACCCAAAUCUAAAUUAUUUCUCAAAAAAUUGAAAACUUUCCAAAAAUAGCAAUUUUAAGAAAAUUAUUUAUAAAUACUAUAUACAGUUGAAAAAUUCUGAAAGAAUACUCAUCUAUCCACAAAUAUUCUUGUUAUCCUAAUUUCUAAAUCACAAACCCAAAUCUACAGUAUUUCUCAAAAAAAUGAAAACUUUCCAAAAAUAGCAGUUUUUAAGAAAAUUAUUUAAAAAUACUAUAUAUUGAUGAAAAAUUCUGAAAGAAUACUCAUCUAUCCACAAAUAUUUUUGUUAUCCUAAUUUCUAAAUCACAAACCCAAAUCUACAGUAUUUCUCAAAAAAAUGAAAACUUUCCAAAAAUAGCAGUUUUUAAGAAAAUUAUUUAAAAAUACUAUAUACAGAUGAAAAAUUCUGAAACAAUACUCAUCUAUCCUAAAAUAUUCUUGUUAUCCUAAUUUCUAAAUCACAAACCCAAAUCUACAGUAUUUCUCAAAAAAUUGAAAACUUUCCAAAAAUAGCAGUUUUUAAGAAAAUUAUUUAUAAAUACUAUAUACUGAUGAAAAAUUCUGAAACAAUACUCAUCUAUCCUAAAAUAUUCUUGUUAUCCUAAUUUCUAAAUCACAAACCCACAUCUACAGUAUUUCUAAAAAAAUUGAAAACUUUCCAAAAAUAGCAGUCUUUAAGAAAAUUAUUUAAAAAUAAUAUAUAUAGAUGAAAAAUUCUGAAAGAAUACUCAUCUAUCCACAAAUAUUCUUGUUAUCCUAAUUUCUAAAUCACAAACCCAAAUCUACAAUAUUUUUCAAAAAAUUGAAAACUUUCCAAAAAUAGCAGUUUUUAAGAAAAUUAUUUAUAAAUACUAUAUACAAAUGAAAAAUUCUGAAAGAAUACUCAUCUACCUUAAAAUAUUCUUGUUAUCUUAAUUUCUAAAAUUCUAUUUAAGGAAAGUUUUUAUUUUUAUUGAGAAUUGUUGUAGUUUUGGGGUUCUGAUUUAAAAAUUUUGAUAACAAGAAUUUUUGUUGAUAGAUGUGUAUUAUUUCAGAUUUUUUGUUCAAUAGUUGUAAUUUUAAAAAAUAAUUCUCAAAAAUUCUAUUUUAGGAUAGUUUUCAUUUUUAUAGAAAUAUUGUAGAUUUGGGGUUGUGAUUUAGAUAUUAGGAUAACAAGAAUUUUUGUUGAUAGAUGAGUAUUUUUUAAGAUUUUUUUUAUCAAUAUGUUGUAUAUUUUAGAUAAAAUUCUCAAAAAUUCUAUUUAAGGAAAGUUUUUAUUUUUAUUGAGAACUUUUGUACAUUACUUUUAAAGUCUCUAAAACUUUAAUAACAGAACUUCAGUUUUGAUCAAUAGGUUGAUGUGUAUUCUUUUAAAAGUUUUGAUCAAUAGGUUGUAUAGUUUAGAUAAAAUUCUCAAAAAUUCUAUUUUGGAAAGUUUUCAUUUUUUUGAAUAAUAGUGUGGAUUUAGGAUUUUGGUGUAGAAAUUAGGAUAACAAGAAUUUUUUGUUUAUUGAUGAGUAUUCUUUUAGAUUUUUUUUAUCAAUAGUUAUAUUUUUUUAAAGUAAUUCUCAAAAUUCUAUUUUAGGAAAGUUUUAGUUUUUAUAGAAAUUUUUUAGAUUUGGGGUUGUGGUGUAAAAUUAGGAUAACAGUAAUUUUUGUUGAUUGAUGAAUAUUUUUUAAGAUUAUUUUUUAUCAAUAGGCUGUAUAUUUUAGAUAAAAUUCUCAAAAAUUCUAUUUAAGGAAAGUUUUUAUUUUUAUUGAGAACUGUUGUAGUUUUUGGGGUUCUAAUUUAGAAAUUAGGAUAACAAGAAUUUUUGUUGAUAGAUGAGUAUUUUUUAAGAUUUUUUAUCAAUAGGUUAUAUAUUUUAGAUAAAAUUCUCAAAAAUUCUAUUUAAGGAAAGUUUUUAUUUUUAUUGAGAACUGUUGUAGUUUUUGGGGUUCUAAUUUAGAAAUUAGGAUAACAAGAAUUUUUGUUGAUAGAUGAGUAUUUUUUAAGAUUUUUUAUCAAUAGGUUAUAUAUUUUAGAUAAAAUUCUCAAAAAUUCUAUUUAAGGAAAAUUUUUAUUUUUGUUGAGAACUAUGGUAGUUUUGAGGUUCUAAUUUAGAAAUUAGGAUAACAAAAAAUUUUGUUGAUAGAUGUAUAUUCUUUUAAAAGUUUUGAUCAAUAGGUUGUAUACUUUAGAUAAAAUUCUCAAAAAUUCUAUUUAUGGAAAGUUUUCAUUUUUGUGAAUAAUAUUGUGGAUUUGGGUUUAUAAUUAGAAAUUAGAACAACAAGAAUUUUUUGUUUAUAGAUGAAUAUUCUUUUAGAUUUUUUUAUCAAUAGUUGUAUUUUUAAAAAAUAAUUCUCAAAAAUGAUAUUUUAGGAAAGUUUUCAUUUUUUAUAGAAAUAUUUUAGAUUAGGGGUUGUGAUUUAUAAAUUAGGGUUACAAGAAUUUUUGUUGAUAGAUGAGUAUUUUUUAAGAUUUUUUUAUCGAUAGGUUUUUUAUUUUAGAUAAAAUUCUCAAAAAUUCUAUUUAAGGAAAGUUUUUAUUUUUAUUGAGAACUAUUGUAUUUUUGAGGUUCUGAUUUAGAAAUUAGGAUAACAAGAAUUUUUGUUGAUAGAUGUGUAUUCUUUAAGAUUUUUUUAUCAAUAUGUUGUAUAUUUUAGAUAAAUUGUCUAAAAUUCUAUUUAAGGAAAGUUUUUAUUUUUAUUGAGAAUUGUUGUAGUUUUGGGGUUCUGAUUUAGAAAUUUUGAUAACAAGAGUUUUUGUUGAUAGAUGUGUAUUAUUUCAGAUUUUUUGUUCAAUAGUUGUAAUUUUAAAAAAUAAUUCUCAAAAAUUCUAUUUUAGGAUAGUUUUCAUUUUUAUAGAAAUAUUGUAGAUUUGGGGUUGUGAUUUAGAUAUUAGGAUAACAAGAAUUUUUGUUGAUAGAUGAGCAUUUUUUAAGAUUUUUUUAUCAAUAUGUUUUAUAUUUUAGAUAAAAUUCUCAAAAGUUCUAUUUAAGGAAAGUUUUUAUUUUUAUUGAGAACUAUUGUACAUUACUUUUAAAGUCUCUAAAACUUUAAUAACAUAACUUCAGUUUUGAUCAAUAGGUUGAUGUGUAUUCUUUUAAAAGUUUUGAUCAAUAGGUUGUAUAGUUUAGAUAAAAUUCUCAAAAAUUCUAUUUUGGAAAGUUUUCAUUUUUUUGAAUAAUAGUGUGGAUUUGGGAUUUUGGUUUAGAAAUUAGGAUAACAAGAAUUUUUUUGUUUAUUGAUGAGUAUUCUUUUAGAUUUUUUUUAUCAAUAGUUAUAUUUUUUAAAAGUAAUUCUCAAAAAUUCUAUUUUAGGAAAGUUUUAGUUUUUAUAGAAAUUUUGUAGAUUUGGGGUUGUGAUGUAAAAUUAGGAUAACAAUAAUUUUUGUUGAUUGAUGAAUAUUUUUUAAGAUUUUUUUUAUCAAUAGGCUGUAUAUUUUAGAUAAAAUUCUCAAAAUUUCUAUUUAAGGAAAGUUUUUAUUUUUAUUGAGAACUAUUGUAGUUUUGAGGUUCUGAUUUAGAAAUUAAGAUAACAAGAAUUUUUGUUGAUAGAUGUGUAUUCUUUAAGAUUUUUUUAUCAAUAGGUUGUAUAUUUUAGAUAAAAUUCUCAAAAAUUCUAUUUAAGGAAAGUUUUUAUUUUUAUUGAGAACUAUUGUAGUUUUUGGGGUUCUGAUUUAGAAAUUAGGAUAACAAGAAUUUUUGUUGAUAGAUGAGUAUUUUUUAAGAUUUUUUUAUCAAUAGGUUUUAUAUUUUAGAUAAAAUUCUCAAAAAUUCUAUUUAAGGAAAAUUUUUAUUUUUGUUGAGAACUAUGGUAGUUUUGAGGUUCUGAUUUAGAAAUUAGGAUAACAAAAAAUUUUGUUGAUAGAUGUGUAUUCUUUUAAAAGUUUUGAUCAAUAGGUUGUAUACUUUAGAUAAAAUUCUCAAAAAUUCUAUUUUUGGAAAGUUUUCAUUUUUGUGAAUAAUAGUGUGGAUUUGGGUUUAUAAUUAGAAAUUAGAACAACAAGAAUUUUUUGUUUAUAGAUGAAUAUUCUUUUAGAUUUUUUGAUCAAUAGUUGUAUUUUUAAAAAAUAAUUCUCAAAAAUUAUAUUUUAGGAAAGUUUUCAUUUUUUAUAGAAAUAUUUUAGAUUAGGGGUUGUGAUUUAUAAAUUAGGAUUACAAGAAUUUUUGUUGAUAGAUGAGUAUUUUUUAAGAUUUUUUUAUCAAUAGGUUUUUUAUUUUAGAUAAAAUUCUCAAAAAUUAUAUUUAUGGAAAGUUUUUAUUUUUAUUGAGAACUAUUGUAGUUUUGAUGUUCUGAUUUAGAAAUUAGGAUAACAAGAGUUUUUGUUGAUAGAUGUGUAUUCUUUAAGAUUUUUUUAUCAAUACGUUGUAUAUUUUAGAUAAAUUGUCUAAAAUUUUAUUUAAGGAAAAUUUUUAUUUUUAUUGAGAACUAUUGUAGUUUUGGGGUUCUGAUUUAGAAAUUUUGAUAACAAGAAUUUUUGUUGAUAGAUGUGUAUUCUUUUAGAUUUUUUGAUCAAUAGUUGUAAUUUUAAAAUAUAAUUCUCAAAAAUUCUAUUUUAUGAAAGUUUUCAUUUUUUAUAGAAAUAUUGUAGAUUUGGGGUUGUGAUUUAGAUAUUAGGAUAACAAGAAUUUUUGUUGAUAGAUGAGUAUUUUUUUAAGAUUUUUUAAUCAAUAGGUUGUAUAUUUUAGAUAAAAUUCUCAAAAUUCUAUUUAAGGAAAGUUUUUAUUUUUAUUGAGAAUUAUUGUACAUUACUUUUAAAGUCUCUAAAACUUUAAUAACAGAACUUAAGUUUUAAAUCUAUAUAUAAAUCGACAACUAAUGCCUAAUGAUUGGCCUAUAUUACUUUUAAUCCACCAUAAGCCUGUUAAAAGAUGUCACUAGUUGGAACUAUUAUAGCUUUAAAACGUUGUAAGAUGUCCUUGAAAAUUUUAGCCAUUCUUAGUAGUACUAUGACGAAAAUUUCGGGAUCGACUCUACAUAAAAUAGGUCAACAUGUGUUCCAUUUAGUAUUGUCCUUAUAUACUAGAUCUCGCAGGUUCUGUUAGGCUGAUCCUAUGUAUUUAGGCGUCUAAAACAGAACUAAAUAUCUUGAUAACUUUAAUCUUUUAUAUGAAUUUUAGCGCAUAAUAUUAGUGCUUUACGAGUUUGAAUAUUGGUCACCUUAGUAUGCAUUAUUACCUACACACAUACACAUGUUAUAUUUAAAUUGUAUCUAAAAAUGGUUCUGAAUAUUUUUGGUCGUAUACACAUAUAUACAUUUAUACCUAUACAAGGAAAUGGUAUAUUUUAGAAAAUGGUAAAGCGUGGGGAGAAGAAUAUAAGGUGACAAAUAUUCCAACGAGUUUUUUUUUAAACAUAAUGUCAGAGAACUGAAACUGUUCUUAACAGAGCAACCAUGAAAGAUGUAUGCGUGGGGUUCUUCUCUUUCCUCAGGUUUCCAUUUUUGGCAAUCAAAAAGAUUACAUACGAUAACACAACCAUCACCGAAUCACAAACAUCACAUGCCUAUAUGUAUAUGUCUCUGUGUUGUAUAUUAGACAUUGUUCUAGGAGAGAGACCAAGAGAAGAAGAGUUAGAUGGAUAUCUCAUUUUUCCAAGCAUACCCUUUUGAUCUCCCUUGCAGUAGAGCAUUUAAUGGGGAUGGAGAAAACAAUGUAGUGGAGUUCUCUAAUAAAACAAUGAUGGUGAAGGUGAGUGAUGAAUCAAAGAAGAAGCAGAGAUGUUCUAGGGUUUGUAGUAGAGGACAUUGGAGAGUUUCUGAGGAUUCUCAGCUCACGGAACUUGUUUCUGUUCACGGUCCUCAAAACUGGAACCACAUUGCAGAGAAGAUGCAAGGACGAACAGGUAAAAACCAAUCUUUCCUCUGCUAUUUUUAUCAAGAAGUGAAUUUAAAAUGUUUUUUUUCUUGCUUCUUUGGGUUGUUGAAGGCAAGAGUUGCAGACUGAGGUGGUUUAACCAGUUAGACCCAAGGAUCAACAAGAGAGCUUUCAGUGUUGAGGAAGAAGAGAGGCUACUUGCAGCUCACGGAGCAUUUGGUAACAAAUGGGCUAUGAUUGCUAAGAUUUUCAAUGGAAGAACAGACAAUGCCUUAAAGAAUCAUUGGCAUGUCCUCAUGGCAAGAAAGUUGAGGCAGCAAUCAAGUUCUUACACCAGGAGAUUCAAUGGGUCUGCUCAUAAACCUAAUGCAGAUCACACAAGCUUCAAUAUCUCUCCUGGUUUGUGUCUUCUUAAUCUUAUCUAGUAACGAGCUUAUGGGAACAUACUAAUUGAGCUCAAAAUUUCUUCACUAUAGUUAAUAUAUCACAGAGGAAAAAGCUGACUAGAUUGCAAGUUGUAGGGAGAUUCACUUGGUGCUGAUGAGUUUUUAAGCUUCAUGCUUCUUUGUGUUUUUCAUGUUCUGUAGAUGAUGACGAGAUGAAUAUGGAAAAGAACAGCUGGAAAAUGCUAAAAGAGGGAACAACUAACAUGAAAGCUCAGUAUCUCCAAGAAGAGUAUCGUUCUCCACGCAUGCCAAUGCAUGGCCACUACUCAACCUUCUCUGCAGAUUCCUUGGCACUGACACUGCAUGUCUCCAUCCAAGAACCAUCAUCAUCAUUGUCGUCAUUAUCUCUGCCAUCAUCAUCAGCAGAAUAUACAAUGGUGGCCACCAAACCUCCAGCAUUUAUAGAUUUUCUUGGGGUGGGCCACCAAAGCCUCAACAUCUAAAGGAAACAAAAAAAGAGUGGGAGCUAAUCAAGAACUUGGUUACUCCUAUCAUUGUUAUCAGAUUCCAUGUCUUUUUUUUUUUUAUCAACUUCAGAUUCCAUGUCUUUAUGUAAGCUAUUAACAUGACAAGCUAAGAAAUCAUCAAGUGUCUUCUUUUCUAUUUCUCCAUGUGCUAUUUAUUAAAUUUCUUGACAAAAUAUUGAAAACCUGAUUAAUAUCAUUGUUGUACAAUUACUCAAAAGUUUUCAAAAUAUCAUGAAAGUCUGAUUAAUAUCAAGAAUCAUGUCUAAGUGUUUUAACAUACACAAUCUCAUCCCAAAAGGAUAAGGAUCAAUAAGCUAAGAGUGUGCUUUGAAGUACAAAAGAAUUGAUAUGGUUAAAGAAAAAUAUAAUAUCAUAUGAUUCAGCAGAAGCUAUUCUCCAUGAACUUCAGAAAUUCAUUGAAAUCGAUUAUUCCGUCUUUGUUUCCAUCUAGUGAUCUGAUCAUAACCAUGCAAUUCUCUACACAUGAUCCUUCUUUGAACCCUAGUGUUGUCAAAACUCUCUGCAACUCUGUAGUGUCGAUAAAGCCAUCUCUGUUCUCAUCGAACACAUCAAAAGCUUGCUUCACCUCCUCUAAGCUCGCCUCUUUCUCUUCGAACAAACUCGAAAUUUCCUUGGAACUGUACCGUUCUUGAAGCCCAUCGCUUUCUGAGUCGGGUGAAAGCCCUAAGCUUCUCAUAACAAUCUCUGCGUCUUCUUUACAGAGUUCAUCUUCUUCUCGUUCUUCUAUGUGUUUGAUCAAACUCUCUUCAACACGUUGGUGGUGUUGAAGAAGAGGAAAGAAUGUGGAUAAAAAGAUGCGAGGAGAAGAAAGCCAUCUGCAGAACCGACGAGGAACAAGUUGAACAGAGUAAAGAAAGUGAUAGAAGAAGAUUGUUUGCACUCAGACAUGAAACUCUUCUCCAUGAAUGUGUAUCAAUGAACUAAACGUGUUAGAGGAGAUGUUGAAGAUAUAGAAUUUGUCUGCAUAGAGGAAAUAUAUAUAUAGAGAUUAUAGUGUUUUCUAAAAAGGCAAAAGAGAGGAAGGUGGUAGUGCAGGUAGAUACAAAAACAAAGACCGUGUUUGAAAAGAUAUAAAAAAGGAAAAUAGGAUGUUUCUUUCCAACUAUUAUAACAUUGUUGAAAUUGUUAAGAGUUUUUGGUCUUUUUUGAAGGAAAGUCUGGUCGGCUAGACUUUUUAUUAUAAAACAGUUAAAUUUUUCUUCGUUUUGUUACUAAAGAAAAAGGAAAUAUACAACUACUAACCUAAUUCAUGGUCAAGGUCUCCCUUCAGUUUCCACACGUCAGUGUAUCUCGAAGUGAUUCACACUAUUUGUAGAGAAUUCAAUAGAUAAUACAAUUAUACAACUUGAGAAAUGCAUCAACAUUUUCAUCAGUAGUUUCCUGACCUGUGUAAUAUGAGGUUCCGAAUUAUCGCAUGACAGGGGAUGGAUCUAACCAUCCCACAAGGCCCAAGGAAUAGAAGGCCUGGCCCGGACCAAAGAAAGCGAUGGCUCGGAUAGUCGGCUUAAAAGGUCAGUCUCUCGGCUCGCCUCUAGAGUACCUUGAGUCGACCGUCGUCGACUAAGAGGCAUCCAGCUCGGCGACCGCUCGGAUGAAUAUGGGCCUUUCGGCCAAAUAAGGAAAGCCCACGAAGACGACAUAAGCUAGGUCAAGAACGACACAUCAGAGGACUAUAUAAGGAGAAGGAAUAAGAAUGAGAAAAGGAUCCGAAAUCAUCUGACUAACACUUGGCGGCUAGAUUAGGGUUUUCACCUUUACUUCAUCUUGCCGUUAUUUGUACUUUUCCGGUAGCUCGUCGAGUUACCGGCCUCUUCUCUGUCGCAUUCUCUCUACUUCUCUUGUAACCGACUGAACGUUUCUUCCGACCAUAAUAAAACGUCUUUGUUAAACCCACAUCUCUUUUAUCACCGUUUUCCGAUCAAACAACAAGAAAACUGUUACAUACAGUUACAAAAAAAAAAAAACUGCUACAUAUAUGUAGUGUGACAUACAUUGUUUGAUCAAAAAACAAAAGACAUACGUUGUUAUACCAUGUUUAGCAGUAGGUUGGUUUGAUAGUUUUUUCAUAAUUUUUUUGUAGUACUUGAUCAUUACAUAUAUAAUGUGUUAUUCUUGAGUUAUUUCUUUAGUAAAAUUGAUAACUCAAUUGUUAACCCAACAUCAAACAAUUUUUUCAUGUAUUAGAAAUUGAGUAAAUAAUUUUUUUGGUGUUCCACUAGUUAUCCUACGGUUACCUUUUUCUUUUUAACAAUUUUAACUUUUAAUGUAUCCAUGUCAUACGUUUAGGUUUCUUAGUUAAUGAAACAUUUUCAAAAAAAAUAUAGCUGUUUAGUAGUUAGUCAAAACGUUUCCUAUUUGAAUUAUUUUAAAAUAUUAUUCCAAUUAUUUUAAUGCUAAUUCUAUUUGGUAGCUAAAAUUUUACAUACAUAAAGUUGUAUGUAAAUAUAUAGGUAUCUUUUUUAGACUAUAUACAUAAUCAUAUUAUUUAAUUUAAAUUUAAAUUUAAAUUAAUUUAUUUUAAUUUUGAUAUGUUAUUUUAACUUAAUUAAUUUAUAUUAAAUUUUAUUAUGAUUGAUAUGCAUAUUUUUUUAAAAAAUACUGCAAUUUAAAUAUCAAAAUAGUUACCAGCCAAUAAUUUUAACGGCGAAUAUACUACGUACUUUUACAGUUUCUAUUACGUAAUUUUUACUGAAAGAUAUUAAUAAUGUCUCACUGCAUGUUUUUUAAGUAUUUGUUACAAAAGAAAUUAUAUAACUCGUAGGAAGUGAAGAUGAGUGGCUCUGACGCUCCGUCUCAUAAUGUCUUCAUGUACGGUAGACUCCAACAAUAUUCAUCAAGUUACGGCAGACUUCUACAACAUUCGUUAACAAUUUUAUGUUCAAAUUGGAUAUAUGGUAAAAUUAAGACGUUAUGAGACGGAACGUCAUUCUAUCAUGAGCAUAUAUAAGUAGGAGCUUGAUCCAUUACCGCAGACUCCUACAACAUUCAUUAACAAUUUUAUGUUCAAAUUGGAUGUAUGGUAAAAUUAAGACAACAGACGUUAUGAGACGGAGCGUCAUUCCAUCGUGGGCAUAUAUAUAUGUAAGAGUCUGGUCCAACCCUCUUAAUUUUACCAUAUGUCCAAUUUGAACAUAAAUCUGUUAAUCACUCCUACUUAUAUAUGCUCAUGACACAAGAAUACUGGCUCUUACAUUAUUCCGCUUCUUUUUCUUUACCGGUUUGAAAAGCCAUGUUAUAUUUCCAGAUAAAGCUCAUUCCAACGAAUGAACACGUUUUAAACAGUAUGAUUGAUGCUUGAUGAGUUUUUUAUAUCCUGAAAUUCUGUGUGAUGUGACAAGAGAUUUACAGUAGAGCCAUUUUCAAAGAAAAAGACUGAGGAUUGGGGGAGUUUUUCUUAUGCAUAAGUAUUGUAUUUAGUUAAAAUUUGCAGAAAUCAUAUUUUUACCCUCUAUAUUUACUGUGCAUUCGCGAAAAUAUCUAUCAACAAAAGAACAAUAUUUAAAGUUAUGCCUCCAAUUCAUAUGAUUAGUGAUGAAUUAUUUGACCCACAAAAGAUUUUGUAGUCCAACUAUUGGGUGAUAGAGUCAUUGAUAUUUGUUCUUUAAAAGGUGCCACAAGAUCCCCAUAAAAAUUUGUACUACUCUCAUAUCUUUUUUCAUCAUUUACCUUCCCCAUGGCCCCUCUCAUUCCAACCUGAAUAAUCAAAUAAAUUGUUUGGUUAACCAUGUCAAAACAUAGAUAUUAUAAAUGAAUCUUAACACUACGAACAAAGAAUCGUUUUUAAAGUUAACGAUAGAAAAUUAAGAAAAAAUGUAACUGGAGCUGUCGCCAUCUUUCCAGCUCUCAACAUUUUGUCUGGAAUGUGGUGAAAAAAUUUCAGUGCUUGAAUAUGGAUGUCAUAGUUCAGAUCAGUGAUACUAAUUCAAAACAUAGAAAAAACAUUGCUGACUAAAGGUCUAAUCGUCCUUGAUUAAAUAAAGGCAUCAGUUCACUAUUUCGUAGUCAUAUCUAACCAAAACUUAGAAACUAUUUAUAGUUAAACUUUUUAAAAAUUAAUACUUACUUGAUUAAUUAUAACAUGUUAAAAUAUUAAAUUUAGAAGUUUCGAAUUGAUCUGUAUAAAAAUUAAUAAAUUAGAAUGAGAUGAUAUUUUAAAGUUCUUAUAUAGAUAUAUAAUUCCAAUAAUGAUUAUAUAAAUUUAUACAUAUAUAACGGAAAAUACUAAAAUAUGACUCAGUGUUUUUGUUUUAUGUGAAUUAUCUAAGCUCGAUUUAUUCUUAUUUGAUGAGAAUUAUGUGUAGCUAUGGUUUUUUUGAAACAUUUCUAAAUUAUGGUAUCUGUAUUAUUGUUUAAGAAGUUUUUUUUUACUGAUUUUUUAUGUUCUCCACAAUUUUAUAUUGAUGAAUCAUUAGUUUUAAUAAAUAAUAUUAUAGAUUCCAUUGAUUUGUAAGUUCUUGCUUUUUUAUGACCACAUGGUUAAGCAAAGAAAAAAAAAGAACUACCAUGCAAUUCAUGAUUCUUUGCCCAAGAAAAUAAAAGAGGAUACUCGUUUCUUUUCUUUUUUUUUGUUCAAAGAGGAUACUCGUUUCUAUGUUCCGUCUUUAUCAUCUUCUAUCCAACAUUUAAAUUUAAACUAAACAUUUUCUGAUAAUUAAAAUACAUAAGUUGGUCAACUUGUGAGCUGUAAUAGCAUUAAUUGAUUACGUAUUAGCCAGGUUUGAUUUAUAUUUUCCCAAAAAGAAAGAUAAUAUAUUUUGUUGGUUUUCUUCAAAAGAUUAUUGAAAAAAUAUUAUUUUUAACUUUAUACUAUCUUCUAAAAUGUUUGAUAAUUAGAAGAUUUCGGGGGUUUUGACUAAGACCACCACUUAUUGUUACGUUGAUGCCAUGGAUUGACGUGUGUGGAGUUUUCAAGUACGUGUCAGUCUUGACUAUUUGCGUGUUGAACUAUGAUUACGUAGUUUAUUAAAAAGUAUUUUUUGAAAAAAGAAGGAAAACCAUAUUUUAUUGUCAUACAAAUCACGCACAUAUCACGCCAAAGAAGAAAAAAACUUUGGUCGUGUCUGGUGGAUUAGUGACAUUGAAGCGCACAGAAAGUUAAAGCCUAGCAACACGGUUUCAGGAGUUAAGUGUAAAUAUGGCUGGUCUCUUGCACGAUAUUAAUUAGUCAAAUAACAAUAAACCAAGUGGAAAUCAAGUUUCGGUUUCGAAGAGUAGCCGCGUCAUGACCCGAACCGGUGUCAAUUACCUGUAAUAAGACGUGAAUAUGUGUCGCUGUAAAUGUGAUGCGUGUUUUAACAAUAAAUGCCCUAAUCAGCUAUGUUAAUCACUUAUUCCGUAGGCCAAAUCCGAGUAUAGACGAAUUUGAUAUUCGAAAAUGGGUUAACAACCAAAGCCUUUUUGAAAAGAAAAAAAAUUAAUAAUGGUCCAUAGAUAGAAACACAAUUGGAAUGUGGCGCAAUGGUAAAUUUCAAUUGUAUAAACGUAUAAAACUAUAAAAGUGAAUUAUUUGGCAACUAUUUUAUUGGUUCCUUUAUGGUGAAAUUCUGGUUUAAUCUAAUAUUUCCUCCUUUUCCACUUUUUUUUGUCGUUCUUCCUUUUCCACUUUAAAUAGUAUUUUCAGAAUUUGUUUUUGUUUUAUUUUAAAUAAUGUUUUCGAAUUUUUAAUGUAAGAAAUAAAUGUAGUUUGAUGUUUAAAGCCAUUUAUAUUCUGCAGUAUGAUUUUUAUUAGUUGAUUAGCUAUAGUUAUUGUUGUUUUUAAGCAAAUAAAAUAGGUUAAGUAAAAAUUAGUAAUUUUUUAAUAGAGAAAUUGCACUGCAUAUACAAGCAUAACCGCUUAAUUUGCAGAUAUGGAAAAGUGCUUUUUUCAUCAACACGCGCUUGAUUUUAUGACUAUUCUGCCCCUAGGUUCGUGUAACGCUACCUACAUCCUAUUCAAUUUCGAAACCACCUAUAUUCUCUUUCUCAUGCGUCACCAAAAUCGAUACAACACUCAUCUCUCUCCUAGUAUCUUUCACCGCUCAUUUUUUUGGGAGUUCUUCGUCAUCUCCGUCGAAAAUUAUUUUCAGAGGUUUCUAAUACCAAUCUCCAAUCACCGCAAACCUAAUUCUGAGUCGCAAUUAUUUAUCACAUCCUUUGACGGUAAGUCCAUUAUUCUACACAUCUAAUUGUUUUCCUCUGAAGUUUCUUCGAGUAAAACUCUUCGUAUAUCUUUUUAAGAUAUCUAAACUCUUUCAUUUUCAUCAUAUGCAAUUUGGUAGAUCUGUUAAAUAUUUCGAUCCCGUGCAGAUUUCAUGUUCCCCACGGGAGAUCAAAUGGCAGACACCUUUUUCCAUCUCGGUUCUUUGCCAUUGGAGAUGAACCCGAUGGUCUGAGAGUCACUUUCUACCACCUACCACAAGCCUGGAUGCAUAAAGCAUAUAUUAGAGACACUCGAGGAAGACGAACUCGAAGUCCUAAAGGCGUCGUCUUUUGGAAAAUUCAUAGAGUUGGCAGACCAGUCUCCAUAUUUCGGUCGUCUUGGACGUUUCAUGAUGUCGAGACAGCUUAAAGUAAACAAGAAAUACGAGGCAAUGGUAUUAAACCAGCACAUGCAAGGACGCUGGACACGGCUGAAAAUGUAAGUAUUCAAUUGAUAUAUCUAUUUUUAGUAAUAACUGAUCAUUUGAUGUUUCUAUUAACCGGUUAACAAACUCAGAAAACAUGGACUUUUCUAGAUUAUACGGCUAACACACACAGAAAACAUGAAAUUUUCUAGAUUAUCCAGCUAACACACAUAUAAAACAUGAAUUUUAUUAGAUAUCCGGCUAACAAGAUAAAAUAUGUCCAUACUUGUAGGUCCAUGUUACGUCUAUUAUUCCUCAGGACCUGAAAGCACUGACCGUGGAAAGGGCAAGGUCUGUCCCUCAAAACCCCAACCACGCUCAUUCUGGGGUCACAUCCGUCUUGUUCAUGAUACUUAGCUUGGUUUGUUUGUGUUUGUUUGUAGCAAGAAGAUGAAACGAAAGCUAAGAGAGCGCUUGUUACUCUUUGUGAGAUUCUCAAGAAGAAGGUGUGGCUUGGUGAUAAACAUGAUAGAGUUUCCAUUGCAAUUUGUUAAGCUUGCUUUCAUGCUUCAUCUUGGAGGUUUAUCUAAAACUACGUCACUCGUAUUGUAACUUCAGUGUUGAUUGGUUGAAGAGACGUGGUUUACAUUAGGAAGCACAUGUUCCAAGAUGCAGAGAUUCAAUCUGUUAGUAGCUCUUUAGAAACCAGACCUUCAGUGUCAUUACUGUAUGGAAUCUUGAGAAAUACACUUAUUGUCUAGAUCGGGAAGGAUAACAUUUUGAAUGACCGGCUAUGUAUGAAUGGUAAUGUUUUUUUCUGUUUUUUAUCCGAACUUGUAAUAUAUUAACCGGGAAUGUCAAUAAUGGUGAUUUCUUAUGUUUUGCAACACAAGUCCUCCAACCUUCGGAUAUUUUCUAGUUGGUCCCAAUAUAUUCAAGUGUACAAAUAGCUUCACGAAUCGGUCCCAGACUUUCAGAUUCUACAUUCCAAACCCUUUAAAAAUCUCCUGAAUGGUCCUUACAGUCUUAGUUGUUUUUUCAUUGUUUCAAUUCAAGUUACAAUACUGGGAUAAUAGGUCAUAUUACCGGCUAAAUGUAAUUAAAAAAAUCAAGUAAAAUCUUAACCGCAUAUUCCAUUAAAUUAUUAAUUAGUAUAUAUAACCGACUAACUAUAAAAAUGUCGAGAUAACUGGUGUAUAUUACCGGCUAACUAGGGGUGGACAUUUUACCCGAAAUCCGAAGUGGCACCAGAACCCGAUCCGAAAAACCCAAACUGAAAUCCGAACCGAAGUAGCAAAAUAUCCGAACGGAUAUUGAAUUAGGAGAGAUUGGAUAUCCGAACCCGAACGGGUAAUAUCCGAACCCGAAUGGAUAUCCGAAAAUAACCGAACAUAUGAUAAUUAACCUUAUAUUUAUAAUUUACAUCUUUCAUUUUAUAUAAAAUAUUUAUAUUGAUACUACACAUACUUUAAAUUCAUAUGAUACACAUACAAUUACGUAGAAGAUGAUUUGCUAUUAGCUUAAAAUGCAUGUCAAACUAUUUAUUUCAGCAAUUAACAAAAAAUUACAUCCAAAAUUUAAAAACAAUAACCAAAUUAAUGUCUUUUUAGUUUGAAAAUGUUAUGUCCAAAUCUAUUAACCAUGCAAUCUAUUAAAAAUACAAGCUAAAAUGUAAAGUAUCUGGAUAAGUUAGAAUAUAACAAUGCUAAUAUUAGGGGGACCAGUUUUGCAAAAAAAAAAAAAAAAUCGGAUCCUCAGUUGCUUUGAGCUUGCAUCGAUCGAACUGAGAAGACCCAAAUGCUCAGUUCAUCAUGUUCGAACUGCAAUACUCGAUCCAGCUCAAGAUGUACAAUUCAUCGCUUACUGAAGACCGUUCUACUCGAUUUAAUUAUCUCGGUGUAAGCCUCACCAUAAUCAAACAACGAGAAGAGAAGACGCGGACACGACAAUGCUCUGAUGCGGUGGAGAUGUGGUCACAACAAAAUCUUAAGAACACUGAUGUCUGAAUAAAAUCUCCUGAACAUUUUUGUCUGGACCAAAUCUCCUACACACUGCUAUAUGAAUAAUUUUCCACUUAUAGAACAAAGCAGUAACACAAACGAAUUACAAAACAAGAAAUCUGUUAUCGAACGACAAUAAAAUAAUAGAGAAGACACUAGAAUAUUAUUGAAGAUGAGAUUAUGUGUUUUGUGUACAUUAAAUAUAGAAGGGGGAAUAGAAGAAUCAAAGAAAACUCAGAUAAGAAAGCGAAUUGGAGAAAUAAAACAGAUAAGAAAAAGGUGAAAGAAUGGAGAAAGAGCAUUAAUAAUUGUUUCUCUCUCUUCCAAAUAUUUGAUCAUCUUACGUAGAAGAAAGAGAAGGUAUAGGGGCAUCAAUGUAUUUUCGUAACAGUUAGAGGUGGGCUUCACGUUUGGGCCAUCGGUUUUUCCAUAUGCGCUAAUUUCUUCAUCUUAUAGUAUUUAGUAUGCAAAUCACUCUUUUUAAUAUGUGUCUAAAUAUCUUAGGAAUUAAUUAUUUGAAAUAGAAGAGGGAAUAAUUGAUAAAAUUGUUUUAAAAAGUCAAAACAAGAAGUGUCAAAAUACAUGAGAAAGUUUACAACAGUUUAGGUUGAAGACAUUUACUACUCUAUAAAUUCCCACCCCUGCUAUGGGUCCCAGUUUGCCAUUAACCAUAGUUAAAUCAUCAAUCCUGAAACCCUCUCUUUUGAAAAAUUAUUUUUAAAUAUAUGUACUACUAUUAUUCCUAUUUAAUUAUUUAUUAGUUUUCAUUUCUCCUAUUAAUUAUUUUAUUCUGUCUUAGCAAGCAUUCAUCGCCAGAUUCACAGAUAUCUUAUAAGACAUCUUCCCCAUCCUCCAAAAGUUUUAUUUUAAACAUAUUAAAUGAUCUCCAGAAGCUGAUUAGCUCUCUUUAUCUAGAGUUUCUUUGAGCAUAACCUAAACCCUUUUCUAACAAGAUUAUCUUGAAAAUAUUAAAAAGCCAUAGAUGCUUUUGAGUUUUGAGCAAUGGAUAUGACUCUUAAAUCUCCUGAACCCGAACCCGAAACUCCAACCCGUAUCCAACCAGCCAAACCAAUCUCCUUCAGCAACGGAAUUACCAAACGCCACCACCACCCAAUCGCCGUCACCUACAAAGAAUGCCUCAAGAACCACGCGGCAGCGAUUGGCGGUCACGCACUCGACGGUUGCGGGGAGUUCAUGCCGUCUCCUUCUUCCACGCCUUCCGAUCCAACUUCCCUCAAAUGCGCCGCCUGCGGUUGCCACCGUAACUUCCACCGCCGUGACCCUGAAGAUUCCUCUCUCACCUCAGCCGUGCCUCCACCGUCUCUUCCUCCAUCUUCCACACUCGAGUACCAGCCUCACCACCGUCACCACCCGCCUCCACCAGGUCCUCAUCUCCCUCGCAGCCCUACUUCCUCUUCUCCACCUCCUAUCUCCUCCUCUUACAUGCUCCUCGCUCUCUCCGGCACCAAUAAACCCGGCGGAAACAGCUUACCGUUCUCAGAUCUCAACUUCGCCGCCAACAACCUCUCCACUCACCACCUUACCCCAGGCUCUCGGAAGCGUUUCAGGACGAAGUUCAGCCAAGCUCAGAAAGAGAAAAUGCACGAGUUCGCCGACCGUAUCGGGUGGAAGUUUCAGAAGCGCGACGAGGACGACGUGCGCGACUUCUGCCGGGAGGUUGGAGUCGAUAAAGGCGUACUCAAGGUGUGGAUGCACAAUAACAAAAACACCUUCAACAACCGCCGCGACCAGCCAGUCGCUGGCGGAACCACCGUACAUUGCGUUGACAACGGCGUCGCAGUUAACAACGCCGAAGAUGAUGGCGUUCACGGUGGAAACGGUUUAGAGCACAACCUACACGGCGAUGGAGCUGAAGGCGUCUGCGGUUGCCACCGUAACUUCCACCGCCGCGACCCCGAUGACUCCUCCCUCGCUUCCGCCGUGCCUCCACCGUCUCUCCCUCCAUCCUCCACCACCGCUGCACUCGAGUACCAGCCUCACCACCGUCACCACCCGCCUCCACCAGGUCCUCAUCUCCCUCGCAGCCCUACUUCCUCUUCUCCACCUCCUAUCUCCUCCUCUUACAUGCUCCUCGCUCUCUCCGGCACCAAUAAACCCGGCGGAAACAGCUUACCGUUCUCAGAUCUCAACUUCGCCGCCAACAACCUCUCCACUCACCACCUUACCCCAGGCUCUCGGAAGCGUUUCAGGACGAAGUUCAGCCAAGCUCAGAAAGAGAAAAUGCACGAGUUCGCCGACCGUAUCGGGUGGAAGUUUCAGAAGCGCGACGAGGACGACGUGCGCGACUUCUGCCGGGAGGUUGGAGUCGAUAAAGGCGUACUCAAGGUGUGGAUGCACAAUAACAAAAACACCUUCAACAACCGCCGCGACCAGCCAGUCGCUGGCGGAACCACCGUACAUUGCGUUGACAACGGCGUCGCAGUUAACAACGCCGAAGAUGAUGGCGUUCACGGUGGAAACGGUUUAGAGCACAACCUACACGGCGAUGGAGCUGACGGCGUAAACGCUAAUGGCUCGUCUUCUUCUUCGGGAAAGAGCAAUAAUGAAGCUUAAGCUUUGUUUAGCUUAGAUCAUAGAGAGUAAGCACUGCUAUUAUCAUCUUAAUACGUUUAUUAUAUUAAUUAAUAUCGUUUAGCUCUUUUUGCUUUUGUUCUUGCUACUCAUUAUUUUGUUUUCCGAUUUUAAUUUGAUCCUCAUUACCACGAAGUUGUCUCAAUGAGUUAAUAAUAUAACACGAUGAGUAGCUCAGAAAAUAUUUCCACAAGAGGAAUGUUUAUCUCAACUAAUCACCCGAAUUAGUAACUCAACUAUAAGUCGAUUUUUGGUAAAUCACAUGAACCCUAAAUUAGUGCUUGAUCAGAUAAAGAAAGUGCAAGUUUCUCAGAAAAUAAUAAAUUAGUGCAAUUUAAUUGUUUUAUUUAAUAAAUUGUUUGGCUUCUUAUCUUGAAAGUACUUUUGUCGAUUACUCUUAAUUUAAUAUGCGAUCGAACUAAGAUCUAGGUGUCCUUUUCGUAAAUCUCUCUUUAUUCUUCGAGAAAAGAGACAGUUUCUUUUAAAAAAUCUAUUAAAUAUUAAUUAUUAUGUUAUACUAUUAAUAUCCAAUGAUUAGUCGUGUUUUGUUUAUUGGAACCCAAGAUUCAUUGGAUAAUCUAGAUUAAUUUCCUCAUUAAUCCAUUUUUCCUUUCAUCCUUUACAUUCCCAGUAGGUACCUGUUUUGGUAUAUAUUAAUUAUUCUCAAGAUUUCUUAUUUCUUCAAGUACAAAAAAACAAGCAUCUCCUAUAUAUUAAUUAAGAAACAUUUGAAAAGAUGUAACAUCAAUUUUGUAAUAAUUAAAAAAGAUUUAUUGUUUAUCUAUCAAUCAAUUAGAUAGUUAAUUAGUCAUACAUGUCACCUCACAUUAAAAUUAAAAAAUAUGUUGGUCUAAUUCAAUUUUUAUAUCUCACUAGAAAUAUUUAAUACCAACUACAUGAUAUCAUAUGAUAUUAACUAAAGCAAGGUGACUAUUUAUUAUAUAUUAUUUCUUCAAAUAAAACCUACGGAAUUACCUAAUGUGAUUAUGAUAUAUAUAGUAAUUAAUGAUUUUAAAUAAUGAAGAAUUUGCUAAUAAUUUGUAUGUUUUCUAUCAUUUUUGUUUAAUUCUUUACUAUUAAAAUAAAUUACACAAUUACAUUAAUCAUAUAUUAAAAUUUUUGAUUUUUAUUUUGAAUUUUUCAAAACGAGUAUAAAUUACUAAAAUUGUUAAAAGUCUCACAUAAACUUUUGUGAUCAACGUUUAAUUUUUUUUCUAUAAUAAGAUACGAUGAUAAUAAAAUCAUUUAAAUAAAUAAUUUUAUUUUAAUAGGUGUUUAUGUUAAUAUAUAUAUACUUCAUAUUGUUUAAAUUUAAUUAUAUAUCAUAUACGAUAGAUAUGAUUGAUUGUUUUGAUUUAUUUAUUUAUUCUAAAAUGAAUACGAAUAAAAAAGAGUGGUCAUUUGAUUUAUAUGUGCAAGCCAAUUUAUGACAUAAUAGUAAUUGAUUUCUUAGUUAUUUAAUAUAUAAUUAUUAUUUUAUUAUUUCAUAAUAUGCAGAAAAAUAUAAAAUAAAUAUUUAUUCUGCACAAGUCGCAGAUCUUAACCUAAGUAUGUAUCUCUUUAAUAAUUUUGAAUCUUAAAUAUUUUCUAAAUCUCAGGCCAAAAUAAAAGAAAGAAAUGAGAAUAAACUCAAAAAUCAAUAUUUAUAUCGAGAAAAUUUACCUUGUGCAAGACACAUGUCUUAUUUUUAAAUAGUUUUUCUAUAAAUUCACCAUGCGCAAAAGGCAAAUCUUAUCCUAGUAAUUUUAUAAUUUGGGAACUAACUAAUGUUAUUGAAGUGCUAGUAGGUAGGUUUUAUAAGGGGGUCGUUCAAAAAAAGGUAGGGUUUAAGGGGCAGAACUAAUCAUUAACUUUACAAAUAAUUUAAAUAACUUUCCAUUAGAGAAAAGAAUAGAUGCAGCAGUGAUUAUGCGAUGGCCUAAGACAAUUUAAUUAGCAAAUGUCGGUUUACCAAACAAAACAAGCAUAAAUAUGCAAUUAGAUUAGAAAAUUGCUUUAUCUCUCUACACGGGGUUUGUUGAUAUAAUAAAUAAAAUAAAUUACUUAAUUUUACGCAUUUUGUGAAGUCACAGAUAUCUUUUUCAUGGUGGGGACAAACUUUUUAACACAUGCUGAGGUUUUGGCCCUAACUGCCAUAUACCAUGUGCACAGUGUACCACUUACUAAUUUGAAAUGUUCCUGACGUAACUAAUGCUAACAAAAUCGUACAUUUAAUUGUAUAUAUUUGGAAAAGUUCGCUAUCUGGAUAUAUAUAAUAAUAUAGGUCGACCUAAUUUCCCAAUGGGAUAUAAUAGACUUUGAUUGGGAAGGUCCAAGCAGUUAUACAAAAAAAAAAGAAGAUUAUGAAGGUCCAAAAUGAAGUGAUUUUGCUGUGCAACAAUUCUCUAUUAUUUAUACUUUUUGCAAUCACAAACUAUUGACGAAACGCGAUUUGCGUUCAACGGUUCUCUAUCUUUGAGUUUUAGAAAAUCUCAUCCUGUAAGAUUUAAGACGUACAUUCAACAUUAGUUUAUUCUCUACAUUUUCCGCUUUAUCUAAGUUUACAAUGUAUUUGGUCAUAGGUGUGUAACGAUGUUUUAUCAGUUUUAUGUGGUAAAUCGACAAAUACAUAUGCCUCUAUGGACUUUUUAGCACCACUCAUAGAAUUUUACAAUAAUAAUGUUACAAAGAACAAUUAAAUGAUUCUUGUCUUCACAUGUUGACCACAUGUUGGUAAAUAGUAACUCUUGCAAACAUAAGUUUUAAAUUUUAUAUGGCGAAAAAAAGAAUGAAGUGGGAUAGCAUGAACUAGUAAUAUACUUAUUCGGAGAAAUCUGAGAUUUGGGGAAUCAAGGACCAAAUUGUGUGUAUCUUUUUCCCACUCCUGUGUGUUUUAUAUAAGCUGAUUGUUAUAUGAAAAAAAAAAACAAAGGAAUCUAUGGACAUGUGUUACAAUUAAAAGACUUAUGAACAUAAUCUAGAUAACAUCCCCUGGUUGAAAACUAAUUAUAGGGAGACGUAUUUAUACAAAAUAAUAUGAGUUUAUGUGCUCAAACCACUUGUACAAGCUUUUUUUUUGACCAAAAGUACCAGCUUAGUGUUGUCUUCUCAAGAUGAGUUUCUUUUUAAGAAACUAAACCUUUUAAUCCACCAUGUGAUAAUUAAACACGUUUUCUGUUAAGUAAAAAAUUAAUAUUCGUAGUCUUUUUUCUUGGAGAAUAAAAUAAAAAAUAAGAAAUGACCGGGAGAAUAAAUAGGAGAAUGCAAUACUAGAACACCUAUGAAAACGAUCGCAGUGGCUAAAACACCCAUUUAAUAAUUUUAUGUUUAUAUUUUUAUAGAUGCUGAAGAUUCCAUAACCAGCUGUGAAUUGUGUUCUUUUUCACUUUUCAGCAUCUAUAAAAAGAUCGGGUUUUAUUUAUUUAUGCUUGUCAUAGAAAGCGAUUGUAGUUCUCCAGUUUGGUUAAUUGAGUUUAUAGUUUUGAUGACAAAAAAUCCGAUUAUAAUGACUAUAAAAAUUGUUUAAUAUUCAUAAACCUUUCCUAAGACUCUAUAUAAGAUAGCACACUAGCAAUGAGGUUCUUAAACAUGAAAACUUAGUUUUGUUUUGAACUCAUUGGAAACAAACUUUCACCACUCAAUUUUUUUUAUUUAACAAAUAUAUAAAUUAAAAACAAAUAUUUAUGGAUUGUCAUAUCUUACAUUUUUCCUCGGUAAUAAUACAUAAAAUAAAUCAUUCUUAUACAUAAUAAAGCAAUAAUUAACUAAUAUUUAUUUUUAAAAUCUAAUAAAUCAAAUAAAUUUUGAAUUAAGCAAAUUUUCAACAAAGAUUUUUAAAGAGGUUUUAGAUGAUAAAAUAUGUUAAAAAUACAGAAAAAAAAAGAGGAAACAAAAAUUUAAAAUGAAUAUAUAUUUUUACGCCAAAUGAAUAUCUCAUUUAAGAUAUUCAAAAAUGUUUGAGAAGUCCAAACACACAUGUCAUAAUAUAAUUGCACGAACCUUCUUUUUCAAUAAAUUUAAACAAUUAAUCAAAUACAAAACUAUUAAUAUUAUAUAUGGUAAGAGGAUAUCUGACCACUAAUAAUGAUCUAAGACGAUUACUGGAACAAUAGUCUAAGAGACUUCGGUGACGAUUGGUGAUGAUUGGCGAGUAUUUUAAAGAUGUUCUAGAAAAAUUUUACAACUAAUUUUUUUAAUUAUGUUUUAGAAAAAACUUUUAGAAAACAAAAUAUUUUGAACACUUAUAUAUUGUUUCAAAAAAUAGAAAUAAAUAAUUAAAUCUCUUUAAACCUAUAUCCAAUAUUCUACAGAAAAUAAUCAAACAGCUACAAUAAAAAAGGUUUCAGCGUUAAUUCUAGAUCAAAAAAUAUAAAAUUACAGCUUAUUUCAAUCAAAACAAGAGUUUAAAGAGAUUUUGAGACUUUGGGAUUUUACCAUAAUCCACAAGAUAGUACUGUUUUUUACUGUUUAUAAAUAAAAAAAAUACAGUACUGCUUCUUGACGCCUUUUGAUGACGGUGAUUGCGGGUUUUGUAAUUUCCUUUUACGCUGUUUUCCUUUCCUUUUUUUCUUUUGUUUUUGGAAAUAUCUGUUUCGUCUGAUUUAUAUGGUGUCUUGUGAAGGAAAAAUAACAGAUAUGAAUGGGCUUAUUCACAAUUUUGGGCUUCUAGGUUAAACAUUAAACCGACUCACUCAUUUAACAUACAAAAUCAAUUUUGUUCAACUAAAACUUUAAUACACUGAUGGUAGCGGAAAACCAUCCGCAACAAUUCUGUUACUCCCUCUGUUUUUAAAUGUAGGUAGUUUUAGCAAAAAAAGUUUGUUUCACAAUAUAAGUAGUUUACAUAUUUCAAUGCACUUUUUCAUUUAUUGGAUAUUGUAUGACCAAUAAAAUAAUGUUAAGCUUUUUAUAAUUGGUUAAAUUAAUUGAUUAAAUGAUAUAUUUUUUUAGAUAACAACUUUCUAAAUAUUUAUGCUUUUAAGUAAAACUACUUAUAAUUAAAAACAGAGGGAGUAUUAGACUAUUUGUGAAUGAUUUUUCAUUUCAGAACUAAUAACGGAGUAAUUUAAGGUCUAAAUCUAGACGGAGAAGGGUGUGACAACCCAUCCUCUCACUAGGAACCUAGGUUCACAGCGCUGCAGCGCACCGAUCCCAACCCCUCCAUUAUGAGUCCUUUCUGACUCCAUAAUUAGGUUGUUGGUGAGACUUGAACCCAGGUCCUCGCCCUUUAACAACACUCCUUCAGGAUGAGUUGUCACCAAUUGAUCUGCAUGUCAAUUGGUGACAACUCAUCCUGGAGGAGUGUUGUUAAAGGGUGAGGAUCUGGGUUCGAGUCUCACCAACAACCUAAUUAUGGAGUCAGAAAGGACUCAUAAUGGAGAGGUUGGGGUCGGUGCGCUGCAGCGCUGUGAACCUAAGUUCCUAGUGAGAGGAUGGGUUGUCACAAAGGGUUGCUAAAUUUUCAAAAUUUCAAGUAUUUUGAUUUUUUUUUCUAUUCGUCAGUCAAUGGUGGUUCAUGCCGUAUAAUCAACGCCCUUAGCCGCUCUCCGGUUACUUCCGUUGAUCAGUUAGUGAACCCAAUCGCUUCUUUGGUUUCCACAAAUAGUAAAACCAGCAUAAACCAAAAUAGUCUCUAAUAUUUGUUUGGUUCACUAGGAUUAAUUGUUCAGUGAUCUCUAUGUUCACCUAAUCUGGAUCGUUUUUUUGAAGAACCAAUAUAUAAGAUACGAUUUGACCUAAUCAAUUUUUUUUGGGGUAAAAUGUUAAAUUUGACCUAAUCAGUUGCUAAGUUUUUGAAGAUCGAUAGAAGAUAAUUGGUCUAGUUUAGGUCGAUAUAUGUACAAAUACAAUCCAUAGUAGCUAGCUCGUAAUCCUCGGGGUUAAUCGAAUCGCAAAAGUUCUCUCUUUUAAAAUCUAAUAAACAGCAUGAGUAGGAUUGAACCAAAGAUCGAUAUGAAAAUGGAGUUGCGAAUAGUGUAAUAUAUCGAGAAUAUCAGAACUGGAAUGUAAGGUACGUGUUCACGAUGGGAUACUAUGUAUUAUGAUUAAUGAGUCGCAAGUGAAUGAGUGUCUGAGAACUUAGAAAUAUAACUAGCUAGGUUCAUGAUAAAGAAAUUGGAAAUAUGAUGUGAAUAUGUGCUGAUCUAAUUAAACCCGCUUGAAAAAACUUUUUUCAUUUUGCUAUCUAUCACAUGUGCUGUAAAUUGAUACAAAAUAAAAUGUUAAAUAUUUGUUUCUCAAUAUAGAAUAUAUAUACAUAUACACAUUAUAUAUUUUCUCAUUUUACUAUGUCAAUAUAUUUAAUAUUUAUAUGAAAAUUUAGGGAUUUUAAAAUCGACAUUGGCCUGACCAAGUUCGGCACAAUGUUGCUAACAAACAUAUGCAGUUGGAAUUGUUUCUCUCCAUACUCAUAUACCUAACAAUGUACGUUCAUGAUGAUACAGUUCACAUGUCAUUUCAAAUCUAUAAACCAGCCAAAGAUAUCUAAUUUUCUUCGUACGAAAAUAUCUAACUUCCUCAGUUGUUUAUGUUAAUUUUGAAUUCAAUUAACAAACUAAAUGUGAUACAGAAUGUUGUAAUUAAUUUAUAGCAGUUAUAUCAAUGUCGUUUUUUUUUCUUCUUUUGGCAUUCCUUCAUUAUAUUUAUUGCUUUGUUAAUGUACGUACUUUAUUUGGGAGUAGUCAGUUAGAUUCUUAGAUUAAUUCCCACCUAUUUCUGAUUUUAUAGAGGACCUCAGAAGUCACAGACUCACAGGCCAUUAUUGUGAAUGAUCAUUAAUUAGCCUUAACGGUUCUUUAAUAAAUCAAUUAAAGACUGUUUUUUCAUCAUAGCAAGUUAGCAACCAACAAGGAUUAGAUUUGUGGGCCUCUUCCUCCCUUUUUAUUUCAAAGUUUUUUUUAUCUGUUCUAAUCAUGUUAUAUAAAAAUUUGAAAGAUCUCACUUCUAAAGCAAAAAUAAAAGAUUAGAAUAAUAAAAUUAAUACUAUUUUAGAAUUAUAAACAUGAAUAUAUGCAAGGCAUAUUCGUGAAGGAAGUUGAUCUUAUCAUGCCAUAAUCAGCAAGUAUGUAAUAGUGCUAUAAGACAACAACAGUUUCAAGCUUAACUCCACAAUUCCCAUGCGAAAACAAAAACUAAAGCAGUGGUCUCAAAGAAUCAAAUUAAAAUAUAUCGAAUAAUUAAUUGAGAGAACCAAUACCGAAAAAGAUCAAACAUUAUAAAACAUGAAAAAACAAUAAUCUUCACAUUUCAUUUAAAACCCAAUUUUCCAAAACAUUCUCAAACUCAGAACGCAUCCAAUUACAAUAAAUCUUUUACCACUUUCAAUAUAUAAUAAGUGUACUUUGAAAAUUCUUAAAUAGACACAAAUCCUUGACAUUAAGAAAGCUAUAAUAUUUUCAGUUUCACCCUAUGAGAAUAUAUAACACACAAAGACUUGCUCCAAAAAAAAAAAAUAUAUAUAUAUAUAUAACACAAAGACAGGAACAAUUUUUUAGCCAGCUCUAGUUUUGCUGGUCUAAUUCCCAGUCGAGGGAGGUGACUCACAGUCGCAAACAACCUCGGUUUCUCUCCGGUGGAAACUGCGGUGGCAGCCACAGGCGGCGCAAGUUAGCGCUGACACCGUACCUUCCUCUCCGUUGCUUGCCAUGAACUCCCGGCAGCCGUCAACGGCGUAGCCUCCAACUGCUGCGGCGUGGUUCUUCUGACACUCGCCGUAUCUCACACCUCUUACCAUCCGAGAGGAAGCCGUCGAGGAGCUUCUAGAAGGCUCCUCAGGCGAUGCUCUCCUCAACACCACUUGACGCUUCCUCAUAGUUCUUCUUCUUGGCUCUUUUGUGAAAUCUUAACUUGUAUAUGAUAAUGUAUUAGCUAGUGUGAGCUAUAUAUUUGAGAAGAAAAAGGAAAAAAAAGUUAUAUAAAGUUUUUUGUUAAUUUAAAUUUCUAAUUUUCUACGGUGGGAGAUGGAAAGAGAGUAAAAGCUCGAGAUAAUUACAAGAGGCCCUCAGUUGUUAACCCUAACCCUAGAUGAUAUAUUUAUAGCAUACCUUAUAGCAAUCAACAAACAACCACUUAGAUAAUUCUAUAUGCAUGUGUAUGUCAGUAAUACGUAUAUGUAUUUAUAGACGUGUACAUGUACAUUUCCAAGGAAUGUAUCAUGUAUCAUCACAGAUGAAAACUUACCUAGCUAAUUUACUAGAGAUUUGUUUUUAAAUGUGUACAUCAUACAUGUAUGUGCAUAUAUAUAUUUUGUAAUUUAAUUUUCUUUUGGCGUCCACAACUAUCCAUGUAUUCACAUGUGUUUGUAAUAUUGUAACAAAGUCAAAAAAAUUUCUUGAAUACUCACCAGUUAGAAAAGAUUGAGCAAGUUAUAGAAUUUGAAACUUCGCUAGGCUUAGAAAAGAGACUUAUUUGUCAUAAGCCUUUUUUAUUUCUCGUUGUAUGAACCAAAAAUGUCAAUAAGAUAGGAGAUGCAUAAAAACGUUCACUUGCAAUAUAAACCACGAGAUAUGGAGCCAGUGAGCCACCACUUUGUGAGUUAGGCACCCGUCUUUAUUGAUAUUAUUCUCGUUUUAGAUGAAUUUCUCCCAAAACUGAUGCUAUAUGCAACUUUUUUUUUUGAACAUUGCUAUAUGCAACUUUCAGAAGAAAAAAAAACACUUCUUAUAUUCCAACCAGCAUAGCGCUUAGUAAUCAUUUUAUGGUUUUAACUAACUGAUUAAUAAUCAUAACCAUAAGCAAGCGAAUAAUAUAAUAUAUAAAAGUGGGUGCUGAACUACGACUUGUGUGUGGAUGCAACUUUUGUUCAAUUUUGCUAGAAAACCCUAAAAUGAUGAUAAAGCUUUUCUUUAGGACCAAACAAAGUGAUUGGUUCUAAAAGGAAGAAAACAGCUAAGCUUGUAUUUGUAAGACCUAAUAUGUAUUGUGGUGGCCCCUUAACCCCAUGUUUUCUUCUUCUUCUUCAUCCAUUAUGUUCUAAUAACACGUACGUAUGAUUACGAAAAUCAUUUAUACGUGUCGUAAAGAAUAUUACUUAGUAUCGACUUCGAGAUAAUACUAUGCAUAGAUGAGAACUGUCUGUAUUGGAUACGUGGUACUGUGACCCACUUUGUUGACUUAAGAUCAAAAAUUCAAAAUUUGUAUGUAAUCUAACUAACAAUCAAUAUGUUUAGAUCGCGUGAUGAAAAUGCAUGAACAAAAAUAGAAGUGUGUGUAUAAAUGUAUAUACAUUUCGACCUAAAAACGUGGGACUGAUAAGUUGGGCUACCAAACCUAUUUUGUACAUUAUGAGGACAACGCAAUCCUUCACGAUCUUUUGCUACUUGCAAUUACGUCUUGAUAUUUUCAAUUACACGUGCAUACAUUCAUUCGUAUUUCAGUUGACAUCAAAUGUUCCUAUUCAUAUGUUCCAUCAAUCUCGGAUAAUCAUGCAGGAGAUUUUUGAUAUUUUCCCCAUUCGAGAUUAGAUAUAAAAAUGCAAAACCUUUGGAUUCGACGUAACUCUUGAGAUGUUAUUGAAAAAAACUAGUCGCAUAACCAAGCGCUUGUGGUUCCCGAUUUCUAAUAGACGUAUUUGUUAGGAAUUCAACAUAUGACCUAAAAUGAAACUAAAGAGUAAUACUUAAUACAGUAACAUAAAUAUGAUAAUAAUUAAGAAUCAAUAAUUUCUUAUUUAUUUUUUUAGUUAGAAGUAAUUUGUCACAUAUAUAUUUUUUUUUGAUCAAUAAUUUGUCACAUAUAUAUUAAUGUUUGAAUUUGAGCGAAAUCGAAUAAUCCAGAUAAGAUAUAUUAUUGUGUCUAGCGUUUGGUUCAGUUUAAGAUGAACUGAAAAUGUCAUCAUAUUGAGAGGCGCAGUAAAAACAACCCAGAGGAAACUAAAUCUGAACUAUCUACAUCUAGUAAGUAACUAGAAUAAUCAAAAUGAUUAAAUUUCUUUCUACAAGGCAUUACAAAGUAAGCUUGCAAUUUGUUAAUUACAAAAGCCAAAGUGGUUAGUGGAGUAAUGAUGGUUAUGAUUUAUGAUAAGGAUAGAGAUUUAAUUUAUGAAAUAAAGCAAAGAGAGUUUGUGUCUCAACAACCCAACCCUCAUUCCCAGCUUCCAUUAGUAUUAGUGAUGUGUGAUCUUUUGACUACUCAGCGGUCAAUCUUAUGUUUUAAAUAGGAUAAGGAAUCUUAGGUUUCACUAUUCAUGUAAUAUCAAAUAAUGAAGCGUGAGUUUAGAAAAUUAAAUAAAUUGCUUAAUGGAUAUAGUGUAUAAAUUUAAAAAAGAAUAUAUCAAAUGAUCCAUAACUUCAGACUUGAAACUUUCUUUUAAACAUAUGAAGUUGGAAAAUAACAUAUUGUCACCUGUACUGUACUAUAGGAUGUACUUAAUUAACCUUGGUAGAUACUCAACAAUUUAUCUUUUUUUUUUUUCCAACUUGCAACUUUAUUAUAAUGACGAAGAAAUAUCCUCAUGGAGGAAUUGAGUUAUUGAUACAGGUACAUAGAAUAUAGAGUUGAAAGAAACUUGAGAAUUAUGAAAUUGUUUAGCUAAAUGAUCUGCAGCUUUAUUAUCUUCCCUUGGAAUCCAUCUAAAUUCUGCAUCUUCAAAUUUCUCCUUCCACCCUUUGAUUUCCAGAAUCCAAUUAUGCAUGUGGAAAUUCCUCUUGGACGUUGUUAGUAGCUCCUGAACCUGUUUGUUGUCACCUUCAAAAAUAACUUUACGGUAACCUUUUGUCCACGUAUGUUGCAUUGCCAUAAGAAGAGCUUGUAAUUCUGUCUCCAGACUUCCAUCUCCAUUAACUGAUUGUUUACCCUGGCCUCCACCUAGGAAAAAUCCUUGAGCAUCUCUGAAUAUCCACCCUCCUGUUGACAUAUUUUGUCUCCUACUCCCAUCAUAAUUAAUCUUCACAUAAUCACAAGGAGGUCUCUCCCACAUUGAUUGUUUGUGUCUCCCACUUAGCCUCUGGGUUGUAUUGCUGUUGCUUUCAUUUGAAUACAACACCUGAGUCCAUUCACGUGCUUCAUGUUGAGCUUGUUUGAGGUCUACUUUCCUCUCAGUCUGUUUCCGUCCAUAAACUAAAUUGAGCUUGUUUGAGGUCUACUUUCCACUCAGUCUGUUUCCGUCCAUAAACUAAAAGGUUUCUGCUUUUCCAGAUGCGCCAGAGGAUCCACAAAGGCUGUUGCCUAUCUAUAGGGUUAAGCGCCUUAUUAUUGAUCGAGGAUACAAUAGCCUUUAACUUCUCUUCAAAACUGAUACUAUUAUCAGUAAACGUACGGUCUGGUAGAUUUGCCCCUCUCCAAAAUGCUUGAGUAUACGGGCAUUUGAAGAAGAGAUGUUCCAUAUCUUCAUCUAAAACACAACAUUUUCUACACACACUAUCUUGAGAGACACGUCUUCGUUUUAGGAUUGAUCCCACAGGCAUUACCUCUGAUAGAAUUCUCCAUAAAAAAUGUUUGAGUUUCGGAGCAGUAUUUAACUUCCAUAGAGCAGCUUUAAUUCCAGUUGAUCCUCUUGGUGGUAAAACUUGUUGAUCUUGGCUAUGUAUGCUCAACCAGUAACCUGACUUAACCGUAUACAUACCAUCGUCAGUGUAGUUCCAACCCAGCAAAUCUUGUCCUCCAUAUUGGCUUAACACAAUGUGUUUUACUAACUCCACAUCCUCUGGUACCAUAAUUCGCUAUAAUAAUUCGACAUUCCAUUGUCUUGUACCCGGGCGAAAUAGUGAAUGAACUGUGUGAUAGUCAUUUACUAUAUUAUCAAUACCUCUUGGAGCUCUAGGUGGAUGAGUGGAUAGCCAGGCGUCCCUCCAGAUUAGAGUCUCUUCACCAUUACCAAUUUGAACCCUCAAUCCUGAUUUAAGAAGUUCCUUUCCUUCCAUUAGCGAUCGCCAUAUAAAUGAGGGUUUAUUUCCAACCCUUGCAUUGAGAAUAGAUGUAUCCUGAUGAUAUCGACCACGCAGAACUCUUGCAAGUAGACUUGUUGGUGUUUGGCCAAUCCUCCAUACUUGUUUGGCAAGUAAAGCCAAGUUAAAAUUUUCAAUAUCACGAAAACCUAGCCCACCUUCUUUCUUUGGAACACUCACUCUCUUCCAACUCAUCCAGUGCAUCGACCGUCUCCCCGUUCCCUUACUCCACCAAUAUUCAGCAAAUAGUUUCUCUAUUUCUUCACAUACUCCUUUAGGAAGCUUGAAAACAUUCAUUGGAUAAACCGGAAUAGCAGAUGCUAUUGUUUUAAGUAGAAUUUCUUUCCCUGCCUCAGAUAGAUAUUUAUUUGACCACCCUUUUGUUCUUUUUUUUAUCUUCUCCAAGAUAAAAUUAAAUAUCUCUUUCUUUUUCUGUCCUAUAACUUCUGGUAGACCCAAAUACUUGCCACAUCCUCCAUCGUUAUGUAUGUUAAGGAUUGUGCGGAGUCUUGUCUUCAUAGUAUCUGAAACUCUGGAGCCAAAUGUAAUAGCUGAUUUAGAUAAAUUGACCGCUUGUCCAGAAGCCUUUUCGUACAUUUCUAGUAUCCUCUGUAUAGUCUUGCAUGACCGUGGAUGAGCAUGGCAGAAGAACAAGGCGUCAUCAGCAAACAAUAGGUGAUUUAUGGUUGGCCCAUAUGUGCUUAUCUUCAUUCCUUUCAGUUUUGUCUCCGCAGUAGCCCUCAACAGUAAAUGGCUUAGUACUUCACUGCAAAUGAUGAAAAGAUAAGGAGAAAGGGGAUCACCUUGGCGUAUUCCUCUCUGUGGGGUAAUGUUUCCUGUUGGAGAUCCAUUGAUCAAUGCUGAGAAGCUUACUGUACUGACACACAUCAUUAUCCAUCCGAUCCAUUUUGCAUCAAAACCCAUCCCGAUCAUUGUAUCCUCCAAGAAUUUCCAUUCUAAACGAUCAUACGCCUUCGAGAUAUCUGUCUUGACUGCCAUGUAAGACUUCGCCCAUCUCUUCCUACUCUUUAAAGAGUGCAACAUUUCAUGAGCAAUAAUAACAUUGUCAAUAAUGUUUCUACCAGGGAUGAAGGCAACUUGGUUCUCAGCUAUUAUGUCUGGCAGGUGCUGCUUCAAACGGCCAACAAGUAUUUUGGAGAUGAUUUUGUAACUUACAUUACAAAGCGAUAUCGGUCUAAAAUCACCCAUAGCUCUUGGAACCUCUAUCUUCGGAAUUAAGCAUAGAUUGGUUUUAUUGAUCUGAGGGUCUAGAAUACCAUUAUCAAAGAACUGCUGAACUUCUUGAGUGAUCUGAUCUUUAAUGGUUGGCCAGAAUUGUCUGUAAAACGCACCAGUAAAGCCAUCCGGUCCCGGGGCUUUGUUUGGACCAAUACUGAAGACAGCUUUUCUAACUUCCUCUUCGGUAACUGGCCUAGUGAGGUCCUCAUUCAUCUCCCUUGUGACUCUUCUAUUAAAAUGGUUAAAAACGCCAUCAUAUGUAAAUUCUGCGUCUCUUGUUGUUGUAAAUAGAUUCCUGAAGUAAUCCUCUGCGGCUUGACCAAUAGCCACAUCACCUCGUUGCACCAUUCCAUUCUCAUCCUCUAUUGCCAUUAUUCUGUUUCGAGCCACCCUUGUUUUGGUACACGCAUAGAAGAAUUGUGUAUUUCUAUCUCCAGACUCCAACCAUUGAUUUCGACUUUUUAACCUCCAAAAUUCUUCCUCAUCACUAUAAGCUUGUGAUAGUUCUUUCCGUAUCUGUCGUAUCUCAUUAGUUGAGUGGCUUCCAUAAGACAUUGCGAAGUCAAGUUCUUCUUUUAAAUGAGCAAUGCGGAUGACUGCAUUAAACGUAUGUUUCCUCUUCCACCGGGAAACCGAACCUCUGCAAGCUUUAAGUCUAUUCUGAAUAGAUGUGCCUGAUCUCUGCUCCGUCCAAGUAGUUUUAACUUCAUCUUGGAAACUCUCCUCUCUGAAUAUUCUUUUAUCAUAUCUAAACAAUUUCACCGGCCGGUUAGUCGUCUGUGAGAUUGUUGUCACCAAAGGUCGAUGAUCAGAAGCUUCAAACGCAAGAAAUUCUGUUUGCGCCGUUGGAAACUGAGCUAACCAGUUUGAGUUAGCCAUGCUUCUAUCAAGGCAGCAACGUAUGUCAUAAUUAUGUCGCUUCCCAUACCAAGAGAAUUUAUUUCCUGUUGCUUUCAGAUCACGAAAGUCACAUGUUGCAAUCAUUCUUCGAAAAUCAACAAACGAUCUUUCUGGUCGUGCUGGUCCCCCUUGUUUCUCCUCAUUACCCCUGAUUUCAUUAAAGUCACCCAUUAUCAGCCAAGGCUCUGUCCGUGUAGUAGCCAUUCUCUCCAAACGUUCCCAUAGUUGAUGUCGCAUAGAGGGUUCAGGGUAACCAUAAACAAAUGAGAGAUAGUAGGAAACAUCAUUCAUUUCAACAAAGCAGUCUACAAGAUUUGGAGAUUGAAACAGAACUGAAACAGAUACAUACUUCUUCCAUAACACAGCAAUUCCACCACUCAUACCUUGUGGUGGAACAGUUACAUGACGGUCAUAACCUAGAUCACAGACCACAUCUCGCACAUAGUCAUCCUUUUGUUUUGUUUCCAGCAGGCAUAGUAUGUCCGGGAAAUACUUCCGUUGUAUUUCCUUGAGGCGUCGAACUGUAGGGUCUACACCCAAACCCUGACAGUUCCAAACGGUUGUAUUCAUGGUGAAGCUGGUGGAUUAGGGCCCACCGCGCCUCUCACUUGAUCAGUUGUUGUGUCAUUACCGCUAGAUUCACCUCUCUCCAAAGCUGGACAUUUGAGGAGACCUUCUUCCAUCAACGAUGCUUCUGCUUUCCUCUUUCGUGCCUGCUGAGACUUGGAUCGUGGGGGAAUGGUAUCAUAUAACGCUUGCAUUGAACUCUCAUCUGGUUCCUCCAUGAUUCUCUUGCCUUGACGUGCAUUAUCCCCUGCACUGUCUCCUGUGGAGUUAGAGUAGAUUGGAACCGGAUUGGAAAGCUCACUGGACUCCUGUUCUCCUGAAAACAUGUCUCUCAACGGCUCCGCAUUGUAUUCUUCAUCAUCUUCCAUCACCUGAUACUCUACCCCAUUGGGUACUUCAUUCUCCUCAUUGUUGUUCUCCUCAUUCAUCUCAUGGAUUUCAUGAAUCUGAACUCCUUGUUCCGCCAGAGGAACAAGUAGUGGUUCCUCAUUAUCAUCUUCAUCAUCAUCCUCAGAGUCAUGAUCCAUUCCACCAUUUUGGAUCAAACAACUACCCGAAUCAUGCGUGAGCAUUCCACAUACCUCGCAGAAACCCCUUAACCUCUCAUAGCGGAAUUUGAGGAGAGUGUUGACUCCUGGAGUGAACUGGAAGUUCUUCUGGAACCGAAGUGGGAGAUCAACAUCCCAGUUAACUCUGACACGAGCAUACUCCACUCGAACUGCCGUCUCAGCAUUGUAAUCCACAUCCAUGUAUUGCCCCAUCGCGCGUCCUAUAUGCAUGAUUACGUCUUGGUUCAUGUACUGGAGCGGUAUUCCCCGUAUCUGGAUCCAGAGGGGAAUAAAGUUCAACAUCAAAGGGUUAAACAGAGGAGACCACCUUUGCAUUAUGAGCAUCCGAUCAGCAAACGCCCAGGGACCUCUCCUGAGGACAUUCUCCAAUGAUUCCUCCGAUGGAAACACAAACUGGAACCGCCUUCCUUCAACAAUUCUUCCAUGAACCAACCCUGCAUGUCCCCACUGUCGUGGUAAAGCCGCAAUGAUCGCACGAAUGUUUUGACGCCUUGGAAUUACAGGACGCCCAAUGAUGAUGAAACGGUUCUCUGCUGCUGCUUGGUUGACCACAUCCAGAGGUAGCGCUACUGGUUCAUCUUCCACACCCAAAUCUAACUCUUGUAAAUUGCGGUGAAGGUUAUCCGCCAUUGUUAUCAAUCUUCUGUACUUUUGCAAUAGGAAUUUGCUCAAGAUAGUAUUGAGUGUGUGAAAGAAUCGACUGAUUCUAUAUUGCCAUAUAUAGGGUUCCAGAGAAUAACUCCAAUACAUUAGUGCAUCACGAUGUGUAGUUGCCAUCGUGGGGAUAACCGUCGGGGAGUGGGCAAAUAACCGUCGUCCGCCGUCGAAAACAUCAAUAACCGUUACCGAAAUAACAGUGCAAAGUCUGAGGAAUAACCGUUUCCAAAUCGCCUUACUUUCGCCUUCUUUCAUCUUUUCAUUAAUAUUUCUUUUGUUUUUUUACAACAGAAAAAUACUCAACAAUUUAUCGUCUAGUCUAAUUAGGCACUCUGCUAUUAAAUAAUUAAUUAAUUAAUUAAUGUCCCAAUCAAAAUAACAUAUUAACAUGUGAGGAAGCGAGAAAGAUGGUUGCAAUAAAUAGAAGGGAGACGUUGGGCUUUGAGAUCACAUGAACCGCACAUGAUUCUUGAGCUCCUUUUUAACACCCUUUUCUUUGCCAUUGGGCUGAAGUCCUCGGACCCAAGACCAAGCGCGCCAAAUAUUCACAAUUGAGUAACGUCUAGCCUAUUCAAUUAAGCAACAAAGAAUUCUAGAAAUGCACAAGUGCUUCAAAUUUUCUACUUGUUUGCUAAUUAUUCAAAAGAUAUACCUCCUUGAAUUUGGACCUGAUGUAAACUAUUUAUUUCAUUACAAUCACAUAUGCACAUAACAUUGUAGUGUAGUUUUAACCUUCUAUUAUACACAUGCAAAGAAACUGACAGGUAUAUAUACAUCGAGAUGUAUGUGAAAUAUUUACAUCUAUAUUACAUCGAGAUGUAUGUGAAAUAUUUACAUCUAUAUAUUAUUAUUGUGUACACUUAUAUACUGUUCUAUAAUCGAUAAAAAGUUUCAUAAAAUUACGGCAGAAGAGAAGUAAGUCAAAAGCCAAGAAAUUUCAUAGGGUUCUUGCCGUACAUUGCUUUACAGCAAAGUUGCUGCUGCUUAUUUUGCCUCUUUAUUUGAUUCUCUUCUUUCUUUUUGGAUUACAGUUUCCAUGAUGAUACGAGAUUGGUGAGACAAUUUUUUUGAAAUAGUCGGUUAGGUCAACUGAACCAUAAUCCAACAAACAAUAACACAAAUUACGGCAGAAGAGAAUUAAAUCAAAAGCCAAGAAAUUUCAUAGGGUUCUUGCCGUACAUUGCUUAAUUUGCUUUACAGCAAAGUUGCUGCUACUUAUUUUGACUUUUUAUUUGAUUUUUGUUUUUUGGAUUACAGUUUCCAUGUUGAUACGGGAUUGGUGAGACAAUUUUUCUGAAAUAAUCGGUUAGGUCAAUUGAACCAUAAUCCAACAAACAAUAACACAAGCGGUUCACUUUUGUAAACAUGGUUCUACUAUUUUCACCAUCGCACGACAACUGGCAUUAUCUUAGAACAAGAAAGGAGAAGCUAAAUUGAUGGUGACAUUGACUUUUCUUAUAGUACUUUAGUGACUAUUUGAUGCAAGUCAUAACUCACAAGGUCACACAAGAAAGAAAGUCAAACUUUAAUUCUUCAUCACUUUCAACAGUAAUACUUCCAAUCCAUCCCGUUUUUAAUUUAUUUUCUGUUUUUAAUAAAUAGUUUGUCGGCCCCAUUUAUUUCACGCAAUAAAUAUUUUGCUUAAUUUUCUUUACUAGUAGUAGUAAUUUUUAAUUAGUAGGUCGUUAAAAUCCACCGGUACGAAUGUGUUAUUGGUUUAUAUAUUUUGAUUAAUUUAGAAAUUUAUAUAGUAUUUAUAAAUUUAAAUAAAAUAUGUAAAUUCGAAAUUUUUUUCUCGAAUUUGAGUAGGGCUUAUUGGUUGUUGUAUUUUAAUGGAUUUGAAAUUCGAACUAAAUCUAGUGUUAUUGGUUCUAUGAUUUUCAAAUCUGUAUUAAAAUCAUGUGUUAUUGGUUUAAUGAUUCAUAAAUUCUAUAUCAAAUCAAGUGUUAUUCAAUCGUACGGAUUUCAUAAUAUAUUUGAUUUUAGAAUGGAUUUGAAUAGAUUUGUUUGGAUUUUUUAGUUAAAAAUACAAAGACUCAAAUCCAAAAGAAAACCUCUGGAUUUGCAUAUUUUACUUGGAUUCUUUUUAUGUUGAGAUCUCAAACAUAACAUGCUUCAGAAAGAAAAACAAUAAUUAAAAAUGACAAUUUGAUAAAUAGAAAAAUAAAGAUAUAUGAUUUUUCACCAAUACUUCAAUAUUUGGGUGGACAUAUUUCAGCCCCCUUAAGAAUUCAGAAGGCCAUUUGUAAAACACAACAUCAUUAAUUGUGUAAUUAACGAGAAAAAUAAAAAAAAUUACUAGAGACUUAGCUCACGAUAAUCUAAGCAAAUUAAUUCGGAAAUCCCAAAAAAAAAAUCAGAAAAAGAAAAAAACAAAGAGGAUCCUAAAUUUAGAACCGUCUGAUUAACCAAGUUAUUCAGAAGAAGUUAGGGUUUUCAUCCAACAGAAUAUCACCAAUCUGUCCACCAAAAUCCUCAAACAGCCACUUCUCGAACAAGGACAAUUGACUUUGGUUACUACAUCCAGUUAUGGCUUGUUUAGUCUCAUGAUCAGGUGAAAGUUUAGUCUGAUGAUAUGGUGAGUCACAAUCGUUCGAGUGAUCAAGCCCGGAAAAUGCUUGAAAUCCCCCUGCACAGUCUUUCUGAACAUCAUCACUCUUCAUCAAUUCUUUUGUCUCAGAAUCUGGAGGAUUCUUCUGAUCAGCGGAGUUCUGAGUCUUUGGUGAGGUCUUCACCCACCCUUUAAGCAAUUUCGCUAUAUUCUCGGUGCUAGAGGCAUAUGUGGUAGAUGUUUCUUGCACCCGAAGAAACCAGCAUGUUGAGGAAGAAGAACGUCUUGAUUCAGAAGAAGAUGAUGUUGUCGCCGUAGUGGCCAACGUUGACGUAAUGAUCGGUGCUACGGCAGGCGACAAAGCCUCGGAGAGGGCCUUCUUGGCCAAGUGAAUAUCAGUUUGAAGUCUUCUUUCCCAUUGACCUCUUGGUAUGUAAGAGUUCGAAUUUGCAGAAGAAGAUGAUGGAGAAGAAGAGAUCGAGGAACGAUCUCUUGAUUGAUCAAGUUCUUGAUGAGAAUCUUGACUGGCUUUGUUGAGUUUCUUCUUCAAAUGAGUGUUCCAAUAGUUUUUAAUGUCAUUGUCUGUCCUUUGUGGAAGAUAUGAAGCAAUUGCAGCCCAUCUACACCAAAAAUUAAAUGCCCUCUAUUAUUUGUAUUACUUUUCUUGGUUUCAAAAAGUUGCGUGAGAUGAUAUUGAAGAAAUAAUCUUUUGAUUAAGGGUUGAUUGAUUAAAUUUACCUGUUGCCUAAGAGGGCUUGGAGAUGGACAAUCAUUUUUUCUUCAUGUUCUGUGAAGUUGCCUCUCUUGAUUCCUGGCCUUAAAUAGUUUGUCCAUCUAAGCCUACAACUCUUGCUGCAUCUAAGCAACCCUGAAUUGCAAAUGACGAUGAAGGUUAAAAUAAAAUAAAAACCAAUGAGUAAAAACUUAAGCUUCACGUGUGUAUAUAUAACAAAUUUCAUGGAUUAAAUUUUGCUCCUAACUUCCUAAGGUCAAUAACAAAACCCUAUCUAAUUCGUUUCAGAAUACGGUUUUGAUUAUGCUAAUUCCACAAUCAAACCCUUUUGGAGAAGAAGCAAAGUGUAUAUUAACCAAACUCAAUCCAUACCCAUAUUGAUAUAUAUGUAAAUAUAUACAAAUCUUAAGAUAUAUAUAUAUAUAUAUAUUUAUAUCACCGCGAGAGAGAUAAAGAUGAAGAAUGAAGAUUAUACAUACCAGUAUUAGUGGGGACAGCUCUCCAGUUUCCAGGACCAUGUUCUUGGAUGUAAGUAACUAAAAUGAUAUCUUCUUCAGGAGUCCAUGGCCCUUUCUUCACUCCUCCUUUGUCACAACAAGGAGGCCUCACCAUUAUUUUGAUACCUCUCUUAAUCAAUAAAUUAAUUAAUAAUCCCUCCUUUCCUCUUUUUGCCUUUCUUAAAUUCUCACAACUCUUUGCCAAGAAAAUAGAAGAAAACUGAAACAACUUUAGUUGUUGAUGAGUCACAGUAACUUAGCCUCACUUAUUAGUAGCUUUGGAUGGAUCUAAUGGCUAAGCUUGGCGACAAAUGUCUAUGUCCACCUUCUUCUUCUAUAUAUAUAUGCUGACCCCUCUUGGUCUUGGACUCUUGGGUCUCUCAAAAUCGAGUAUUUAAUAAAUAAAAAUAAAGUAAAAUAAAAAUGUGUAAAGCAUUAACUACAAAAGUGGAGGUAAAUCCUCCAAAGUCAGCUGUGUGGCAAACGGAAAAGUCUCUACCCUCUACACAAAACCGCGUGGCAUUCAAUGUGGCCUUGCUCCUCUCAAAAACCCUAAUAUUCAAAAAGUUUAUUAUAAUUAGGUUGUGUUAUUUAAAAUAUCAAUAAUAACGGGGACAUGCAGGAUAACAUGAUAAUGAUAUUUGAUAAGAUAUCUCCCUCUAUAGUGUUUGAUUUAUUGCUACGAUAAUUUUAAGAAUUGAAUAGUGCCUAUUGCAUUUAUGUGUAGUGCAUAGGCUUUGUUAAUAAUAGAAAUGUUGAUAUGGUAUUUUGACGAACGAUAUUUUCUCUGCGUCAUUUUUGCUGUUUCGGUUCUCCAUGAAAACUAAUUAUCUUCUCUAUUAAAAGAAAAUUAUCAUUUUUAUCUAUUACAAAAUAGUCAUACUAGAAAUCUAAGUCUAUAUAUUCAAAUAUUUUUUUAUUAUUUACAUUAGUUUAUUUAAUGUAUAAUAUUUCUAAAUAAUUAUAAGGAUAUUAAUAACAAAUCCAUUUUAACUAUAAAUUUAAAUUUUAGUUUUAGAAUAACAAAAUCUGUUGAGAAAAAAUCUAACAAAAUCUUUUUAAAAAUUUAAAUAUUCUUUUCAUUAAUGCACUGAUUAAUUUCGCAAUCAGUAGUAUAAUAUUAUUAUAAAUUAAUUUUAAUUAAUUUUUUAUUAUAAACAAAAUAAUGAAUUUUUUGCUAAUUUUAUAAAUUUUAUAAGUAUAUUCUACAUUAUAUUAAAAUAGAAGUAAUUAAUGAAUUACAUAUUAAAAUUAUGUUUUUUUGCAAACAUAUUAAAAUUAUGUUGAAUUGGUAAACCAUUAUAUUUUGAAAAAAUACUUUCAUGAAUAUAAAUAAAUAAAAUAUUAUUCAUCGUUUAAAGUGACUAAAAUAUCAUUCACUUUUUAAAAUGAUUAAUAUUCAUAAAUUAUGUAAUAACUUUCACAAAAAAUAAAAUUGUUAACAGAUGUUAAAGUUUAAUAUUUAGAACUAUAUAUCAUCUAUUUAGUUAUUUUUAAAAUGACAGUAAUAUAUUAUCAUAAAUUAUUAUAUACAAAAUAAUAUAAAAUUUUAUAUUUAUAUUUAUAAAUGAAAUGUUAUCCGCACGGGUGUGCGGAUUAAAAUCUAGUUUAUUGUUAAGAAAAUAGAGAGGAAAAAAUUGCUGUUUUGGAUUGAACCAGUGGGUCUUUGGCCAUUGUCAAAUUACAUUAUGGUCUACGUCAUUCACAUGGCUGAAUCUAAAAUUUUGAGAGCUUGAAAUAUUUUUUAAUAAAUUUUUUUUCAAAAUUUAGACGCCUAUACCUAUAUAAAAAAAAUUGGGAGCAAAGCCAAUGUUUCACUGACCUAUACCCAGAUCUGUGGUCAUUCAUGAUGUUGGGACUCCCCGAUACAUACAAUGUUUGCAAAUGCAUCUAUAUAUACAUGAAAAGAUAUCAAUAUGAUUUAGUAUGUUUUAUCCUGGAUUUUUGGUUUUUAGAUGGAACCAGUUGUACGUUACAUAUGUCACUAUCUUAGGUGGUGAAAAGAGAUUAAGAUUUAAGAGAUAAUGUUUUUUUUUGGUCAAAGAGAUUAAGAGAUAUUUCAAUGAAAAUUUGGUAUAAGAUAAAGAGGAUUACUGGAUUUGAUAGACGCAAGGCAUACAACCAUUUAUAUUUAUGUGUACAUGUGUAUUUAUGUGUAUAUAUCAAUUUGGGUUCACGAGGCCGGAGGAAAAGGAUGAAGAAUAGUCACGGGACUACUUUAAUUUCUCUCUUUUUUUGUCAAAUGUUGUGCUGUGUCAAUUUAUUUAUGCACUAAUGCAGGUAAUUUUUUUAAUCACUUGGACUGAAAUUGAAGAUGUUGAUAACAACUCAAAGACGUAAUUAAAACCAAAAAACUCAAAAGUGUAAUCUCGAGAAAUGAAAAUGGUACUCAAAGGAGUAUUUGUUUACAUCUAAUUAAAACAAAUUUGUCAAAAUAUAUUCUUUUACGGUGGAUGUCCGAAAUUUUCAUUUUCAUUCCCUCUUCUUUAAUUUUAGUUUCAUCACUUCAGUCUAUCAUACGGAGGAAGUGUAGGAUACGAUCCAACUUUCUUUUAAACUAGGACGUAAAUUUCGACGGCCACAAAAAUUGGAGAUAUGUACUUUAUAAACUGAUAUAGGUAUGGAUGGUGCUUGUGAUGUAGGGACUGGCCAAUCACAUUUUCCAGCGUAUAUAUACCUACUUUAAAACAUUAUUAGUAAAUAAAAGAAGGAAAAAAAACAUAAGCAAUAAAAUAAAAUAUUAGGUACAAAUUGAUAUUCGUCAAUGAAGAGAAAUAAAAGCACUGCAAGCGCACAUGCAGUUGAUUACAUGAGAGAACAACAAAUGCGAGUGCAGUUCAUAUUUAUUACUAUAAGCAAGUGACACUGCAUGCGAUCGGUAAUACUCGAUUUAACCAAACCGGACUUGACCGGUCUGUACCGUUUGGUUAGUUUAUUAAAAGCUAUUGAAUAUAUGGGCCUCGUUAUCAGGCCUAGCGCUCACAUCCGUUGGAUCUAGGGUUUAAUUAGAUAUAUAAACUCCCAUCAAAGCUCGCGCCGCACUUCCAUUGUUUGUUCUGUUACUCCUCAUCAGAGCUUUGCGAAAAUGGUUCAACGGCUUGUGUACCGGUCACGCCACUCUUACGCCACCAAAUCCAACCAACACCGCAUCGUCAAAACUCCUGGUAACGUUACCGACCGAUGAUCUAAUGAUGUAAUAGCAAGAUUGAUCUAAAGAGAUAUUUUUUUGUUUCUGGUUUUGUGAAGGUGGGAAGUUGACUUACCAGACGACGAAGAAGAGAGCUAGUGGACCUAAGUGCCCUGUCACUGGCAAGAGAAUCCAAGGGGUAUGUAUGUAUGCCUUUUUUUUUUUCAAUUCUUUGUCGGAACUCAGACAUGAUUGUGGUUAGAUGUAUGUCGGAAUGAGACAUUUAGUUAAUGUUAGAACUUGUUUGUUUAAGAUUGGAAAGAUAGUGGAGAGAUUUAUUCUUGUAAUCGUUUAGAAUUUAGUUUUGGAUGUUUUGUGUUUGUGUAGAUACCGCAUCUUAGACCUGCUGAGUACAAGAGGUCGAGGCUGUCGAGGAACAGGAGGACAGUGAACCGUGCAUACGGUGGUGUUCUAUCUGGACUAGCUGUUAAAGACAGGUAAGCUAAUUUUUCUUAUUAAAGGUUAUUACAUGAGUUCUUGAAAUGUAACUAAUAUGUCUGCUACUACAGGAUCGUUAGGGCAUUCUUGGUGGAAGAGCAGAAGAUUGUGAAGAAGGUUUUAUAUAUUUAUGUUUUUAUAACACCAUAUAUCUAUGUUAUGUAUGUUUUUAUAACACCAUAUAUCUAUGUUAUGUAUGUUUUUAUAACACCAUAUAUCUAUGUUAGUUGUCACAAAUCUUCCCCUCAUUGUAUAUUUAUAUAUGUAUGUUUUUAUAACACCAUAUAUCUAUGUUAUGCCUCUUUAUCUAUAUAUUUUGGUAUCAAAUAUAUAGUUCACAAAUAUUCAUUGUAUAUAUAUAUACACGUUAUGCCUCUUUAUCUAAUAUCAUUUGACGUUUUUUUGUUAGCAGGGAAAAGUUUGGUUAGGCCCUAAUCUUCUUAUAUGUCUGAAACCACCUGCUGUUAAUAUAUGAUGAUAUGAUGUAAAUCACCCCUCCCAACAUAAAUCAAAUUAGGAAUACAAUAGAUCCAAUUCUUUACGUUAAAUCACUAGUCCAGACACAUCGUCGGUAGCAUUUCAAUGUUACAUGACAACGACGACGAAAACUUCAAGUUUGGUAUUAUCUUUGAUCAUCAUUAGCCAACAUGUCUAUAUACCCGAAUCCAAAAAAGGAAGAAGAAGAAAUUGAUGUAGAUGGCCAUCUGGUUAUAUGGUAGGGAAUCUAUGAAAACGGCAAUUGUACAUUUUACAUAUCAAAAUGAGUUUACCCAUUUCAAACAGAAAAGCAAAACCAGUUGAAUUAUUUCUUAUUACCUAACUUAAAAUUACGUUUUAUGAAAACUCACUUUUGGUUAUUUAUUAAUUAAGAAAGUAUAAUUAGCACAUUACCAUGUUAGGAAAAUAAAUUAGGGUCGUAGGUCCUAAUAUCACGGAUGUUGUCGAACAAAAUAAAGCAUAAGAUAAGAGAUCUUUCUCUGUAUAAUGAAAAUAUUAGAUUGAGAUUUUUUAAUAGAAAAAAUGGGAUAUUAUAAAGAGUAUGAUUCAAAGGUGACAAUGGCACCAAGACAAACUAAUUAAUUAUAAUUGUAUCAAAGGAAAAGUCAUUAAUGUUGGACCCUACAAUACCCAUUUAAAGGCAAACAAUAAUAAUUCUCAAACAUGUUAUAAGAGUUAUCGGUUGAAUCAAAUUAUAUAAUAAUAAUUCAUGUACUCACUUCCAUUAUAAUCAGAUUUGUUUAUGGAAUGUGGUGAUUAUCAAUCUAUAAAUAGGUUUAUCUAUUACCUAUAAGCACUGUAUACAGUCGAAAGUUUCUUUUGCUGAGUUUUAAGUACCUUUUACAACUAAUAAAGUUGUGCCUAUACUAAAGAGAAAUCUCACAAAGAUCAUCAAACCAGCCGUUACAUUCUUUUCUUUAUUUCCUUUAAAAAGGGUUCAUUAAGUUCGGCAAACAACAAAAAUAAUCCAUUAAAUUUAACCAUGUCCUUUUUCAUACAAGACGUUUAAAUAUAUUUUAUAUAUGAUACAAUAUUAAUUUCUUUAGUAAAAAACGGCCACUAUGUCAAAUGCAUUUCUAAAAGUUAUCCACUUAUUCUACACGAAUUUUAAUUCGAUCGCAUAAGCAAGUAUGGUCAACAUGAUCUCUGUUUAUGUCAAUCAAUCAACCUUUAGAUACAAUGUCAAUAUCUAGUGACAAUCAACGAUUCAAAAUUAGUGAAACUUGUUUGAGUGGUGUUUGUUGUUAUUUUAUGCUGUGUCCCCUACCAAACAUCGAUGCUUCCUCAAAAAGAAUAAAAGACAUUUCGUUAAAAUACACCACGAUAUCUUCAUUAUGUUGGAAAAUAAGUGUUAUAAAGCAUAAAAGAACUUUCCAUCAAUGGAUCAAGCUAGAAAGAAGGAAUCAUAGUAGCAGUAAACCGUAGACCAUAUCUUAUUCAACUCUCACAUGCCCCAAUUUUGGCCUCAACCCAAUCUUUGAAUCUUAUGUUAAACAAUAAUUACAGGAAUAUUAAUUUGAUAUACUAUAACAUAAAAUUAGAUGCUUUGCUCGAGGAAAGGGGUGCACAAACGACCAAAUCCACAUAUUUACUAUUUAUACAUUUAUUUAUUCUUAUCUGUUGUCGUUGGCACUUGGCCUAUCAGUAUUUUCCUAUUUUCACUAUCCAAGACCAACUUCAUUGCGAAUUUCUCAAACAAUACCUCAUCAAUAAAAUAAAAGAAGUAUAAGAAAAUUAGGAAAAAAAUGAAUUGGGGUUCUUAUUUGAGAUAGGAUGAGAUAGUCAUGAAAACACCAGGUGCCAUUAGUCCAUAUAUGAUUGGUUUAUUUGUUCUAAGUAGUAAAAUUUAUCUAAACAAACAGUUAGAUUAAUAUCAAUAUUUAGAGGUUGAGAUCAUCUAUACGGGGAUCUUAGGGAUAGACAUGCUUUAAUAGGUUUGAUGACAAAUAGUAUGUUUGAAAUAAAGAUCUUAUGUUUUAUUGAUGAAAUAGAUGAGUAUAUAUACUCAAGAACUUAAACAAGACCAAAGCUUAACGUAAAUAGGAAAACCUAAUUGUUAUCCUUAUCAGAAACUUAAAUAGAAAACUUAUCCUAAGUUAUAUAGGAGUUAUCCUCCAAUACCCCUCCUCAAGUUGGAGCAUGUAGGUUGUUAAUGCCUAACUUGAGAAGAAAUGAAUCGAAUUCUUUACGUCCAAGAGCUUUGGUUAGAAUAUCGGCAAGCUGGUCAUGAGUCGAAACAUGAGUCGUUCUGAUGACUCCUUUAGUUAUCUCAUCUCGUACAAAUUGGCAAAUGAUCCCCAUAUGCUUAGUCUUUUCAUGUAGGACCGGGUUAGCGCUUAUAUGUAGUGCUGAUUUGUUGUCGCAGCAGAUGAGCAUUGGUUCCUUGUGUGUAAUACCAAGUUCAGUAAGCAAAUCUUUGAUCCAGAUAAGCUCCUGUGUUAUAGCUUUUAGUGCUCUAAACUCGGCUUCAGUUGAAGAAAGAGAAACACAAUCCUGUUUUCUUGUCUUCCACGCUACAGGGGACGUCCCAAAUUGUACAAUCAUGCCAGUUAGCGAUCGAUGCGUCACCGGACAUGCGCCCCAAUCUGAGUCACACCAACCAGUCAAGGAGAGCGGAGCAUCGGCACGACAUAGAACCCCUUGUCCAAUCGUCCUUUUUAAGUACCGCACAACCUUGAAGGCUGCAAGCCAAUGUUCCUCUCUAGGCUUUUGCAUGAAUUGAGUGAGAAUGUGGAUAGAAUAUGCAAGAUCUGGUCGAGUAGCUAGAAGGUAAAUGAGUCUUCCAGUAAGGCGUCGGUACCGUUCUGGAUCAUCAAGAAACGGACUGUUUGAUUUUGCGAGAUUGUGGUUUUGAUCCAUAGGUGAUCCAGCCGGUUUACUUCCAAGCAAGCCACACUCCGUAAUGAUAUCAAUCGUAUACUUACGUUGACAUAGAUAGAUUCCUUGUGGUCCUCGUGCGACUUCGAGGCCAAGAAAAUAUUUGAGAGAACCCAAAUCCUUCAUAAAGAAACAUGUUGAUAAAUAUGUUUUGAAUGAUCGUAUUGCAUCUGAUGAGUCUCCCGAGAUAAUCAAGUCAUCGACAUAGACAAGAAUGCGCAGUGUGACUUUGUUGCGUGAAUACACAAACAGUGAAUGGUCUGAGCAUGUCUGAGAGAAUCCAUAUUUCACGAGGGCUUCAACUAGUUUAGCAAACCAACACCGGGGUGCUUGUUUUAACCCAUAGAGUGACUUUCUGAGACGGCAGACUCGGUUAUCGUUUGGAGCUGCGAACCCCAAAGGAAUCUUGAUAUACACUUCAUCAUGGAGAUCUCCAUGAAGGAAGGCAUUGUGUACGUCCAUUUGAUGUAUCUCAUGAUUCUUCUUUGCUGCAAUAUCAAGAAAAAUGCGGACCGUCGUCAUCUUUGCUACUGGUGAGAACGUCUCUGUGUAGUCGAGACCUUCUUCUUGAUUAUUUCCCAGAACAACCAGUCGAGAUUUAUGACGUUCUAUUUUUCCAUUUGCCAGAAGUUUAAUGGUGUAAAUCCAUUUAGUUCCAAGAGCCUUUUUGCCUGGUGGGAGUUCUUGAAGAUCCCACGUAUGAUUACGUUCAAGUGCAUCCAUCUCUGUUUUCAUAGAUGCCCGCCAUACAUCGUAUUUCAUUGCCUCCCGAAAAUGCUUAGGCUCGAUAUUGGUUGUUAAAGCCACAAGAUAGCUACGAUGGGAAGAUGAAAACCGAUCAUAGGAGACAAAAUCAGAUAGAGGAAAGAUCGUACCUGAAGACGGCUGAGGCGCGGAUGAAGGAAGAGAAGAAGUGAAGAUAGGGAUUGUAGUAACCGUAUUCACGACAUAGUCACGUAGUCGAGAAGAGGGCAUUCGUGUGCGCUGACCGCGUCCCAUAUUGUCUGCAGGUUCUAUAACACAUGUUGUGUCUGUUGCAGUCGUUGUAGUCAAUAUCUCUGUUUCAUCAUCUGGCUGUGUUGUUUCGACUGGUGUCUCAGUAUGUAAGGCACUUUGAUCAUCUUCUGUUUCUAGAUUUUCUUCUUGUAUGUUUGAGUUCACAAACGGUCCUGUAGCAAGGAUCUCCUCAGUCUGUGACGUCGUUUUCUUAUCAGAAUAAGGGAAUAUAGUUUCUUGGAAUUCAACAUCUCUUGAUAUAAACACCGUUUCUUGCUCCAGGUCAAAGAGUUUCCAGCCUUUAGUACCCGAAGGAUAACCGAUGAGUAUGCACCGUCUGCUUCGUGAGGCGAACUUGUCACCCUUAGUAUUUUUAUUAUGAGCAUACGCUAGGCAUCCCAACACACGAAGAUGAGACAUGGUCGGAGGCUGUUCAUGGAGAAUCUCGUAUGGAGUUUUGUUAUUGAGCAAAGGUGAUGGUGUUCGAUUGAUGAGAUGUCCUGCGGUCAAAACACACUCUCCCCAAAAUUCGAUUGGCAAGUUUGCUUGAAACCGUAAGGCACGUGCAAUGUUGAGGAUGUGUCGAUGUUUCCUUUCAGCCCGUCCAUUCUGUUGCGGUGUAUAAACGCACGAUGUUUCAUGGAUGAUCCCUUGUUCUUUGAAGAAACGUGUGAGACAAGUGAACUCUGUUCCGUUAUCACUUCUCACUGUUUUUACUUUCUUUGAAAAUUGUCUUUCGACUAAGAGUAGGAAGUCUUUGAGUUGUUGAGAAACCAUCGAUUUAUCUGGCAUCAAAUAUAACCAUACGGCUCUUGAUCUGUCAUCAAGGAUUGUGAGAAAAUAUCUAGAACCGCAGAAGGCUGUUGUUCGGUAAGGUCCCCAGACAUCACAGUGUAUUAAAUCAAAAACUUCUUUUGCAUUAUGAGAACUGUCUGGAAAACUAAGUCGAGUUUGUUUGGCUCGAAAACAAAUAUCACAAGUUUUGAUAAUAUGUUCAUUAGAAGAUGAACUCUUAAUCUCAGGAAUCAUGCUGGUAAUUCGAGAAGAUGGAUGACCAAGGCGCCUAUGCCACAAAACUGAGUCUUCAAGGACAUUAGUCUGCAGCGACACGAAUGUUUCAAUCCCUCGAUAUUGUCUGCAGGUUCUAUAACACAUGUUGUGUCUGUUGCAGUCGUUGUAGUCAAUAUCUCUGUUUCAUCAUCUGGCUGUGUUGUUUCGACUGGUGUCUCAGUAUGUAAGGCACUUUGAUCAUCUUCUGUUUCUAGAUUUUCUUCUUGUAUGUUUGAGUUCACAAACGGUCCUGUAGCAAGGAUCUCCUCAGUCUGUGACGUCGUUUUCUUAUCAGAAUAAGGGAAUAUAGUUUCUUGGAAUUCAACAUCUCUUGAUAUAAACACCGUUUCUUGCUCCAGGUCAAAGAGUUUCCAGCCUUUAGUACCCGAAGGAUAACCGAUGAGUAUGCACCGUCUGCUUCGUGAGGCGAACUUGUCACCCUUAGUAUUUUUAUUAUGAGCAUACGCUAGGCAUCCCAACACACGAAGAUGAGACAUGGUCGGAGGCUGUUCAUGGAGAAUCUCGUAUGGAGUUUUGUUAUUGAGCAAAGGUGAUGGUGUUCGAUUGAUGAGAUGUCCUGCGGUCAAAACACACUCUCCCCAAAAUUCGAUUGGCAAGUUUGCUUGAAACCGUAAGGCACGUGCAAUGUUGAGGAUGUGUCGAUGUUUCCUUUCAGCCCGUCCAUUCUGUUGCGGUGUAUAAACGCACGAUGUUUCAUGGAUGAUCCCUUGUUCUUUGAAGAAACGUGUGAGACAAGUGAACUCUGUUCCGUUAUCACUUCUCACUGUUUUUACUUUCUUUGAAAAUUGUCUUUCGACUAAGAGUAGGAAGUCUUUGAGUUGUUGAGAAACCAUCGAUUUAUCUGGCAUCAAAUAUAACCAUACGGCUCUUGAUCUGUCAUCAAGGAUUGUGAGAAAAUAUCUAGAACCGCAGAAGGCUGUUGUUCGGUAAGGUCCCCAGACAUCACAGUGUAUUAAAUCAAAAACUUCUUUUGCAUUAUGAGAACUGUCUGGAAAACUAAGUCGAGUUUGUUUGGCUCGAAAACAAAUAUCACAAGUUUUGAUAAUAUGUUCAUUAGAAGAUGAACUCUUAAUCUCAGGAAUCAUGCUGGUAAUUCGAGAAGAUGGAUGACCAAGGCGCCUAUGCCACAAAACUGAGUCUUCAAGGACAUUAGUCUGCAGCGACACGAAUGUUUCAAUCCCUCGAAACCGGUACAAUCCCUCUCCUUCUCUUUCACCCGCUCCAAUCAGCGUCCUCGAGGUACGGUCCUGCAAUAUCAUAAGUUUAUCAGUGACUUGUCCAACAAGAAAAUUAUCAGAAACAAGUUGACCGAAGGAGAUAAGAUUGGUAUGAAAUCCUUCGACGUAAUACACAUUCCGAAUUUGCAAUUUCGGAGUGAGUGUUACGGUUCCUUGUUUUGAAGCUACAGCACCGGACCCUGCUGGUAAUAAGACAGGUAUGGUCGGAAUAUCUCUUGUAUUUUCCAUCAAAUCAAGAUGUCCCGUCAUAUGAUGAGUUGCGCCUGUAUCUAAGAUCCAGAUACAAUCAUCACUCAUACCCUUUAGACGAUCUGUUGUUGCUCCUUUGUUGAUUAGUUUCUGCACGAUGUUCCAUUGGUCAUCUGUGAUACCGGUUAACCCAAGACGAUCUGCCUCAGUGAUGGUUAUGUUUGCUUGAAUCUCUUUUGGAGUUGUGUUCAGAACCGUGGCUGUAUUAGCUUUCAGGUUUGCACUACGAUCCUGUCCAGACGAGUUGCUGUUUGUAGGUUUCGUAUUGCGAUUAGUGGUUCUGUUUUUAGAAUUUUCCCACCACUCUGGAUAACCAAUAACGGUAAAACAUCCUGCAGCAUCAUGACCUGUACGACCACAAACCGUACAUUGCCGAGUUGGGUCCCUGUUUCCAGGUCUUGUUGUAGUAGGACGUGGAGAAUUUGAUGGUCUGGUUUGUGAAGCAAAACUCAUGACAGCUGGUUCUGGCUUUGUUGUUGAUCGAAGAAUCUCGUUUUGUGUUAUUGUUUGAUAUACACUAUCAAGAUCCGGAAGAGGAGAAAUUGCACAAAUUUGAGAGCGUAUGACUCCAUGCGUAGACUCGUCAAGUCCGGCAAGAAAGUCAUGGACCCUCAGAGUUUCCGUUUCUUUUUCUUUUGCUGUAUUCAGGUCGCAUUCACACUUGCCGCAACUGCAUUGUUUCGAGUUCAUACACUCUGCAAUGCCGUCCCAUAGUUUUGUGAGACGCCCAAAAUACUCGUCGAUAGACGAGCCAUCUUGUUUGCAAUUUGCGAGCGCGUUUCUUAGCUGUUGCAAGCGUGCUCCGCUUUUAACCGAAUACCGCUUUUUGAUGAUGUCCCAUAGGUCUUUUGCGACUUCACGGGUUGAUAUUGAAGAUCUGAUUUUUGGUUCAAUGGUUUGUUUUAUCCAACCUACAAGAAGAUGAUUAUUUGCAAUCCAAUCUUCAAGGUAGUUUGAAUCGGCUGCCGGUUUAGGAAGACUGCCGUCGAGGAAUCCGAAUUUCUUCCGUGAGCUUAUGGCCAUAUGGAAGUUGAUAGCCCAUUCAUCAUAAUUUAACCCAUUAAGGAGCGGUUGUGAAAUCACAGCUCCAGGAUUAUCAUUAGAUGAGAGGUCAUAUGGUGAGAUUCUUUUGUACUUCAGGUCGCCAGUUGCUGGAGUGAUCGACAUCGUUUGUUUUGUGUGAUCGCUGAAGUUGUUUGGAUGUUCUUAGUUUCAAGUCGAGAAACAAAGAGUUUUGAAUAAGGAUGUUGUGUUUGCGAUUUUUGCAAAGACAAUAGAAAUUUUAUGUAUUUAGUUUUGUUCUUGCUCUGAUACCAUGACAAAUAGUAUGUUUGAAAUAAAGAUCUUAUCUUUUAUUGAUGAAAUAGAUGAGUAUAUAUACUCAAGAACUUAAACAAGACCAAAGCUUAACGUAAAUAGGAAAACCUAAUUGUUAUCCUUAUCAGAAACUUAAAUAGAAAACUUAUCCUAAGUUAUAUAGGAGUUAUCCUCCAAUAUUUGAGUACUUGUUUUAUGAUUAUUUUUUGUUACUAAAAUGUUAAAUUCACUUGUGUUAUGAUGUUUAUUCAUAGCAAAGAAAAAUCAGGAACAAAGUAAGAAACUGAUGAAAAGAGGUACAAUAAAACUUACACUCACAAAGUAAUUAUCAAUGUUUAGGACUAAAAUAACAUUAUGUAUCUCAAUCCAUAGAUAAUGCUGUCGAUAAAACUUAUUGUUUUAAAAGAAGAUAAAACUUAUACUUAAGAUUUUUAUAACAACGAAAAUGAUAUUUGAAAAUAUAUAAACUAUGCCAGUCCCAUACAAGCAAGAAAGAAACUCAUAUAUUUGAAUCAGUUUGUUAAUGUCCUGUAACUGUUAAAUGUUUAGAUGACACAUUGAUUUUUAAUAGUUGAAAUUUAUCUCCAUCAACGGAGAAUUUAUUAUCAUUUAAUUUUCUUUUUAAUUGAAAUGUUGGAUUUAUUAAGAUUGCAUUUGAUCAAGAUUGAAAUCAAAUAGAGCGUGAUCAUGUUUUUAGGCUACAUAGGACACCCAUACAUGUAUAAGAACUAAAAUGGAGCUCUUACUCUUAGCAUCACAAAAUUUGAUCUCUCAGCAAUACUAAGUUUGGUUUGGUUAUGAAUCAUACUCAUGGCAUACUAAAAACAAAUGAAAUGAUAAGUCCAUGAAACAUAAUUUAAUUUAUGGAUUACAAAUUUCUGAAUCGAAUAUAAAUUAUUAGUUUCGAAAUUUUCUUCCAGUAUGUUGGCUCAUAAGAUCCUUCUUGUUUUUGUUAAAUUUACUAGGUAAAAUGGCAAUAGAGUGAUAUAUAUACAUAUAUCAAUUUUUUUUUUGCAAUUUUGAUUUAAUUUUAAACUGCUGUUAUUUUGAAGCAAAAAAUAAAUAUAUUUUGCAAAAAAUAAAUAUAUAGAGCCAAAAUCUGAUGAGAAAACACAGUCAGUGGCAUCUAGAAUAAACCAAAUAUCACCCCUCUAAUCCGAGAUUAUUAACUCCGCGUGUGGUCACCGUCAAUUACUAUGGGCUAAAAUUAGUGGCUUCUAGAAUGCCUUCGACAUUGGUGUUUUUAGGCGCUAGUCAGAUUCCGUAUGGUGUCUGGAUAUCCAGAUCAUAAUAUAUAUAUAUAUAUAUAUAUUUAUUUAUAUAUAAUCUAUAUUUCGAAACCACUAAUUGAAUUACACCAAAUAUGUGGAUUUGUUUAAAAAAACAAAUUUGGAUUUGUUUACAAAACUAUUAAUUGAAUACAACAUUAAUUUAUCAAACAACAAAUUAUAGUACUCCCAAAAUACAUUAAUUCAUUAACAUCAAAUGGCCUUUUUCAACUUGUAGUUUUUUUUCCUUAAUCUCCACAUUAAUUACAGCAAAACUAAGGGUCCGAAUGGUAACCGCGGUUUUGGUAAUAAAAGCGGUGCGGAAUUGAAGUGCGGUACGGUCCAACUGCGGUUCGUGCGGUUUAUGGAAUAGGUGCGGUUUUGAUAGAAUUAGCGGUGCGGAUUUGUGUUUGAUUGGUGAAAAUAUAAUAUGCGGAAUUGAAAAAGUUAAAAUAUAAAUAUUAUAAAGGAAACAUAUCAUUAUAACUAACAUAACUAAAAAAUUUAAAUAUUAACAAAUAUUUUUAAGUGCACAUGAUUUAUUUUAAAUUUAAAUUAAAAACUCGAGUUUGAUAUUGAACCGAGUCAUUGACUUAUGACGAGUUUAACUGAUUUUUGACCAAUUUUCUAGUUCGAUUUUGUUGUAAUUAUUUUCACAUUAUUAAUAUUUAUGAUUUUAGUUUGUUUGUUUUCUGUUUUUUUUAUAAUAAAUUAAACAAAAAGGAAAAUGUUUUGGAUUUAAUUUGUAAAAAUAAAAAGAUAUUAAUUUCAUAAAGUAUUUUAGAUGAAUUAAAUCUAUAUUUUUGAAAAAGUUGUAAGCUAAUAAAGUAAAAUAUAUUAUUUAAAAUAAAUCAAGGGGAAUUUUAAAUAUUAGAACUAUUUUGAAAUAACAAUUCUAAUAUAUAUAAUAUUCAUUAAUUACUAAUAAAGCAUUUUGAAAAUAAAAAAUACAAUUAAAAAUGUAAAUAAAGUGGUAAAUAAAAUAAAUAAAAACUAAUAUUUAAUACUUUAAUUUUCUCAUAACAUAUGUAGAACACUAUCUUUUGCUUUCUCAUUUGUACAAAUGAAAUAGAUUAAGCAUUUUAAAUUACUACGUAAAUUUAUUGUCAUGUUUUAAUAAUAAAAAGAAUAUCUAGCUUCAAAACCAAAGCAAUUGUGAGACACGUUACUUACAUAUUACAAUGAUAGUAUUAGAUGUUUUACCAAAAAAAAAAAUGAUAGUAUUAGAUGAUAUAAAAUAUUUAUAUCAAUAAAAUAACAUAAAAAUAAAAGCCAUCAAGUGCGUUAUUGGUUGGACCGCUGGUCAUGGCCUGCUUUGAUAAUUCAAGUGCGUUAUUUGUUUUAACACGAACAAACAAAAAACAGUUUUUGACAAGUGCGUUAUUUUCAGAAAAACGCUUUUGAUUUAUGUUUUGUGUUGAUUGGUGACAUCUGCGGUUUUUCUGUCCCAUCAUAACAAAUACGCACCGCGAAGGUGUUCCCAUUCAUAACCUACAGUUCCCAGUCCACGAGCACAUACGAAUAUCUCUCUAUGUUUAUUUCGUCUUUGACCACUGGUCUUCUUUAACACUUCGUCUCUCUCUCUCCUCUCUUCAUUAUAUACACACAUCACAUCUUCUCCACACUCUCAUUCUCUCUCCAUUUCUUUCUUUUAUUUCGUCACUCCAAAACAAAACACUCAUAAAGAGUUCUCGAACUCACAAAUCAAUUGUCAGUUUUUUUUUAAAUACAAAACGUUAUUAUUCCUUUUCUUUAUCUCUCUGCUCUGGAUCUCUCCUCCAUUGCCAAUGAUCUCGUCCUCUCUCUGAGCCAACUCGUGUCUGACUCGCUUCUCCUUCCUUAAUCUCACGCCGCAAAAAUGUCAGAGACAACGGCAGAUGCAAAGCCGGUUCCUCCGGCUGAAGCCGAGAAGAAGAAAGAACAGAGCUUACCCUUCUUCAAGCUCUUCUCAUUCGCUGAUAAAUUCGAUCAUCUGUUAAUGAUCACUGGCUCAAUAGGCGCCAUUAUUCACGGCUCGUCCAUGCCUGUCUUCUUCUUGCUUUUCGGUGAAAUGGUUAAUGGAUUCGGCAAGAACCAGAUGGAUUUACACCAGAUGACACAUGAAGUCUCCAGAGUAAAAAUCAAAUCCUCUCAUUUCUCUCGUUUUAUUUUAUGUUUUAUUAAAAAUUAUAUUCAAGAUCUGAUCUGUUGUGUUCUGUCUUAAAAUAUGCAGUAUGCUCUGUACUUUGUCUACUUGGGUCUGGUUGUCUGCGUCUCUUCAUACGCAGGUUUGCCUCAAAUUUAAAAUCCAUACUUUAUAAUCAGUACCUCUAAUCCAUCUUUUUUUACCAAUACCUCUAAUCCAUUUCUAUAUUUGUAAUUUUAAAUAGAAAUUUUGCUCUAAUACAUGUUUCUACAAUAGAGCCUAAUUAUUUUAUGUGAAGGGAAAAUAUAUAGUUAGGUUAUAACAUCUCUAAUUGUUAGGUUUCUAAAACAAAAAUAUUAUAAUUAUUUAUUUAUGUUUUAUUUUUAUUUUAAAUUAGUUAAUUAUCUAUUUGAAUGAUAAUGUGUUUUUUUAGGGGAGAUUUUAUGAAAUAACCAAAAAAAUAAACAAAAUAGAUUUCUAGAGUGAGAAUAGAGAGAGAUAGGAAGAGAAAAGACCAUUUUGAUUACUUAUCUAAUUUAGGCAUUUUGUUUGGCUAUAGGGUGCAAUUUCUCUUUUUAGUAUCCUAAAGUUUUAAAAAACUCAUAACUAAAAUUUUUUGUUCAUUAUCUCUCUUAAUUUCAUUUUUUUAUAAUAAUGCUAAGAAUUCUUCUUAAUACUACUAUUGGAAGUGCUUUUAGAAGAAAUCCUAAACCGAAACAGAAAUUAUAUAAUAAUAUAAAAUAUCAUUUUUUUAAUUAAAUACAUUCAUUGAAUCAAAAUACUUCUCUAAAUUUUUUAUAGUAAAAUAUAUAUUUAAAUUGAGUUUAAAAUGUUCUAUGUAAACCCAGAAACAGAUAUCAUAUGAUAGGGUAAGAAAGAAAUUCAAUUUUUUUUUUGUAAUUGUAAAAAGUGGAAGGUAAGCUGAGUCCACGUGACUACUUGAGUCAUGGACUCAUUCUUUGUCUAUAUCGAUUAUGCCGUCAUCAAAAUGGAAUCUCUUUCACAUUUAUAACGCUUUGAAAAAACAAUCUUUUUAUUAUUAUUAUGAAAUACAGAGAUUGCAUGUUGGAUGUACUCUGGAGAAAGACAAGUAGCUGCGUUAAGGAAGAAGUAUCUUGAAGCUGUCUUGAAACAAGACGUUGGAUUCUUCGACACCGAUGCAAGAACUGGCGACAUUGUCUUCAGUGUCUCCACCGAUACUCUUCUCGUCCAAGACGCCAUCAGCGAGAAGGUAACAACAACAAAAUCUUUGUCCCUUUUACGUUAGCAAACCGUCAGUUAUCGUGCACCCCAGGUGGGUGCACGUUAGCAAGCAUGAGUUAACGUGCGCUUGAUACUAUCACCCUGUGUUUUUUUACAGGUUGGGAACUUCAUACAUUACUUGUCAACGUUUUUGGCGGGGCUUGUGGUUGGGUUUGUGUCAGCAUGGAGGUUAGCUUUGUUGAGUGUGGCGGUGAUUCCCGGAAUCGCAUUCGCCGGCGGGUUAUACGCUUACACUCUCACCGGCAUCACUUCAAAGAGCCGUGAGUCUUACGCAAACGCCGGUGUUAUAGCCGAGCAGGUGAAAAAAAUCUUUUCUUAAUAAUGCUUUACACUGUUCUUAGACUUGCUCGUUGUACUUGAUCCCUCUAAUGAUUAUGUUUCUCUUCCUUCUCAUUCAAUCCAACAAGGACUUAAACAGUGGUUUCAUGUAAUAAUUGACCUUUAACUUAAAAAUUUUGGAAAAUCUUUUAGACAAAAAAGUUUUUAUAACAAAAUAGCACAUAAAGAGAAAAAUCUCUAAAAUAACACUAUUUAAGAGACAAAAUGACUAAAUUACUUUAAACCCUAAACCCUAAACUCUUACACUAACCUCAUUCUCUAAAUAUUAAAACCUAAACAUUAAUCGCUAAAAUUAAACUUAAAUAAUUUUAUUUUAAGCUUUUAAUUAAUCUAUUUUGAAAGAAGAAAAGCUUGUGUGGUAUAAUUUGAACAAAAAUGUAUUUUAGUGCUAUUAUAGAGUACCUCUCUAAUUUUUUUUUGUUCUUGUGAAUUUACAGGCAAUUGCUCAGGUUCGAACUGUUUACUCUUAUGUUGGAGAGAGCAAGGCUCUUAGCUCGUACUCAGAGGCGAUUCAGUACACUCUUAAGCUUGGUUAUAAAGCUGGGAUGGCUAAAGGAUUAGGUUUAGGAUGUACUUAUGGAAUAGCUUGCAUGUCAUGGGCUCUAGUGUUCUGGUACGCUGGUGUUUUCAUCAGGAGUGGAACAACAGAUGGAGGAAAAGCAUUCACUGCUAUCUUCUCAGCCAUUGUUGGUGGAAUGUAAGGAAACAGAACAUCAAACUGAUGCCCUUUUUUUUGUUAUAGACUUUUAACAUGUGACUAUGUUGUUUCUAGGAGCUUGGGACAAUCUUUCUCAAAUCUUGGAGCGUUUAGUAAAGGCAAAGCUGCUGGUUACAAGCUGAUGGAGAUAAUUAACCAGAGACCAACUAUAGUACAAGACCCCUUGGAUGGGAAGUGCUUGGAGCAAGUUCAAGGAAACAUUGAGUUUAAAGAUGUGACGUUUAGCUAUCCUUCGCGUCCUGAUGUUAUCAUCUUCAGAAACUUCUCUAUCUUCUUCCCUUCUGGGAAGACCGUAGCUGUGGUUGGUGGUAGUGGCUCUGGGAAGAGUACUGUUGUUUCCCUUAUAGAGAGAUUCUACGACCCAAACAACGGUAACUUGAGUAACAAGCAACUCUUUUUAUCUAGGUUUUUGGCUAGUGUAUGGAUCUUGAUAACUUUUUUUUAAUGAGCAGGGGAGAUUCUGUUGGAUGGUGUUGAGAUAAAGACGCUUCAGUUAAAGUUCUUGCGUGAACAGAUCGGUCUUGUGAAUCAAGAACCUGCUCUCUUCGCCACAACCAUUCUUGAGAAUAUACUCUACGGGAAACCUAAUGCAACAAUAGAUGAAGUUGAAGCUGCUGCGUCUGCUGCCAACGCGCAUAGCUUCAUCACGUUGCUUCCUAAAGGCUACGACACACAGGUUGGAGAGCGUGGCGUUCAACUCUCAGGUGGACAGAAGCAAAGAAUCGCAAUCGCUCGGGCGAUGUUAAAAGACCCCAAGAUUCUGUUACUAGACGAAGCAACGAGCGCUCUUGACGCUAGCUCCGAGAGCAUAGUUCAAGAGGCUUUAGACAGAGUCAUGGUCGGGAGAACCACAGUGGUCGUCGCUCAUCGUCUAUGCACCAUACGUAACGUUGACUCCAUCGCGGUGAUACAGCAAGGACAAGUUGUUGAGACCGGAACACACGAAGAGCUCAUAGCUAAGUCAGGUGCUUACGCAUCGCUCAUUAGGUUUCAAGAGAUGGUUGGUACUCGUGACUUCUCUAACCCGUCAACACGUCGCACUCGUUCCACACGUUUGAGCCAUUCCUUGUCGACCAAGUCACUGAGCUUAAGGUCAGGGAGUUUGAGGAAUUUGAGUUACUCUUACAGCACUGGAGCUGAUGGUCGGAUAGAGAUGAUAUCAAACGCAGAGAGUGAUAGAAAGACUCGUCCCCCUCAAAACUACUUUUAUAGGCUUCUCAAGCUUAAUGCACCUGAAUGGCCUUACUCAAUCAUGGGAGCUGUUGGCUCGGUUCUGUCUGGUUUUAUCGGUCCAACCUUUGCUAUUGUGAUGAGUAAUAUGAUUGAAGUGUUCUACUACACUGACUAUGUUUCAAUGGAGAGGAAGACAAAAGAGUAUGUGUUCAUCUACAUUGGUGCUGGUAUCUAUGCUGUGAUAGCUUACUUGAUCCAGCAUUACUUCUUUAGCAUCAUGGGGGAGAAUCUCACAACAAGAGUAAGAAGAAUGAUGCUCUCAGGUAUGUAACAAAAUCUUGAAACAUUUUUUUUAUUGUUGCAUUUCUGAAUUUUUUUAUUUUUUUAUAGUUUCAUUUUUUAUUUUUUUUGUUUGUUUUUUUUAUUAGCAAUCUUGAGGAAUGAGGUUGGUUGGUUUGAUGAGGAUGAACACAACUCGAGUUUGGUUGCUGCAAGGUUAGCCACUGAUGCAGCUGAUGUUAAAUCAGCAAUAGCAGAGAGGAUCUCAGUGAUUCUGCAGAACAUGACUUCACUUCUCACAUCUUUCAUAGUUGCUUUCAUCAUUGAGUGGAGAGUCUCACUUCUCAUCUUAUGCACAUUCCCACUUCUAGUCCUUGCUAACUUUGCUCAGGUAACAAAAUUCUCAAUUCUUUGUUUUGCAACUAUAUGCACAUUAAAACAAUCUUUAAGGGUUAAGGUCUUAUUGAGUCUGCACAUAAAACUUGAUUAAGUAAAAGCCAAUAAAAGAGUAACUAACUUUUAUGUUUUCUAAACUAUUGUUUAUUUUAUAUCCAAAAGUUCAAAACUUUAUAGAACAUGUCAACACAUUCACUGCCUUCUGUAGUUGCAUUUCCUUUUCCGAUAAUAAUAAUCAUAAAAGAGUAUUCAGUCUUUUUUUUUCUCUUUUUUUUUUAGAAUAGUGUGUGACUGAUUGUGAGGGUGCAAGAUGAUGGAGCCCUCACAUCAAUAAAGUAGACUUUUACAUCUGUGAAGAGUAUUUAUUAUAUAGUUUCUAUUGGUAGUACGGCACAUAGAUAACAGUGUUCAUGAAAAUAGCUAAGAUUCAUCUGUCUUUUUAUGUAUCUAUCUUCUUGCUUUACUUCUGCAAAAUAUUUCCUGCUUUAAGCUUUCAUAGUUACUUCUCUGAACUCUGAUCCCACUCUCUUAUUAUUUAAUAAUUUUCCCCAUAAACCCAUUUCUCAUAUUCACAUAAAAUCCAAAAACCUUGCAACUUUUCUUUUCACACCAAGAACCAAUUAUUAUUAGGCACUGUGAAAGAAGGGCAGUGAUUUAUUCAAAAACCACUGUUGUUUUCUUCAUUGGUCAAACUGCUUGUCUCAGUUUUUAUUUACUUAUUCAAGUUGUGUGUGUGUCAGAGUGUCAGUGUUAAACAAUCAACCAAUGGUCCCAAUGAUAGUAUUAGAUGAUAUAAAAUAUUUAUAUCAAUAAAAUAACAUAAAAAUAAAAGCCAUCAAGUGCGUUAUUGGUUGGACCGCUGGUCAUGGCCUGCUUUGAUAAUUCAAGUGCGUUAUUUGUUUUAACACGAACAAACAAAAAACAGUUUUUGACAAGUGCGUUAUUUUCAGAAAAACGCUUUUGAUUUAUGUUUUGUGUUGAUUGGUGACAUCUGCGGUUUUUCUGUCCCAUCAUAACAAAUACGCACCGCGAAGGUGUUCCCAUUCAUAACCUACAGUUCCCAGUCCACGAGCACAUACGAAUAUCUCUCUAUGUUUAUUUCGUCUUUGACCACUGGUCUUCUUUAACACUUCGUCUCUCUCUCUCCUCUCUUCAUUAUAUACACACAUCACAUCUUCUCCACACUCUCAUUCUCUCUCCAUUUCUUUCUUUUAUUUCGUCACUCCAAAACAAAACACUCAUAAAGAGUUCUCGAACUCACAAAUCAAUUGUCAGUUUUUUUUUAAAUACAAAACGUUAUUAUUCCUUUUCUUUAUCUCUCUGCUCUGGAUCUCUCCUCCAUUGCCAAUGAUCUCGUCCUCUCUCUGAGCCAACUCGUGUCUGACUCGCUUCUCCUUCCUUAAUCUCACGCCGCAAAAAUGUCAGAGACAACGGCAGAUGCAAAGCCGGUUCCUCCGGCUGAAGCCGAGAAGAAGAAAGAACAGAGCUUACCCUUCUUCAAGCUCUUCUCAUUCGCUGAUAAAUUCGAUCAUCUGUUAAUGAUCACUGGCUCAAUAGGCGCCAUUAUUCACGGCUCGUCCAUGCCUGUCUUCUUCUUGCUUUUCGGUGAAAUGGUUAAUGGAUUCGGCAAGAACCAGAUGGAUUUACACCAGAUGACACAUGAAGUCUCCAGAGUAAAAAUCAAAUCCUCUCAUUUCUCUCGUUUUAUUUUAUGUUUUAUUAAAAAUUAUAUUCAAGAUCUGAUCUGUUGUGUUCUGUCUUAAAAUAUGCAGUAUGCUCUGUACUUUGUCUACUUGGGUCUGGUUGUCUGCGUCUCUUCAUACGCAGGUUUGCCUCAAAUUUAAAAUCCAUACUUUAUAAUCAGUACCUCUAAUCCAUCUUUUUUUACCAAUACCUCUAAUCCAUUUCUAUAUUUGUAAUUUUAAAUAGAAAUUUUGCUCUAAUACAUGUUUCUACAAUAGAGCCUAAUUAUUUUAUGUGAAGGGAAAAUAUAUAGUUAGGUUAUAACAUCUCUAAUUGUUAGGUUUCUAAAACAAAAAUAUUAUAAUUAUUUAUUUAUGUUUUAUUUUUAUUUUAAAUUAGUUAAUUAUCUAUUUGAAUGAUAAUGUGUUUUUUUAGGGGAGAUUUUAUGAAAUAACCAAAAAAAUAAACAAAAUAGAUUUCUAGAGUGAGAAUAGAGAGAGAUAGGAAGAGAAAAGACCAUUUUGAUUACUUAUCUAAUUUAGGCAUUUUGUUUGGCUAUAGGGUGCAAUUUCUCUUUUUAGUAUCCUAAAGUUUUAAAAAACUCAUAACUAAAAUUUUUUGUUCAUUAUCUCUCUUAAUUUCAUUUUUUUAUAAUAAUGCUAAGAAUUCUUCUUAAUACUACUAUUGGAAGUGCUUUUAGAAGAAAUCCUAAACCGAAACAGAAAUUAUAUAAUAAUAUAAAAUAUCAUUUUUUUAAUUAAAUACAUUCAUUGAAUCAAAAUACUUCUCUAAAUUUUUUAUAGUAAAAUAUAUAUUUAAAUUGAGUUUAAAAUGUUCUAUGUAAACCCAGAAACAGAUAUCAUAUGAUAGGGUAAGAAAGAAAUUCAAUUUUUUUUUUGUAAUUGUAAAAAGUGGAAGGUAAGCUGAGUCCACGUGACUACUUGAGUCAUGGACUCAUUCUUUGUCUAUAUCGAUUAUGCCGUCAUCAAAAUGGAAUCUCUUUCACAUUUAUAACGCUUUGAAAAAACAAUCUUUUUAUUAUUAUUAUGAAAUACAGAGAUUGCAUGUUGGAUGUACUCUGGAGAAAGACAAGUAGCUGCGUUAAGGAAGAAGUAUCUUGAAGCUGUCUUGAAACAAGACGUUGGAUUCUUCGACACCGAUGCAAGAACUGGCGACAUUGUCUUCAGUGUCUCCACCGAUACUCUUCUCGUCCAAGACGCCAUCAGCGAGAAGGUAACAACAACAAAAUCUUUGUCCCUUUUACGUUAGCAAACCGUCAGUUAUCGUGCACCCCAGGUGGGUGCACGUUAGCAAGCAUGAGUUAACGUGCGCUUGAUACUAUCACCCUGUGUUUUUUUACAGGUUGGGAACUUCAUACAUUACUUGUCAACGUUUUUGGCGGGGCUUGUGGUUGGGUUUGUGUCAGCAUGGAGGUUAGCUUUGUUGAGUGUGGCGGUGAUUCCCGGAAUCGCAUUCGCCGGCGGGUUAUACGCUUACACUCUCACCGGCAUCACUUCAAAGAGCCGUGAGUCUUACGCAAACGCCGGUGUUAUAGCCGAGCAGGUGAAAAAAAUCUUUUCUUAAUAAUGCUUUACACUGUUCUUAGACUUGCUCGUUGUACUUGAUCCCUCUAAUGAUUAUGUUUCUCUUCCUUCUCAUUCAAUCCAACAAGGACUUAAACAGUGGUUUCAUGUAAUAAUUGACCUUUAACUUAAAAAUUUUGGAAAAUCUUUUAGACAAAAAAGUUUUUAUAACAAAAUAGCACAUAAAGAGAAAAAUCUCUAAAAUAACACUAUUUAAGAGACAAAAUGACUAAAUUACUUUAAACCCUAAACCCUAAACUCUUACACUAACCUCAUUCUCUAAAUAUUAAAACCUAAACAUUAAUCGCUAAAAUUAAACUUAAAUAAUUUUAUUUUAAGCUUUUAAUUAAUCUAUUUUGAAAGAAGAAAAGCUUGUGUGGUAUAAUUUGAACAAAAAUGUAUUUUAGUGCUAUUAUAGAGUACCUCUCUAAUUUUUUUUUGUUCUUGUGAAUUUACAGGCAAUUGCUCAGGUUCGAACUGUUUACUCUUAUGUUGGAGAGAGCAAGGCUCUUAGCUCGUACUCAGAGGCGAUUCAGUACACUCUUAAGCUUGGUUAUAAAGCUGGGAUGGCUAAAGGAUUAGGUUUAGGAUGUACUUAUGGAAUAGCUUGCAUGUCAUGGGCUCUAGUGUUCUGGUACGCUGGUGUUUUCAUCAGGAGUGGAACAACAGAUGGAGGAAAAGCAUUCACUGCUAUCUUCUCAGCCAUUGUUGGUGGAAUGUAAGGAAACAGAACAUCAAACUGAUGCCCUUUUUUUUGUUAUAGACUUUUAACAUGUGACUAUGUUGUUUCUAGGAGCUUGGGACAAUCUUUCUCAAAUCUUGGAGCGUUUAGUAAAGGCAAAGCUGCUGGUUACAAGCUGAUGGAGAUAAUUAACCAGAGACCAACUAUAGUACAAGACCCCUUGGAUGGGAAGUGCUUGGAGCAAGUUCAAGGAAACAUUGAGUUUAAAGAUGUGACGUUUAGCUAUCCUUCGCGUCCUGAUGUUAUCAUCUUCAGAAACUUCUCUAUCUUCUUCCCUUCUGGGAAGACCGUAGCUGUGGUUGGUGGUAGUGGCUCUGGGAAGAGUACUGUUGUUUCCCUUAUAGAGAGAUUCUACGACCCAAACAACGGUAACUUGAGUAACAAGCAACUCUUUUUAUCUAGGUUUUUGGCUAGUGUAUGGAUCUUGAUAACUUUUUUUUAAUGAGCAGGGGAGAUUCUGUUGGAUGGUGUUGAGAUAAAGACGCUUCAGUUAAAGUUCUUGCGUGAACAGAUCGGUCUUGUGAAUCAAGAACCUGCUCUCUUCGCCACAACCAUUCUUGAGAAUAUACUCUACGGGAAACCUAAUGCAACAAUAGAUGAAGUUGAAGCUGCUGCGUCUGCUGCCAACGCGCAUAGCUUCAUCACGUUGCUUCCUAAAGGCUACGACACACAGGUUGGAGAGCGUGGCGUUCAACUCUCAGGUGGACAGAAGCAAAGAAUCGCAAUCGCUCGGGCGAUGUUAAAAGACCCCAAGAUUCUGUUACUAGACGAAGCAACGAGCGCUCUUGACGCUAGCUCCGAGAGCAUAGUUCAAGAGGCUUUAGACAGAGUCAUGGUCGGGAGAACCACAGUGGUCGUCGCUCAUCGUCUAUGCACCAUACGUAACGUUGACUCCAUCGCGGUGAUACAGCAAGGACAAGUUGUUGAGACCGGAACACACGAAGAGCUCAUAGCUAAGUCAGGUGCUUACGCAUCGCUCAUUAGGUUUCAAGAGAUGGUUGGUACUCGUGACUUCUCUAACCCGUCAACACGUCGCACUCGUUCCACACGUUUGAGCCAUUCCUUGUCGACCAAGUCACUGAGCUUAAGGUCAGGGAGUUUGAGGAAUUUGAGUUACUCUUACAGCACUGGAGCUGAUGGUCGGAUAGAGAUGAUAUCAAACGCAGAGAGUGAUAGAAAGACUCGUCCCCCUCAAAACUACUUUUAUAGGCUUCUCAAGCUUAAUGCACCUGAAUGGCCUUACUCAAUCAUGGGAGCUGUUGGCUCGGUUCUGUCUGGUUUUAUCGGUCCAACGUUUGCUAUUGUGAUGAGUAAUAUGAUUGAAGUGUUCUACUACACUGACUAUGUUUCAAUGGAGAGGAAGACAAAAGAGUAUGUGUUCAUCUACAUUGGUGCUGGUAUCUAUGCUGUGAUAGCUUACUUGAUCCAGCAUUACUUCUUUAGCAUCAUGGGAGAGAAUCUCACAACAAGAGUAAGAAGAAUGAUGCUCUCAGGUAUGUAACAAAAUCUUGAAACAUUUUUUUUAUUGUUGCAUUUCUGAAUUUUUUUAUUUUUUUAUAGUUUCAUUUUUUAUUUUUUUUGUUUGUUUUUUUUAUUAGCAAUCUUGAGGAAUGAGGUUGGUUGGUUUGAUGAGGAUGAACACAACUCGAGUUUGGUUGCUGCAAGGUUAGCCACUGAUGCAGCUGAUGUUAAAUCAGCAAUAGCAGAGAGGAUCUCAGUGAUUCUGCAGAACAUGACUUCACUUCUCACAUCUUUCAUAGUUGCUUUCAUCAUUGAGUGGAGAGUCUCACUUCUCAUCUUAUGCACAUUCCCACUUCUAGUCCUUGCUAACUUUGCUCAGGUAACAAAAUUCUCAAUUCUUUGUUUUGCAACUAUAUGCACAUUAAAACAAUCUUUAAGGGUUAAGGUCUUAUUGAGUCUGCACAUAAAACUUGAUUAAGUAAAAGCCAAUAAAAGAGUAACUAACUUUUAUGUUUUCUAAACUAUUGUUUAUUUUAUAUCCAAAAGUUCAAAACUUUAUAGAACAUGUCAACACAUUCACUGCCUUCUGUAGUUGCAUUUCCUUUUCCGAUAAUAAUAAUCAUAAAAGAGUAUUCAGUCUUUUUUUUUCUCUUUUUUUUUUAGAAUAGUGUGUGACUGAUUGUGAGGGUGCAAGAUGAUGGAGCCCUCACAUCAAUAAAGUAGACUUUUACAUCUGUGAAGAGUAUUUAUUAUAUAGUUUCUAUUGGUAGUACGGCACAUAGAUAACAGUGUUCAUGAAAAUAGCUAAGAUUCAUCUGUCUUUUUAUGUAUCUAUCUUCUUGCUUUACUUCUGCAAAAUAUUUCCUGCUUUAAGCUUUCAUAGUUACUUCUCUGAACUCUGAUCCCACUCUCUUAUUAUUUAAUAAUUUUCCCCAUAAACCCAUUUCUCAUAUUCACAUAAAAUCCAAAAACCUUGCAACUUUUCUUUUCACACCAAGAACCAAUUAUUAUUAGGCACUGUGAAAGAAGGGCAGUGAUUUAUUCAAAAACCACUGUUGUUUUCUUCAUUGGUCAAACUGCUUGUCUCAGUUUUUAUUUACUUAUUCAAGUUGUGUGUGUGUCAGAGUGUCAGUGUUAAACAAUCAACCAAUGGUCCAUGUUUGCUUGUGUUUCUUUGCUUGGUACAUUAGGUUGUGACAAGUUUUUGUUUUUACUAGCUGCAAGCUUCAGAACUUUGCUUAAGAUAUCACCAACAUUUUUUCAAAAUGUCAAUAAGAUUCUUCACCCGUGAUCUAAUGAAAAUCUAUCAGUAGAUUACACACACAAGGACCUAGAGAUACAAUGUACUUGCACAAUAAUUGAUGGUGUUGACGUUUUGCAUGUGUGAUUAACUGAAUGGUUCUUCAUCAGUGUUCUAAAAAUCGGUUUAAUAGGCGUCUACAAGUCCGUCUAGACCAUAAAUUGAGUUUAAACGAAACAAUUUUCCUUGAAUAAUUUAAAAAAAAAUCAGUUUAGAUACUAAAAAGUUGAUAUAGGUAUCCGCCUAAUAAAUAAUCCUCUAUAAAACAUGUAAUCAUUGUCUAUCGAUUUCUUGAACAUUGUUUAACAUCUUUAAUUGUUCUGAUCUAUAUUGCAGCAACUAUCUCUGAAGGGUUUUGCUGGAGACACAGCUAAGGCUCAUGCAAAGACAUCAAUGAUUGCUGGUGAAGGAGUCAGCAACAUUAGAACAGUAGCAGCCUUCAAUGCACAAAGCAAGAUCCUCUCCUUGUUCAGCCACGAGCUCCGUGUCCCACAGAAAAGAAGCUUCUACAGAAGUCAAACCUCAGGUUUCCUCUUUGGCCUCUCCCAGCUUGCCCUCUACGGUUCCGAGGCUCUAAUCCUCUGGUACGGUGCCCACCUUGUGAGCCAAGGCAAGUCAACCUUCUCCAAAGUGAUCAAAGUCUUUGUGGUUUUGGUCAUUACAGCAAACUCUGUUGCUGAAACUGUAAGUCUUGCUCCUGAGAUCAUCCGGGGAGGUGAGGCCGUUGGUUCGGUUUUCUCGGUUUUGGAUAGGCAGACAAGGAUUGAUCCGGACGAUGCUGAUGCUGAUCCGGUCGAGACAAUACGUGGAGACAUUAAGUUUAGACAUGUGGACUUCGCUUAUCCUUCAAGACCGGAUGUUAUGGUGUUCACAGACUUUAACCUUAGGAUACGAGCUGGACAUAGCCAAGCUCUUGUGGGGGCAAGCGGCUCAGGGAAGAGUUCUGUGAUCGCUAUGAUCGAACGGUUCUACGACCCGCUUGCUGGUAAAGUCAUGAUUGAUGGUAAAGACAUACGCAGGCUAAACCUAAAGUCUCUGAGGCUGAAGAUAGGUCUUGUUCAACAAGAACCAGCUCUUUUCGCGGCAACCAUCUUCGACAACAUCGCAUAUGGUAAAGAUGGUGCGACUGAGUCAGAGGUUAUCGAGGCGGCUAGAGCUGCAAACGCUCACGGUUUCAUCAGUGGUUUGCCUGAAGGAUACAAGACUCCUGUUGGUGAGAGAGGAGUACAGUUAUCAGGUGGACAGAAACAGAGGAUUGCUAUAGCUAGAGCAGUGCUCAAGAACCCUAGUGUGUUGCUUCUUGACGAAGCAACAAGCGCUUUAGAUGCUGAAUCUGAAUGUGUGCUUCAGGAAGCUUUAGAGAGGCUCAUGAGAGGUAGGACUACGGUGGUGGUUGCUCACAGGUUGUCUACCAUAAGAGGAGUUGAUUGCAUUGGUGUGAUUCAAGAUGGGAGGAUUGUGGAGCAAGGCAGGCAUUCUGAGCUUGUAAGCCGACCAGAGGGAGCUUAUUCAAGGCUGUUACAGCUUCAAACUCAUAGGAUUUGAAGCUUGAUGGAUUAAGAACAAAAAGUGAAAAUUUAUGUAAUUUAUUUAUCAGAACUUUAAUUUGGGAAGAUUAUAUGGACUAUAAUGAUAAUAUGAACAGGUGUAGAUAAUGAAGCUUUUGGUUGUUUAUGAAGGUUCUUUAAGGUUCCUCUUUUAUUUUAUUUUAUGUUAUAUUAUUUUAUUUUAUUUUUGGCAGAAGCUUUUUUUUUUUUUUUGUCAACUGGCAGAAGCUUAUAUAUGCUUAUGUGCCCUUUAUAUAUGCUUAUGUGGCCCUUUAUAUAUAUGCUUAUGUGCCCUCUCUGGGAUUUGAGAAUCAACUAUAUUUUCGUUUUGAUUUUGGUUUAUCAAUAUUUGGCAAAAACGCUUAGUUCAUAGUAGAAUUGGUAGGACAUUAGUGGUUUGAAUUUGAUCAGGCAUAGUUUGAUCCGGUCAAGUGGUCUUAGAGUGAGUCCACGAUUAACAUAUCAUAUAUGUACAAAUAUACGAUUGCAUUAUUUUCUAAGCUUAUCAAUGUUUAAUACUCAAACUGAAAGUGAACUAGAGGGCUCAAGAACACGCAAGCUUUGAAAAGGUUAUUGUAGAUUUAUCUUCCAAUAGUUGUGGUGAUGAAAAUGUUAGGAUCUAAUCACUCAUUUCCUUUUUCAUUAUUCCUGUCUGGUGUGUGUGGAUAUUAAGCUCAAAAUUAUAUGAAAAUGAAACAAACCAAAGAAACCACUUUCUUAUUGUAAUUAUAAUUUUUAUCUCUUCAAUAUGAUUAGUCUACAUGUUGGAUCUCUCUGCUUUUAUUUGCUUUGCAUGUGGUUUUUUAAAACCCUCUUUUAAGAUAAAAACCACUUUCUUAUUGAAAUAGUAUUUAUUUCCUAAUUAUUUUGGCAGUAAUAUGUAUGAAUGUUCGAAUUUGGAUGAUGACGCAUGGAUAACAAUAACACAGACUAUUUUAUUGAUUUAUCAUAGUCCAGAUAUUUGGAUUUUCUAAGUUUAUGUGUUGUUAAUCUUUUUUUGUAACUUUAUGUGUUGUUAAUUGCAGUUAAAAUUUUUUUUUAUCAAAUUUCAGCACAAAUGUGAAAUGAUUAACUAGAAAAUAUACAUAUAGCUUUUACAUAUAGAUCACAUAAAACUAAAAGCAUCUCAUGCGAAAGUAAUGAACACCUCAUGAAAAGCUGAAUCGAGUUAUGAAUUUUAUGGAAAGUGUUACUGUGUUAGUGUUAUCAUUACAACCUCAAAAUAAUUUCGAAUAGUAUACCACUUUGUUUUUUUAUCAACUAAUAGUAUACCACUUUUAAAUAAAGAAAAAUAUUGAAUAUGAAGCAGCAUUGGAACGCGUAGAAUGUCCCCACUUUGCUGACUGAGACACCUCAGGUGUCCCGUACCAGUAGGGUGUUCACUUUACAGUAGUAUGUGCGUAUUUUCAGUUUGUAAAUGUCGUAUAUACAAAAGCAUAUUCUUAAAGACAGCUAUAACGAAAUGUGAGAUAUAACGAAAUGUGAAGUGUUAUGCUCCCAAAUUGAAAGUUUAAUUUAGCCAAUACUAAUGUAUAAAAGGUUUGAACUAAUCCCUUUAUUGUUAACUGAUUUUAAAAUUUUUUUAUUCAGAAUAUCGUUUGUUGAUUCGAAUAGAAUGGUUCAAAAAUGGUUGAUUAUUGGUUGUGAAUGGGCAUAUUAAGAUCUUACAUUAGAGUUUAAAGAAAUUAAUACCAAUAUAUGAAAAAAAAUGAGUUAAUCCACUUAUUACUUAUUGUCAAUCAAUUUUAUAUUUGAAAGUUCAUAAAACUUUUACGUGAAAAAAUUAAAUAUCAAUUCAGACUUAAUUUGGAUCUUGUUAAACUAUCAAACAAUUAACCAAUAAAAAUCUAUUUUAACAAGAAGAAAAAGAAGCGACAUGUUUUUUUUUAUAACCGUGACAUGUCUACAUCCAAAGACAAAUCACUAUAAAAUCCGCAUGAUCCGUGUUUUUUUACCGCUUAAAACGUUUUGAGUGAUCAAAAAGAAUUGAACCCAUGUCGGUACUCAUAGCUGUGAGUUCUUUACGAUUAAGCAUAUACGAGUUACAUAUACCAUAUAAUAUCAAAUAUGUAACCGAAAUUUUAAACUUUAUGCUUAUAAUCUCUUUUGAUAAUUGAUUUUUUUUGGAACGCUCUUUUGAUAAGAUUAGUUUCCGAUUAUACCUCCUAAAACGUAAAUUUUCUAUUUUCAGCAUAAUUUCGAAUCAAACUAAUCUAACGCCAUGAAUACAAGAUUUUUAGAAUUUUAGUUCGGUGUAUUGAACGUACUGCAUUUUCUUUACCAAACUUAAUUCAUUUUACAUAAUUCGACAAUUAUCUCAAGUCAUCAACCCCGUGCCACUACGCAUGCGACCAAAUCCACUUAACAAAAAGACCAAGAGGAAACAUUUGAUGUGAUAUAUCAACACAUUUCUUCUAUAGUUUUCGCUUCGAUUAAAAUGGAUCCUCUCCUCUUGGGGUAGAAAAAUAGAAAAGUUGAGCGUCUCCUUCUGAUAUUCUUUGUCGCCAUGUCAAGUCAUUGUCGUUUCCCUUGUCAUAAGAGCAUCUCCAAUCAUAAGUUCAAAAGUUCUCUUUGUUUAUUGAUUUAGUUAUUUAGGAAAAGUCAAAUUGUUAUUGAAUAAUUAAAAUAUUAAUUUUUCAUUUUCUUAAGAAACUCUAACGAGGUUCAGUCGAUAAUUUUACUCUGAUACUCUAAGAAUAACAGUCUUCAUCGACGAGAAAACUCCCAAAACAACUAGACCCAUAAUAAGUUUUUAAUCCCCUUUCUCGUUUCUCUUAUGCGUGACAAUAUUUGCAACGCUUUGUCCAUCUUUUCCUUGUAUCUACAACGUUUUUUCUUUAGGCCGUAUGGGUCUUCCAUGACCGGAACAUUAAUAUUUCAAAUACUCCGAAUAUAUUUGUUUACUAACCACAUGAUCACUACAUAAUUAUUCUCUAUGCAUUGGCUUCAUUCACAUAAUAUCAUUGUAAAUUAUUUUUCAUCUAUCUUUUCCAAUAUUCCACCUUAAACAUAGUUAAAAAAAAGUUCUCUCUGUAUAAUAAUCGAAAAGUAAGUACGUUUUUGUGAUAUAAAUACUUUUUAGACCUUUUAACAUUCACCACCGUAUAGUAUAAGUUAGUUACUAUGUUACAAUGUUAUGGUAAUUUAUGGAUUCAACGUCCAUAUUGCUAUCGUGAUACUUCACCGCCUACUUGCAAUAGUAUCGGUAAUAUUAAUAAAACUCGGUUACGUGAUAUCAUAAAGUUGUUAGUACAAUUCAACGUUUGUAAAAUGAAGUUGGUGUAAGGAGUUAAAGCAAUUAUAUAUUGGUAAAUUGACCAAUCGGUUUGUGAGUAAAGCUAUAGGUAGGUGAGUGUGCUUAAACAUCAUUAAGUAUUCUGUCGGCCUAUAAUAUCAUUUCUUAUACAGUAUAUUUCUAUUUAAAACUUAUAAGAAAAAUAACUUAUAAGAAAGUCAAGACGUAUUGAUGACUCGUCUAAAUCACUAUUAUAGCAUGCUGUUUAUUAUAAUUACGAAUUUUAGCAAAAUCGUAAGCUUAAACUACGACGUUGAUUCCGCAACGUAAACCUAACUAUACCAGAAAUUUCAACUAUUUAAAUGAGAAUACUGUAUAUAGCUGCAUACGAAAAUUCAAUUAUUGCAUAUGGCUGCCUUUUCUCAUCAUUUCUUCAUUAACUUAUACUAGAUCCUCUGUCCGCGCUACGCGCGGAAUAUAAAUUUUAAAUAUAUUAUUCAUAAUUAUUAUUAAUAUGUGAAUAUUUUUACUUUGUAUUAAAUUUAAUUUUAAUGUUUAAUAGUAUCUUUAGCAGUUUUCUAUUAUUUUUUCUACGUUUUUGUUUUCUAUAAAUUUAGAAAUUUUAAAAAAUUUGAUAUAUGUACCACUUAGCUUUGGUCAUAUGAUAUGUCGAUAUUUUAUGAACACACUGAAGAUGGUAUUGAAAUCAGCUUAUCUUUUAUGUCAUGGAGGAGCGAAUACAAAAAGAAAUUUGAUAUGGAACAUAUAGCCAUUUUCAUGUAACUAAUAUUUGAUUUAAGACCGCGCUACGCGCGGAUUAUAAAUUUUAAAUAUAUUAUUCAUAAUUAUUAUUAAUAUGUGAAUAUUUUUACUUUGUAUUAAAUUUAACUUUAAUGUUUGAUAGUAUCUUUAGCAGUUUUCUAUUAUUUUUUUUACGUUUUUGUUUUCUAUAAAUUUAGAAAUUUUAAAAAAUUUGGUAUAUGCACCACUUAGCUUUGGUCUUAUGAUAUGUCUAUAUUUUAUGAACACACUGAAGAUGGUGUUGAAAUCAGCUUAUCUUUUAUGUCAUAGAGGAGCGAAUACAAAAAGAAAUUUGAUAUGUAACAUAUAGCCAUUUUCAUGUAACUAAUGUUUGAUUUAAGUGUAUUUAUAUAUAAAUUUAGCGCUAACUAAUGGAAACAAAAAGAAGUCACACCCUCUUUUGCAGGUGAAUACUAAUUUUUAUUCACUAUUUUCGAUGGGUUUUAAAAUAUGUAGUAGGUGGUAAAUUAAAUUAGAUUUUGUGUGUGUCUUUGUUGUAAUAUUGGUUUGCAAUGUAUUAUUAUUUGUAAUCAUUUUCUCUCAUGUGUCAGAUAUUCGUUUAUCCUUUUCGUUUUAAAUUUUUUUCUUUUGGUGAAUAAAGAACAUACACUUAUUUAUAAAGAGGAGAUAUAUAUUUUAACAAAGAGUAUUAUUUUUAUUUGAAUAAUAUAUGUUUCUGGUUGCAAGAAUACUAUAACAUAUUUAUGUAUAUGAGAAAAUACAUUUUUGAAAUCAAUAAAUGUAACAUUUUAUUUUCUUCUAAAGUUAAUGUCCAUGUACAGUUAUGUAUUGUAUUUAAAUAUGAUAUUUAUAUUUUUGAAGUUCAUAUUCUUCUAAACCACCGGAUACAACUUAUUGUUUGUAGAAUUUUGCUCCUACUAUAAAAGUGUAGUAGUUUUUUGAUUUCUCAUUUUUAAAUGUGUUGUAAUUGAUAGUUUUUUUUAAUGUAAUGUAAUUGAUAGUAGGAUUUCAUUUUUUUUUAUAUUGUUGGAUUAACGCUUCUAACCAGCCGGUUAAUUGUUUCUUAGCAUAUUGAUUUCUCAUGUAUCACAUAAGAAUAUUUGUCAAGCUCUCUUUUUCGACUGCUUGUUUUAUGUGUUUAUAGUUCAGCUUUUUGUGGAUACAUGUCGUUGUUUAAUGUUUCACUUGUAUAUUAACGUUACUUUUGUUGUUAUUGUAUGUAAUUAUUUUGUGGGAAUGAUUGAUACAACAAUGAUUAAUAUGUGAUUAUAUGAUUUUUGUGUUAAUUAUUGGUGUUAACUUUUGGAGUAUAUUUAUUGUAGUUUAUUAUUUUGUUGCUGUCAUUAAUUGUUGCCUAAAUUCUUUAUUUGAACCAAUUUUAAAUGUUUUUUUUCUAACUUUUGGUUCAUCUUAGUUUCAAAAAAAAACUUUUGGUUCAUCUUAUUUAUUUCUUUUUGUGUUUUGGCCAUAAUAUUUAUUUUGUAUGUAUGGUUCCAUUUUUUAUUUUUUUAAUUCAUUUGUUAUCUUUUUCAUUUCAGCCUCGUCUAUGUAAAGACAGUUUCCAGGUCUAGCUCUAGUAUUUGUUUUAGUUUUUGGUAUUUUUGGAAAAAAAUGUUAAGGUAGUUAUUUAUAUUUAUUUCUGAGUUUGAAAGAUUCUCUGUUGAUUCCAAUACCAUGGCGUUAAAUUUAAGCCGAUUGUCUUCAUGGUCAUUGCCGGAACAUUGAUUAGACCUUGAUUUUGUUGUAAUAUUAAAUUCAAUUUUUUUCAAUUUAUGUAAGAGAAGAAAACAGAACUGCUUGCCUAAACCAUUCAAGCAAUUAGUCCAACUUCUGUGUCUAAUAUAUAUAAUUAGUCAUGUUUAAGACCAAACAACAAAAACGAUUAUAAAGUAGAGCACAUUUGAAUAUGGUUGAAUGUGACUAUACUUUUUGAAAACUAAAUAAAUAUACAUUUUUAAAUCUGAAAACUAAAACAAAGUUUUAUCUAAACAAAAUGAAAAUCAAUACUAUGAAAUUUUUGUUACUUUGAAUCAAAUUUAUCGUCAAUCUAGAAAUAUGGUCAGAGAGUUUAAUGACUUUCUCAAAACUUUUCAUGGCUUCCCUUUUCUAUGGAUACUGCUCAAAUCCAAACCUUCUUCAACAAACAGAGCAUAGAGCUCUUGUCUCCCAACAGUGAGUGCAGCUGACACUGGGAUCAGCGAAGACAAAAAAUAAACCAUGAGCACAUCCAGUGGCUCGAUCCUUCAUGAGCAUCACUUCUAAACCUCACCGAAACUCUGAAAUGUACUCUCGAUCUUCAGUGCGUCUUCCAAGAGAGAUGACCGAUGAACAGCUUACAUGAUUCAAUUUUCAUUCUGCAACAGAAUUUGUUCCCGAGUUAUACAUCUAGUAAACAUCUCGAUCUGACUGAAAAAAUCAUAUAUGUCUAAAAAAAAUAUAAAACUCAGAAUCAUCUACUGGAAAAAUCUGAUUGAAAUAAUUGAAUCGAACAAAACUUUACGAUCAGAUCGAGAUCAGCUUUACUAAGAGGGCCGAGACCAAAAUCCGACCCGACGCUCUCAAAGACGAUGUGGAAUUUGCCGGUGUUGCGGUCCUAGAAUUUUCCGGAGAAGUGGAGCUAGCAAUCGUAGUUUCAGUUAUAUUAAAACUGCGUAAUUGGUCACCUGCGGUCCAUGUUCGAAACUACGCUAGGAGUGAGUCGGGCUGUUGGUUGGUGUCUAGCGAGUUAACGAAAAAUCGGAGAUUAAGCUGGAGUACGUGGGGAUUAGUUUUCAGUGGUUUUCUUAAUUUAUGUAUAACUAUAAUCUAUUAAACAUUUUUCUGCGUUUCUUUUGAAAGACGACGUGGUCCAGUGGCAAAAGACGAUUUUAUGACGGAGGAUGUCACGGGUUCGAAACGCAGAUCCUUUCUUUUUGUUUUAGAUUUUUUUUUUUAAUUAAUGGCAAACUCGUAAUUAAAUCGUCUUCUUCCUUUUAGGGCUUUCACUUCUACUAAAUUCGUCUUCUUCCUUUUAGGGUUUUCACUUCUACUGCGAAAUUUGCAUGGCCGCCUCGAACUUUUUUAACAUAAAACAUCAUUUUCUUGCAGUUUUCUUAUCAAUUUUUGCAUAAAAACUGUAGAUUUGCGACGUAACAUCAAAUUCCAAGCGUUUAAAAUUCAAAAGCCUGGACUUUUUUGAUGAAUCCGAUUUUUUGUCCGAUUUUGAUGAAAUCGCGGCGGUUCUUCACCGCCGAGCGUUGCAAGGCCAUGUACUCGGCUUGGUUGCCGCGUUUUCGAACAUGGCCUGCGGUUGAUGAACUAUACUAUUCGUCGGUUGAGUAUUCCCGAGUCAAUGUGAAUAUUGAACUGGAAAAUUGUAUUUAGAACUGAAGCCGAGAUGAUGAAAUCGACUCAAACAGACGAAUCAAUCUAUUAUUAGUGACUUUAUAGGUUGAAUCAAUAUAUAAUUAUGAGUGCUGGAGGAAGGUUUGGGAGAUAACACAGUCUUCUCAAAAAACGUUUUUGCAAGAGGAAAAAAGAUGAGAAGAUCAAUCGAAAUAGGCCCGAAGCUUUUUGAGAAGUUUGAUGGUGACGUGACCAAACAAUGCUCUCUGAUUGGUUGAAUUUAAUAAAUGACGUGGACAGCUUUAGAGUGGAGUAUAUCGGGCUUUUAGUAUAGUAGUAUAGUAUUUUAAUCAUACUCUUUAGUCAUGUGAAUUAAACAUGCAAUUUAUGUGUAUAGUGUCUAAUUGUGCUAUAUACAUUAGCAAAAUUCUUCACGUAUGAUUAUUAUUUUUUAUUAGGUAUGAAUAUACUAAAAUAUAAUAUUCAGAUUCUAAAUAUCACAAUAAAUAUUUGAUAAAAUUUUAUUUUAAUAUAAAUAUGAUUUGUUAAACAAUAUAUAAUGAUUUUUUUUAUUAAUAUUGACUAAUAUUUUUUUACUGAGAUAUGAAUAAUCAUCUAGUAAUUUUAAAAUGAUAAAAAAUCUAAAUAAUUGACAUGAUCAAUAAUUGUGAAUAAAUAAGAUAAUAAAGACUGCAUUCUUUAGACGCGUUUCUAACAUGACAUGUAACUUUGCAUAUUAAUCAGUAAUACAGUUAAUUUAUAAUUCUAGAAAUCAAAUCUAACCUGUAAGUUUGAAAGCCAAAUAGUUCGAAUUCGAAUACUUAAAUAUAUGACCUACAAUAGUUAUUCAAUGAUUCUUAUUCUUUGAAAUAUAAUUUUUAUUUUCACCCUAUAAAUUUAGGUAAAAUAUUUUUUUACCAAAAUUGAGACUGUCAUUAUUUUAAAAUUUACUUUGGUUUAAACUUUUUUAUUUGUAUGGAAAAUUAGUGAUAGUCUGCUUACUUUAUUUUUCCAGUGAAAUGGAGUAUACUGCUUCUAUUGCUUGUCGCUAUAGCUUUAGUAACAAAAGACUAUACCAAUAGGAUUUAGUCCUCAUCACUCCAUACUCUAUAUACAGGGUGAUUCUCAAAUUUUGGGGAUCACAGACAAUUAGUAAAAUAAAUUUACUAAACAAAUUGAAAACUCUAUGUUUAUGUAUUUUAAGUUUAAAAUUUUAUGAGGUAUAUACUCUACGUCCAAAACGGUUCUGUCCAUGUGACUAUUCAGUGGAGGAGCUUGUUUAAAUUUGAUCUGUUUUCACCUUAAAACUUUGAUAUUCUACCAUUCUUUGAUAGAUAAAUCCGAAAGCGAAAACCAUAAAAAUCACUAAAACUAAUCUUCUAUGGUCUAAUAUUUCUUCAAGUCAAUAUAAUAUUUUAAAUAGUGAUGCUUCAAUGAGCAAAAUUAUAUCUCAAUCGAUUAACCUAAUCCAUCGACUCGACUAAAACUAAAACAUGCUUGAGAACAUCAUAGUUUUUUUUUUGCUAAAAUGUUAACAUCAUAGUUGACAAAGGGUUUGCAUAUUAUAAAGUAGGUUUGCAUAUAAUAGAGUUCAAACGUCACACUAAGUGAAAAGAACAUUUAUUGAUCAUUUGGCUAAUCAGGUUGAUUCAGCAGACACUAAUCAAUGCAAAUUUAACUGAUAAAUUUCCUGAAAGAGUUCAAUGUUAACAUGAGAAAUUGUAACGUUAGUAAGACUUAACGUAAAUAACAUGAAAGGUUUGUUAUAACUUAUACCAUUCACUGAGGUCACAAAAGAAGAAAACAAAUAGGUAAAAAUAUGUUAACAUGAAAGGUAUGCUAUAACUUCUUAAAUUAUUAGUAUCUUAUAUGAAAUUUAAUAUAUUUUUGUUGAAUAUAAUUAGUUUUUUUUAUGAAAGAAUAUAAUUAGUUUCUUAUUUGGAAAUGGGGGAACAAUUAUUUUUUUAUUACAACUUGAUAAGUAAUGGUCAAGUAAAUAUUCAUCUGAACUUUACUCCGUAACCGUAAAUAAUAAAAACUAUAUAAUCUCACCAUAUAUAGAAACACAACAUGCAUGUCAUUUGGUCUCUUAUUGUUAUUGCUCACUUGUGACGUUGCUAUUUGUUGUGCAAGUCGAAAACAUAAUAUCUACUACACUAUACUCAUGAGGAAAAUGAUUCAAGAAAAGCGAAUAGCAGUAUAAGGUUCAGACUACACUCAAAAACUCAUCGAGAAGAAGUUAAACACACACAGUUCAUGAAUCAUAAAGUAGAACAGAACAUAAGAGUUAUUUUAACCAAACAACCUAUAAGUACUUAUGACAUCAAAAUCAUAUUCAAAAGCUUGAAGCUUUUUUUAAGACUUUAGUUGCUCCUUUCCCUUGUAGAGAGUUGAAAUUGAAACAUCAGAAACCUUGACAACCUUGUACCUAACUCCAGGAAUAUCUCCCACAACAUGACCCUCAGAAAUAAAGAACUCGUCCUGCAGACAUUAACAAAAGAUGAUUCAACAUUUCACAAAACUAAUCCACGUUUAGUAAAUUGGUCACAGCAUAACCUUCUUUCCGUUCUUGAUAAGUUGUACUCUAGCACACUUACGGAUGACAGAGUUAGGCUGCUUAACCUCGAUUCCGUUGCAUAUUCGAACACUAAGACUCACGCAUCAACACCACUGUCCACACUAAAAUUAAGCAGAUAAAGAAGCAAAUUCAUAUAGCUCUUACGUUUUCUGAUGGACGAUUCCUUUUGCAUGAGAAGGACCCAACAAAAAGCUUUUUCCUUUCAUUUCCUAUGGUCAAUAGAAACGGAACAAAGAAAAUAAUCGUCUACCUGCCUGAACCCAUCUUUGUAUCUCUGUCCAUCUAACACUCGUUGUGCCUACAAAAUCACACAUGAGAUUAAAUGUCACAUCUAAGCACAAAUACAAAAUCUCAAAUCUUAUCCAUAUAUGAUGAAGUUUAUAAGUGAAUUAUACCUCACACAAAAGCAUAUCUUCUUCAGAAAACCAACAUCUUCACUUGAAAUCUGAGUUUAAAUAUGUAUAUCAUCUGUUAACAAAAGAUCCAUAACUGGAUUUAAGAAAAAACUCUUGUAGUUCUAACAAAAGAUCCAUAACGGAAACAGGUUAGCAUAAUCAUUUAUAUCAGUAUGAUUCAAACUGAUUGACCCACCUUCUUCACAAUCUCUCCGUCACGGGAAUUGAUUUUUUUACCGGAGAUUCUCGGAGGGUUGAAAACGGUGAUAGCUGUAACCUGGUAAGAACCUGGAUGAUGAUGAUUCAAUGGUGAAGUAGCUUCGACGGCGGCUGAGCUUAGAAUUCCGGUGGAUUGCAUGGCCAUAGAUGUAACUUCUUCAGAAUAGGUUUUGAUUUAGAUUAAGACAUAUAUAUUUAUAUAAGAGAAGGAUCAAGGGAGGUGAAAAGAAACAUUCAAGGAUUGUUUUAAGAACAUUAUUGAUUAAUGAUUGAGAAGGUUAUGCAAAAACAAAUCAAAUCGCAGAAGACGAAGUGGAAGAGUCAAGAGACUCGAAGCUUGAAACAACGAUACAUGUUUCUCUGUUUUUUCUCUUCAUGGGCUGGGUGGGGUGGGCCACACUGAUAAUUUUCAUAAACCCACACGAAAGUUCAAUCUAUAUCAGCAAUGGUGAUAUGGCAAAAUUAAACUUUCUCAUUGGUUGAUUAAAUUUGCCUACGUGGAUAGUUUAGAUGUUGAUCUUAUUCAACUUUUAGUAUUGUAUUGAUUUUGAAAAUUCUUAUUUUGUUACAUUAUGUUUGAAUGGACCAAAGUUGAUAGGAAAAAUCUAAAGAGAUCGUUGGACAUAAAAACACUGUGGAGCCUAAGCGGCCUAACAUUUAGUACGCGAAACCCACAUGGACUAACAUGUUACAUCUCCCUGCAACUAAUUAUAUAUGUAUAUUACAUAUAUAUAUACAAUUAUACACGCACAAUGUCUACAUUUAUCUGCAUUAUUUUACAAAAGAAUGGAGUGAGUUUUACAAAAUAUUUAUUAGGAAGAAGAGGUGGAAUAUUCAACACAUAUUUGCCUGCCUCAACCAAAUCCAAAGCUAUAGAAAUAAUUGCGAAAUACUAUUUUAAGAAACAAAUUCAAGUUUGAAGGAAAAGAGCCAAAUCAGUCUUAACAUAUUUUCUAUGUAGUUAAAGGUUAUAAUCGCAAUAUAUACCAUCUGAAAAUCAUUUACCCUGCUCAAAAAUAAGUAGAAUAUAGUUAUAUUGCUUAUCUUUAAUCAAUAUAAAAUGUGUUUGAUAAGUUCAUUAAAAUAAGUUCAUUAAAAUAGAGAAUGAAACAACCAUACUAGUCCAAUUAACCAUUGUGAUGUGAAACGUAGCCAAGCAAUGCUUUAACAAUCAUACUUUGGUGUCCCCAUGAAGGACCAUAAAUAAAUAAAUAAUUAGUAUGAAAAUGUUGCUUGACAUGUUUCUCUCAUCAAGCCAUGUCAUAAUCUAUUUUAAAUGUGAAAAAUAGGAAAUUUUGAAAUUAAAAAGAUGGCUUAAGAUGUUCAUUAUCCCUUCUAUUAUUUCAAAUAAGUAAAUUUUAUUUAUUUGUUUUCUUUUUAGCUUAUGUAGCAUAAGUUCUAAAAUGUCCAUUUGUAAAUUUUAAACUAGAAGGUAAACUAUAAUCUAUUAAUAAGUCCGAACUUCUCCCUAACUUAAACUUUGUAACAGUAAUUUUGGAAGGUAUGUUGCGUUGGGAAUGUGAAUCACAACACCAUUGAUUUUGGAGAAGAAAACAUGGUUAAGUUGACUAAAAUUUAUAAUCAAUGGGAAUUAAUUAGUCAUUUUCCCUAAUUUGUUGAUACUUUUGUAUGUUAUGUAAAUAAUGCACACACAAAGGACGUAAUUAAGUACAUUUUGUCCCCGUGGUAAUCAUGAUUAAGAAUCUAAUUAAGGAGGCAUAAUCCGAGAUCUUAAGCAACCACAUGGGACAUGCAUGCCGUUUAGCAUCAAGUGUACAAAAUCUCAAGUUUCCGAAACAGAGGAGUUAAAUUAGGAAGAAGACGAACUUAUCAUGACUACUUUUUUUUGAGUAAUCAGUUUCAAGGUCGAAGGAAGUCCACGCUUGAUCCUUUUUCGAUGUAAUGCUUCAGUAAUUAGAUUCAGCGAACAUACACAAAUGAUCUAUAUUCUUCUUUUUUUUAAAGAUGAUCAGCUAUGAACUUUCUAGAUUAUUCACUAGCUCUAGUUCUUAAUACUAACACAAUGUGAAAAUUUAGUAAAUAGUAAUGGAAAUGAAUAUAGAAAGUCAAUGUCAUCACAUGGUAUUGCCUUUUAGCGACAUGCACAUAAAGGGCCACAUUGUUAGCUCAACAUGGAACACUUCUCUUAAAUCCCACUUCAACUUCAAUAGCAGCUUUGGGAACACACAGCUUUUUCAUAUCUUUCUCUAUUUAAAAUCAAAACUCUCCUCCGUUAUUCAACAUAUAUAUGUAUAUAUAUAAUAACCUCAAUUAUCAAUAUUUUUACUAGUUUUUUGUUUUCAAACAAAUGAUAUUUAAAAUUGACAGUGAUAAUUUACUGUAACUUAGCUAUGGCUUUCUGUUAGAGAUAACUAAACAUGUUGCAAUCUGGAUAAUACAAGUAAUUAGUGAUAUUUUCAUAGAUAAAUGUCUAUCAGAAAAACACUCAUAUAUUUUGUAAGAGAUAAAUAUGUCACUAUUAUACCACUAUAAGCAUAAACUAUUGCAUGGUACAAGUUAGCAAGAAAAAAUGAUUACUGAUCUUAAUAUUACAUAUCCAUUUCACAUCUACCCUCUAGGUACAUGUACACGAGAUCAAAGUUUUCUAUAAAUUAUUAUUACAAACGAUUUCGGUUAGAGGUUAUCAAAUCUAUUUCUCUCAUAUUACAUCAUUGUCUAGGCUUAUUUCUCUCUUCUCUCUCAAUCCCUCCCCUGUGGUCCUCGACCUAUUUAAGUCCCUCUUAUCACUUUCUCAGUUUCUUUAUAUCUCUAAGUGUCUUUACACAAUACUUCCUUACAUUUCAGUUUUCUUCUCUUUCUGCUUCCACACCUUCAACAAAAUAUAAAACUCGUGGAAUAAACAUAAACCUUCUAUAUCUACUGGCUAUAUAGACUCUUAUUUUUCUUCAUAAACUUAACUCCCUUAUUAAGUAUUAUAACCUUUUUAUCUCUUGCUACUCCUCCCCAUCUCUUCUCUAUUGUCCAAUCCGGAGAAAGAGAUAAAGUACGCAGCUUAAGUUUCACUUUCUUGCGACAUAAGUAGUGUUACAACUAAGCAACAAGUAAAAUCCUACAAAGAAUGUCUAACAGAAGAUCAAGACAAUCUUCAAGUGCUCUGAGGAUCUCCGAUGACCAGAUGAUCGACCUCGUAAGUAAGCUCCGUGUUCUUUUGCCUGAGAUUCGUGAACGACGCCGUUCUGACAAGGUAAAAUACAUAACAUCAAUUUCGUCGAGACGUUUACGUCUUAGGGUACUUUUUUUAUAUAGUUCAGUUUUUUCCCCUUUUAAAAAGGAAGAAAAAUAACUUUUUUCGUGAAAAAGAAGAUAGAACACAAAUUUAUCAAACUAAACGUCGAAACUUUUGACUCCUGACAGCGUAUUUGUUUUCUAUUUUGACCACAUGGAAACGUCUAAAAACUCAUGUUUGCGUGAUGUCCGUACAUGUAUGUGGUCUUGAUUAUGUUUGCAAAUAAUAUUAAAUAUUAGGUGUCAGCAUCGAAGGUACUACAAGAGACAUGCAACUACAUAAGAAAGCUGCAUAGAGAAGUUGACAAUCUCAGUGACCGUUUGUCGCAGCUCCUCGACUCAGUUGAUGAAGAUAGCCAAGAAGCUGCCGUCAUUAGAAGCUUGCUUAUGUAACCUUCCAAUAUAGUGAUUUAUUAUAAUAGAAAAUAUUAAUUUAUAUGUAAUAUGUUGAUCGUCCUUAAUAUACUAUCAAGCGACGUGUUUUUAAUGAGCUUCCGAAUUUCGGUCCAGCAGUUACAUUUGAUUAUAGUCUGAUUAUGUUCUGUGCUUACAAAAUAUCGAUCAUUGUGGUGUCUGAACUCGAUUGUGUCAGUCAAAAGAUAGAAGAAAAUGCAGAAUGAAUAAAUAAUGAAUAAUCCAUUGUACUAUUUUUAUUCCUAAUGGAUAAAUUGAUCUCUUAUCAAAAUACUUGAAAGUUUUAAAAUUCAUUUCUAACAAAUACUCCACAUGUUCUUAAAAGAUCCAUAUUCUACAUUUUUCACACAUUUUAAUAAAACGCACUUAAUUUGUAUAUUUUUUUGUGUUUAUCUUUUUUACAAUUUUAAGUCAAUAAAAGAUCAAUUAGUGCAAUUAAAAUUUUUAAAGUUUGCAAUUAGUUAAUAAAACAUGCAUUGAAAAUGUAAAAAAUGAAUUUUUUAGAAACAAAUUUUUUUUCUAGAAUAUCUAUCUUUAAGGAACGGAUGGAGUAUUUAUACCUUAUCCCUUUAAUAUAAAAUAUUUACUAAUAUUUAUUAUUUAUUGGGUAUGCACCGGCUCAUAAUUUAUUGCAUUCUAUAAAUGCACAUGACGUUGACGAAGUAAUGAGGGGUAUCUACAUUUUAACGUCCGACAAAUCUAUUUGGAAAAACUUUGGUUUUGUGGGUAUGAGAAAUGUCCCAUGACGAAAUAUCAGUAUGCCGAGAGUAAUAUUACUUUGGUUUCAAAAAAAAAUUAACAAUCAAGUAAAUUUCAUCCCCGCACUUUUCACACAAUAACAUUGUCAUCGUUAAACUUUGGUUACUUUAUUUUAAUGCAUCAAAUUUAGUAAAAAAACAUCGUCAUCGUCAUGUCUCUUUGCUGCCACCGGUAGGUUGUUCUGUUAAUGUAUGAGGCUCAACUAGUCUAUAAAGUUUUGCCUUUAGAUUGAUUGUCAUAGCAAUACUUCACAUUGUGCAGUUUGUAGCUUUUCAGAGACAAUAGAAGAAUAAAAAUCGAUUUCCUGCGUCAACGAAACGAACAAGAGUUGACGCAGAAUGUUGACGCUGCCGCUGCCGCCGGUACCAGCGGCAACCAAACGAACAGCCCUUAUAUAUGAAUCUAUGAUACUACAUUAAUUCAAAGAUUUGAUGAGAAAGGGGUGGAGGAAAAACCUUUAAAAGAAUAAAAACAAAUAUACUUGUUUAAGCGAUUUCCAGAUAAGGUUUACAAUAUCACAAUGUAAACUGACCUAUAUUUCAUAAAAAUAAUAUAUUUUCCUAUAAAAUGUAAAGAUCAAUGCUAUAAAUAUACACAAAAUUACUACUGAGUAUUACCGAUUGGGAAUGAGAUUGUUUGGAGGGCCUAUAAGACUUGAAGGUUCUGAAGUCACCGCCAUAAUUUGAUCCAAAUUAUAAUAACCAUCAUUUUGGUUGCUUGUCAUAUGUUCUCUGUUUAACAAAGAACAGAGGUAAUCUAAACCAUUCAUAUGAAAACGAUUAGUAAUUAAAUAUAUAUAUAUAUAUAUAUAUGUUAAAUUAACAUGGAAUUAGAUUGCAUACCUUGUUGAGAGGGUAUGAGCUUGAAAACACUGUUGUUGAUGCUGCAGAUAAACCUAUAAAUUUGUUUAUUAUAAUAUAAAUUUAAACAUACGUAUUGGUUGUUAGUUAAAAAAAACAUUGGUCAUGGUUAAAGAAAAUAAAAGAAUUGUUCUUAAUAUAUAUCUUUACAAAAACAGAUGUGGCAUACCAAGUUUUGAGAAGUUGUUGUUAUAUUUGUAACGAUUAUAAACAGAAAGUUAUUAUCGCUAGAGAAACGGUGUAAUUGCUGAGGAAAAGGUGCACCAAAUGGAGCGGCAUUUUCUUGUUGUAUCCUGCACCAGUCAAUAAUAUAUUAUGAGUUUACAUAAUCAACUAUGAGAUUUCUAUUAUUAUAAAAAUUGUAACUGAUAAAUUAACUUCAUACAUAAAAGGUAUUGGAUAUUAGUGAACCCAAGAAUAAGUCAAUAAGAGUUACUCUUGGGUCCACCCCCUAGGGUGAACCUCUAGGUUCACCAACCAAUAAGAUUUCAUUAUUUCAAAUUCGAUAUCUUUUAGAAAAGGAAACAAAAUAUUGUCAAGAUAUAUUAUGUUUUUAAAAUAAAAAGGUUAAAAAAAUUAGAAAAAAAAUAAUAGUUAGAGAAAAACGAAUUUAAAAAAAAAAUAUUUUUAUCGUUGUCAGCAAAACACUAUACCCUAAAUCCUAAUCCCUAAAUCCUAAAUCAUAAAACCUAUAAACCCUUGGGCAAACUCCAAACCCUUGGAUAAUUCAUACUCUAAAUCAAAAACACUAAAUCUUAAAACCCUAAACCCUUGAGUGUUUAGUGUUUUUGAUUUGAAGUUUAGGAUUUAUCCAAGGGUUUAAGGUUUACCCAAGGGUUUAGGAUUUAGGGUUUAGGGAUUAGGGAUUAGGAUUUAGAGUUUAGUAUUUUGUUGAGAAUGUUAAAAUUUUUUUUUUUUAAUUACUACUUUUUAAAUUUAUUUAUUUUAACCUUUUUAUUUUAAAAAUAUAAUAUAACUUAUAACUUGAGAAAAUAUUUUGUUUCCUUUUUUAAAAGAUUUCGAAUAUAAAAUAAAAUAAUCCUAUUGGUUGGUGAACCUAGAGGUUCACCCUAGGGAGUGAACCCAAGAAUAAAUCUUGGAAUAACUUGCUCUUGAUGAUAGUUUGGAAACUCAGGAGAAUUAGCCAUAGUUGGAUGUGCAAAUCCGUUGUUUCCUUGCUCGAGGUUUUGACCAACCACUCUUUGGUUCUGAAAAUUAUUAGACAAAAGACUUAAUAUAUUAUAGUUAUGAAAUUGAAAUCCUCCCAAAGAUUGUUAUAUACCAUUGUGAAAACACUUGACUCCUGAAUUCAACAUGGACUGACUGAAGGAACGUUGUUGUUCACUUGAAUGUCCGUUAAAACGAGUUUCUCGUAAGAAAGAGUCAUGUGAAUCGACUUGUUCUUCAUGAUAAUUAUGGGCUUGGUGUUGGUCCUAACAUGACCAAACAGUUGGGUUAUAAGCACACUAUCACCAUCAAUAGCGCUAUUAGCUUAGAUUAUGGUCCAUGUCAAAGUGUAGUAAUAACUGGAUUUAAUGCUAGUUAAUUAGAUUUGUGAUUAUUUAACUGUUGAAAACAUACUAAGGAGAUCAUUUUCAUUCAUCAUAUACACAUGGAUCAAUCCAAUAAACUAUUCAUGCGUCUUUCCCUGCAUUCAAUAAAUUUGGAAAUUAUUCUGCAUUUCAUUUAUAUCCAACGAUUUUAUCCUUGAUAAAUUAGUACACAAUAUUAUUUAAAAAUUCAAUUGUGGAAGAGAAAGCGAAGAAUAUACCAUUAAUGGAAGAUAUUGGUUGGGUGAAUCGGAGAAAUUUAUAAGAUUCAACAUUGGCGAUUCAUCAUCAAGCGUAAUGUCAUCAGAAAACAUGUUUACUGUACAUCUUGAUUAGAAUACGAUAUCCUUAUAUAUCAAAAUGAGUGGUUGAAAAAGCUAAUGUAGCAAAGUUAAAAAAUAUUUAUUUUUACUGUAAAAUAUCAAAUAGAAAAUAACUAAUAUAUUACAAUUAUACCAUUAAAGUAAUAAAUUAUAUAUUUCUAAAUAAUAAUGAAAAUUAAAUAGACCAAAAAAAUAAUUUGAAAUUAUUGUUCACUGUCCUAAAAUAUUGACAAAAACUUCAAAUACAUAAAUUAUUAUUUGUAACAUAAUAAUACAUAUUUUAUUAUUUUAAUAUAAAAUUAUAGUUUGCAAACAAAAGCAACUUAAAUAAUUGUUGCAAGCAUAAGAAAUGCUCAUAAUAUUUUUUAAUGGAAAAUAGCUAUUUACAAUAUAUGCUAAUGUAGCAAAGUUAAAAAAUAUUUAUUUUUACUGUAAAAUAUCAAAUAGAAAAUAACUAAUAUAUUACAAUUAUACCAUUAAAGUAAUAAAUUAUAUAUUUCUAAAUAAUAAUGAAAAUUAAAUAGACCAAAAAAAUAAUUUGAAAUUAUUGUUCACUGUCCUAAAAUAUUGACAAAAACUUCAAAUACAUAAAUUAUUAUUUGUAACAUAAUAAUACAUAUUUUAUUAUUUUAAUAUAAAAUUAUAGUUUGCAAACAAAAGCAACUUAAAUAAUUGUUGCAAGCAUAAGAAAUGCUCAUAAUAUUUUUUAAUGGAAAAUAGCUAUUUACAAUAUAUAUAUAUACUAUACUAAAAGGGGGAUAUAAGCUCCUCUUAGAGUGUCCACAUAGGCACAAAAAAUCGUCCAAUCAGAGAAUCCGAAGUUGCCACGUCAUCUCAUUUAUUUUUUCGUAAAAAAUUAAAAACAAUGCAAAGGAAAUGAUCGAACCUGGGUUAGUAUGACAUAAAUAUAGGGCACAUACUACUAAGCCAUUGAAACUUUCUUGGACACAUAUACAAGAAUCAUUAAAUAUGUAAUCACAAACUUUUAUGUAUAUUUACAAUAAUAUGAAUUCAACUUUCAAGACUCCGAUACUUUGUUUUAUAAAAAAAAAUAAGUAAGUGACUAAGCUAAUAUAUUCUUUGAAAGUGUGAGAACAUUGACAAAUAUGAAAAAUCAUUGUUUUCGUGACAAAGUUAAGAAUUUUGUAAAAGUAAGUUUAACAUAUAAAUUUUCGUGACAAAUAUGAAUAAGCAUAGAUUUUUGUACAAUUUUGACAAAACAACUCAAAACAUAGUUCUCUAAUGUCUUAAUAAAAUAUUAUUUAAGGGUGCAAUAAUUAAAUAUAUCAAUUCAAUAAAUUUUGUAAUAUAUAGACAAAACAAUAACACAACAAAUUUUGAAACAUUUGUUUAACCUAUCGAUUUNNNNNNNNNNNNNNNNNNNNNNNNNNNNNNNNNNNNNNNNNNNNNNNNNNNNNNNNNNNNNNNNNNNNNNNNNNNNNNNNNNNNNNNNNNNNNNNNNNNNNNNNNNNNNNNNNNNNNNNNNNNNNNNNNNNNNNNNNNNNNNNNNNNNNNNNNNNNNNNNNNNNNNNNNNNNNNNNNNNNUUCAGAGCAGUUAUUCCACAAAGAGAUCGUAUGAGAUAUUGUUUUGAUAUUCAGAUUUGUUUCUUGACUGUUAAGAAGAUUGAUAACUGUAAAAAUGUCUCAUUCGAAUAUUAUAUGUCUAUAACCGAAUCCCCAACAUGAGGCAACUUUGUUUAAAAAGUAAAUAAUUUCAUUUUUCUUAUAUUAUAUAAUAAAUAUAUAUUAUUUACUAAUAAUAAAAAUAUAGUUAUUCAUUUAUUACAAAUAUCUAUGCAAAUAUGUGAAUCAAGUACAACAAUCAAACAACAUAAUGAUUUCCACAAAAAAAAUUUUAAAAAUAUAUUUAUGUUAGGUAGUCUUAUUUUAUAUUAUUUAAAUAAUGUAAUACAAUAUUAUACAUUAUUUUUUAGAAUUGAGAAAUACAUAUAUAUCAAUUAGACAAAUUAAGCGAUAAUUAGACAAAUUUGAUUUUUUUUGUCAGCCAAAAGUUUAUUAUUAAUUAGCAUCAGUUAUUUCAAGAUGUUUAAGAAAUGAUGGACAAAAAAAAUAUGAUGGAUAUAAAUGAUAUAUGAACUAUGAAUAGUAUUUUGUAAAGCUGACUUAGAUAACACAUCUGCACAUCCAUUUACAGUCCUUUUUGAUAUCUAAAUUCAAUUUCUUCAGAGCAGUUAUUCCACAAAGAGAUCGUAUGAGAUAUUGUUUUGAUAUUCAGGUUUGUUUCUUGACUGUUAAGAAGAUUGAUAACUGUAAAAAUGUAUCAUUCCAAUAUGAUAUGUCUAUAACCGAGUCCCCAACAUGAGAUAAGUUUGUUUUAAAAGUAAACAAUUUUAUUUUUCUUAUAUUAUAUAAUAAAUAUAUAUUAUUUACUGAUAAUAAAAAUAUAGUUAUUCAUCUAUCACAAAUAACUAUGCACAUAUGUGAAUCAAGUACAAUAAUUAAACAACAUAAUGAUUUCCAUAAAGAAAAUUUAAAAAAUAUAUUUAUGUUAUGUAGUCUUAUUUUAUAUUCUUUAAAUAAUGUAAUAUAAUAUUAUACAUUAUUUUUUUAGAAUUGAGAAAUACAUAUAAUAUCUUAUCCGCGCGUAGCGCGGUUAAAAAAUCUAGUAUAGUUAAAGUUUGCUGAAAAACAGUUCAGUAAAGGCAGAUGAUAUAUAUAUAUAUUAAACACCACAAUGGACAUGGUUUAAAGGCAGAUGAUUAAGGAAGCAAUAUACAGAUUUAAGAGACGAUGGAAGAUUACCUAUUACCUAUGUAACCAAAUUAUUUAUGACAGUAAUUUUUGAAACUGCUGUUAUCAGUUUUUUUAGGUAUGGACAUGCACAACGAUUAGUCUUUUCUUCCGUUUUUCAAAAUAAAAUAUUAAACAAAAAUAAAAAUAUGAAAAAUUAAAAAAGAGAAGUAAGUGGACUGUAUUUUCUCUGAGACUUGAUAAGAGACUAGAGUCUCUUUAUAAGAAGCUCUGGACACAACUGUAAUUUUUAAAACUGUUGUUAUCAGUUUUUUUAGGCAUUUAUACGCAUAACGGUUAGUCUUUUCUUCUGUUUUUUAUAAUAAAAUAGUAAACAAAAAUAAAACAAGAAAAAUUAGAAAAGAGAAGUAAGAGGACUGUACUUUUUAAAUGUCAAAAUAAGAGAGUUUUUUUUAAAACUGAUUUAUUAUGAUAUUAUAAUUAUACAAAAAAAUAAAAAAAUAAGAGAGUUAUGAGAUUUUUUUUUUUUUUUUGAAACAGAUGAUGAUACACCCAUGGUCCUAAAAAUUUGUCUAGUUAAUUCAUAACGGGCUAAGUUGUAGACGGUCUGGGCCGAGUAGAAAAGCUAAUUAAUUAACAUUCCAAUUAAAGUACAAGCUAAAGAAAGCAAAACACACUCACCAAAAACAAGAAAAGACUUGAGCACCUAAGCUUAAACUGAACUAGAUUUGUUCAAAAAAAAAAAAAAACUGAACUAGCAAGACGAAUGGCAAACCGCAGUGGUCAAACUAAUCUCCAGCUCGCACUAAGAGACCUUGGCUAAUCCAUGAGGCCGGACUCGGUAGAAAUCUGCUUGCUCAGAGCUCGUCUCCAUGUACCUUUGAGUUAUCAAAAAUACUAGGAUAAACGAAUCAUGUCUGAAAUAUUCAAAAUUCCGUUAUAUGAUUAAAUUUUUCAUCUUGGACCUGACUACUGAAAUCAGCCUUCUGCUUGAUCCUCGGAUCUUCACAACUUAACAAUCUACCUUAAACAAACAUACCUACUUUUUGUUUUCAACUAUGCUUUAUGAAUGAUGACUAUUAUUCAAACAUAGCAUAAGAGUUUUGACAUAUUGACAAAAGAAAAAGCACAAGAACUUGACUUUUGAAAGAUUCUUAUUUUUGUCCGGUCAUAUUUUGUAAGCUGACUUUUCUUCCUCUACUCCCACUACCUUUUUCAAAUAUAUGAGUCCAACGACAUGUAAAGCAUGAAUGAAAUUUCAAAGAAUAAACAACAAAUUUUUUUUUGGUCAACAGAAUAAACAACAAUUUACACUUGAAAUAUAACUCUUUUCUUCUUUUUUCACAAUAAAAAACCUCUUUAUGUACAACAAAAUCUGUAGAGGCAAGAAAACCCACAAGCGACUCAAAACUCCAAUGUAGUAAAACAAACAAAAACAAGACUAAUGUUUUCCCUUUUUGUGUAUGUUCAAACACAACAAAGAGGACAUCUAAUGAGUCCAUUCUCAUUACAAUCAGGACAUGUUUGAAACCCAUACUCUCUUCCUCCCUUUACACUCUCAUCUUCAUCAUCUUCAUCAUCUUCUUCAUCGUCUUCAUCUUCAUAGUACACUUUGCAACUCCCUGAACAUGUCUCACAAGGCACAAACCUUACAUCUCCACAAGCCUCACAUUCUAGCCCAUUACCAUCUCUGUUUUCUUCCACCCUCUCGCAUCCUCGUAGAAGCUUCUCAAGCUUCCCAUCUUCAUUCAACUUCCUAAUCUCCUCAGCUCCGCCGAGAUACUUCCUCCCCAAGAAAACUCUAGGCAAUGUGAUCCCAACACCAUUGCUAAAUUUAUCACCUAGCAGCUCCUUCAGCUCAUCUUUAAAACCCGAAUGCAUCGAUACAUCUCGCUCAUCCACUCUAAUCCCAAGGCUUUUCAGUAUAACUCUAACAUCACAGCUUUCUUCAUAUGUCUUCCUUAUACCUCUAAGGCUUGUGAAGUAGAGUAUCACUUUGUCUUUACCAACAGCUUCCUCCUCCUCUUCUUCUUCAUCAGAGAACUCAAACUGUGGGUUUAGUUUCAAAUCAUUAACCGAAAUGUGGAAAGGAUGAUUAGAAGGGAGUUCUUGGAGAGACUUCCUGAACGAAGAAAUGAUCUCAGGAUCAAAAUCGUCGAGCCCUUCUUCCUCCAUCUGAAGCCACAAUGGCUUUAGAUCACAAUUCGACUUGGUACGUUCACAAUCACCACCACGAGCAACUUCAAAGGAGAAGCUGCUAACGUGGUUUGGUGAACGAAGACCAUCUUCAAGCCCGUCCAUCAUCUCCCAAGUAUUGAUCGUCUCCGGCUCUCCCGGAGGCGUCACGAUAGGAGUCUUAGGCACAAUCUUGGGGAUCUUCUCGCUCAUCAUACUUGACCAUACUUUAGCUUCCAUGAGCUUAGCCUGCAUUUCCAAACUCGACCUCUCCUUGUCGGGCCUCGCUCUGACUUCCUUAGGACCAAACCCAUCUCCUGUUCCGUCGGCGACAAGCUUCCCGCUGAAGUCUAGCAAGUCUUUGUGGUCUUGUCCGAAAGAGUAGUCGCAGAGCUUGAGAGAUCCGAAGCUGGAGGAGCUGAGAGGGACCAUGUGGGGGCUAUCGUCGGAGCGUUGCGAUGGGUGGCGAACAGAUUUGCUUCGCUGAAUGUCUACCGGAGAAUAUCCUCUCCGGCAAUGGAUGCAUUUCUUGCGGUGGUGCUUCGAGCUCGCACAGCCCAUGAUGAUCGUUAAAACAGAGUUUUUUUUAAAAAAGAGAUCUUUUUUUUUUUUGGGAAAUGAAAAUUGAAAUAAUGAGAUUUGGAGACAAGGGUUUGGUGAAAUCAAUGAGAUUUAUCGAAAUUUGCGAAAUAAAAAGACGAAAGAGAGAUCGUAACGACUUACGAGCAAAGAAUGAUGAAAUAAAAACAGAGGACCAAAACAGAGGAUUAGAACAAAACAGAGGAACAAAACAGAGGAACAAAACAGAGGAUUUAUCAAAGCUAGCAGGAGGACAAAAUCAUCAUCAUCAUCAUCAUCGAGAUUCUUCGUAUUCAGCCUCGUCGUCUGGUUUCCAAAAUCUCUCUUUCCUGAAAAGUCGCAGAGAUAGAGAGAGGAGAAAGAAUGUCGCGUUUUAGAAAACGAUUCAAGAAUUAUUCUCAGAGAUGUUUGAUUAUUAUAUUUAUAAAGUCUACAGAAACUUCUUUUGCCAUUUGGUAGUUAUUUCUCUGCUUUGACUCCUUCUACCUUCUAGUCGUCGUCCCCUUUGAAGGUGCGUGAGGGAGGCUACUUUUCGGAUAGAACUUUUUUUAAACGAUUUCUUAAAAUAAGGAAUAAUAUCUACAGUUUUUUAUGGCCUUUUGUUUAAUUUCAUUGUCUUUCUUUUUUGUAUGGAGAAAUUAUUUUCUAUGAACUCUUAUUUAUUAGUUCAUACUACUAACCAAACAUGAUUUCAUUCUAUACAGAAUGAUAAUUUUACUAUUUUGAAAGAAUCAAAAGAAUUGUUGGUAAGCUUUACAUUGUUACUAAAACAAAUUAGUCUAUACUAAUAUAUAAAAAAUGUAAAGCUAUUUUUGAAAGGUUUUAAGAAAAU